Molecule: long non-coding RNA, 100821 nt
Filed under: Phaseolus vulgaris (common bean)
Lineage: Eukaryota; Viridiplantae; Streptophyta; Magnoliopsida; Fabales; Fabaceae
Description: long non-coding RNA (PVUL_LNC003300)
Source: RNAcentral
GAAUGGCCUCAUACAGCUUGGCCUGAUCGUUUCUGUCCUCAUCAGGUCCUAAACCAUCAGGGAUUGAAACCAACUUCAGCACUGAUUCUUGUUCAUCAAGGCUAGAACAAUCUUGUUGCUCCACCAUGGAACUAACCACUCUCCUGUGGUUAAAGUCUGUGUUCACAAAAAUGACUUUGCAUCCAUUCUCAAGCAGCUUCUGUGAGAAGGUCAUCAUGGGAUUCACAUGCCCUUGUGCUGGAAGUGGUAAAGCUAGCACAGUUGAAUCUCUCAUGUUCAGUGUUUUUAUUUGGUUUCUACUGAUUCUGAUUUGUGAGGCCAAUUAUGCAUUGAUCUGUUCAUGUAUGUAUAGGCACAGCCCCUCACAUUAAAAACGUUAAUCAAUGUAUAUACCUACGAAUUACAAUCUAGGUCACGAUCAGUCAAAAUCUUCGGCUAUCAUAAUAAAUUUUGUAAGAAGAAAUGUAGAAAGUUUGUGUGUUCACAACAAUAAUUUUGUCAUUCUAUACCUCUUUACAUUUGCUUGUACUUCUCUGAUUCGACUUUAGUGUUUUUAUCAUUAAACUUUUUUUUUAUUAAUAUUGAUUUAGCAUUAUGCUGUUAUUUAAUUACGAUAAUCAUGUAAUAAUAUCUCUUUUAAUUUGGAUAAAUUUAAAAGAAUUUUUUUUAUGAAACUAACACUCCUCUCUCCAACCACAACAAACCCCCAAACUACCAACAUUAAAAAAAAUAAUUAACACUACAAGAAAAUUAUGAAAUAGAAACCAAUUUCUAGAAACCAAAAUAAUUAGUUNNNNNNNNNNNNNNNNNNNNNNNNNNNNNNNNNNNNNNNNNNNNNNNNNNNNNNNNNNNNNNNNNNNNNNNNNNNNNNNNNNNNNNNNNNNNNNNNNNNNNNNNNNNNNNNNNNNNNNNNNNNNNNNNNNNNNNNNNNNNNNNNNNNNNNNNNNNNNNNNNNNNNNNNNNNNNNNNNNNNNNNNNNNNNNNNNNNNNNNNNNNNNNNNNNNNNNNNNNNNNNNNNNNNNNNNNNNNNNNNNNNNNNNNNNNNNNNNNNNNNNNNNNNNNNNNNNNNNNNNNNNNNNNNNNNNNNNNNNNNNNNNNNNNNNNNNNNNNNNNNNNNNNNNNNNNNNNNNNNNNNNNNNNNNNNNNNNNNNNNNNNNNNNNNNNNNNNNNNNNNNNNNNNNNNNNNNNNNNNNNNNNNNNNNNNNNNNNNNNNNNNNNNNNNNNNNNNNNNNNNNNNNNNNNNNNNNNNNNNNNNNNNNNNNNNNNNNNNNNNNNNNNNNNNNNNNNNNNNNNNNNNNNNNNNNNNNNNNNNNNNNNNNNNNNNNNNNNNNNNNNNNNNNNNNNNNNNNNNNNNNNNNNNNNNNNNNNNNNNNNNNNNNNNNNNNNNNNNNNNNNNNNNNNNNNNNNNNNNNNNNNNNNNNNNNNNNNNNNNNNNNNNNNNNNNNNNNNNNNNNNNNNNNNNNNNNNNNNNNNNNNNNNNNNNNNNNNNNNNNNNNNNNNNNNNNNNNNNNNNNNNNNNNNNNNNNNNNNNNNNNNNNNNNNNNNNNNNNNNNNNNNNNNNNNNNNNNNNNNNNNNNNNNNNNNNNNNNNNNNNNNNNNNNNNNNNNNNNNNNNNNNNNNNNNNNNNNNNNNNNNNNNNNNNNNNNNNNNNNNNNNNNNNNNNNNNNNNNNNNNNNNNNNNNNNNNNNNNNNNNNNNNNNNNNNNNNNNNNNNNNNNNNNNNNNNNNNNNNNNNNNNNNNNNNNNNNNNNNNNNNNNNNNNNNNNNNNNNNNNNNNNNNNNNNNNNNNNNNNNNNNNNNNNNNNNNNNNNNNNNNNNNNNNNNNNNNNNNNNNNNNNNNNNNNNNNNNNNNNNNNNNNNNNNNNNNNNNNNNNNNNNNNNNNNNNNNNNNNNNNNNNNNNNNNNNNNNNNNNNNNNNNNNNNNNNNNNNNNNNNNNNNNNNNNNNNNNNNNNNNNNNNNNNNNNNNNNNNNNNNNNNNNNNNNNNNNNNNNNNNNNNNNNNNNNNNNNNNNNNNNNNNNNNNNNNNNNNNNNNNNNNNNNNNNNNNNNNNNNNNNNNNNNNNNNNNNNNNNNNNNNNNNNNNNNNNNNNNNNNNNNNNNNNNNNNNNNNNNNNNNNNNNNNNNNNNNNNNNNNNNNNNNNNNNNNNNNNNNNNNNNNNNNNNNNNNNNNNNNNNNNNNNNNNNNNNNNNNNNNNNNNNNNNNNNNNNNNNNNNNNNNNNNNNNNNNNNNNNNNNNNNNNNNNNNNNNNNNNNNNNNNNNNNNNNNNNNNNNNNNNNNNNNNNNNNNNNNNNNNNNNNNNNNNNNNNNNNNNNNNNNNNNNNNNNNNNNNNNNNNNNNNNNNNNNNNNNNNNNNNNNNNNNNNNNNNNNNNNNNNNNNNNNNNNNNNNNNNNNNNNNNNNNNNNNNNNNNNNNNNNNNNNNNNNNNNNNNNNNNNNNNNNNNNNNNNNNNNNNNNNNNNNNNNNNNNNNNNNNNNNNNNNNNNNNNNNNNNNNNNNNNNNNNNNNNNNNNNNNNNNNNNNNNNNNNNNNNNNNNNNNNNNNNNNNNNNNNNNNNNNNNNNNNNNNNNNNNNNNNNNNNNNNNNNNNNNNNNNNNNNNNNNNNNNNNNNNNNNNNNNNNNNNNNNNNNNNNNNNNNNNNNNNNNNNNNNNNNNNNNNNNNNNNNNNNNNNNNNNNNNNNNNNNNNNNNNNNNNNNNNNNNNNNNNNNNNNNNNNNNNNNNNNNNNNNNNNNNNNNNNNNNNNNNNNNNNNNNNNNNNNNNNNNNNNNNNNNNNNNNNNNNNNNNNNNNNNNNNNNNNNNNNNNNNNNNNNNNNNNNNNNNNNNNNNNNNNNNNNNNNNNNNNNNNNNNNNNNNNNNNNNNNNNNNNNNNNNNNNNNNNNNNNNNNNNNNNNNNNNNNNNNNNNNNNNNNNNNNNNNNNNNNNNNNNNNNNNNNNNNNNNNNNNNNNNNNNNNNNNNNNNNNNNNNNNNNNNNNNNNNNNNNNNNNNNNNNNNNNNNNNNNNNNNNNNNNNNNNNNNNNNNNNNNNNNNNNNNNNNNNNNNNNNNNNNNNNNNNNNNNNNNNNNNNNNNNNNNNNNNNNNNNNNNNNNNNNNNNNNNNNNNNNNNNNNNNNNNNNNNNNNNNNNNNNNNNNNNNNNNNNNNNNNNNNNNNNNNNNNNNNNNNNNNNNNNNNNNNNNNNNNNNNNNNNNNNNNNNNNNNNNNNNNNNNNNNNNNNNNNNNNNNNNNNNNNNNNNNNNNNNNNNNNNNNNNNNNNNNNNNNNNNNNNNNNNNNNNNNNNNNNNNNNNNNNNNNNNNNNNNNNNNNNNNNNNNNNNNNNNNNNNNNNNNNNNNNNNNNNNNNNNNNNNNNNNNNNNNNNNNNNNNNNNNNNNNNNNNNNNNNNNNNNNNNNNNNNNNNNNNNNNNNNNNNNNNNNNNNNNNNNNNNNNNNNNNNNNNNNNNNNNNNNNNNNNNNNNNNNNNNNNNNNNNNNNNNNNNNNNNNNNNNNNNNNNNNNNNNNNNNNNNNNNNNNNNNNNNNNNNNNNNNNNNNNNNNNNNNNNNNNNNNNNNNNNNNNNNNNNNNNNNNNNNNNNNNNNNNNNNNNNNNNNNNNNNNNNNNNNNNNNNNNNNNNNNNNNNNNNNNNNNNNNNNNNNNNNNNNNNNNNNNNNNNNNNNNNNNNNNNNNNNNNNNNNNNNNNNNNNNNNNNNNNNNNNNNNNNNNNNNNNNNNNNNNNNNNNNNNNNNNNNNNNNNNNNNNNNNNNNNNNNNNNNNNNNNNNNNNNNNNNNNNNNNNNNNNNNNNNNNNNNNNNNNNNNNNNNNNNNNNNNNNNNNNNNNNNNNNNNNNNNNNNNNNNNNNNNNNNNNNNNNNNNNNNNNNNNNNNNNNNNNNNNNACUUUUCUCUGCUUCUAUUAUGUUCCAUCAAGACCCAUUUCUCUGCUUGUCUUGGGUUAUUUGCCUUCACAAUGGCUUUAUGAGCUUCUAUGUAAGGUACAACUUCAUCUGUGUUAUUCAAUAUGUACAAAUGUGCUUGCAAGACUUUUGAUCGAGAUUUGCUUACAAUAUUCACACCACGUAAACAUUUAGUUGUAGAACGCCUGUGGUGCCAUGAAUUAGCUGGAACACCUAUUGGAUUUGCUUUUGUCAUGUACUCUGAACAAAAUUCAAUACUUUCUUCAGCUAUGUACCUUUCAAUCAUUGAAGCUUCUGGACGAUAAUGAUUUUUCACAUAACCUUUCAAAAUUUUCAUAUACCGCUCAACAGGAUACAUCCAUCUUAAGUACACUGGUCCACACAAUCUAACCUCUCUUACCAGAUGCACCACUAGAUGAACCAUGAUGUCAAAAAAAGACGGAGGAAAAAACAUCUCCAAUUCACACAAGAUAACAACAAUUUCAUUUUGAAGUUCAUCUAGUUUUGAGGGAUCAAUGACUUUACAACAGAUGGAAGAGAAGAAUGAGCACAAAUGGGUUAUGGUGUGUCUAACAUUUUUUGGUAAGAUCCCACGGAUAGCUACCGGCAACAACUGUUGCAUCAAGAUGUGACAAUCAUGAGACUUCAACCCAAUUAACUUCAAAUCUUGCAUUGACACUAGGCUCUUCACAUUUGAGGAAUGUCCUUGUGGCACUUUCACACCCUUUAGACAUUGACAAAAACUAAUUUUUUCAUCUUGUGACAUUGUGUAACAGGCUGGGGGCAAAUAUGUACGCGUACCCAUUUCUAUGGGUGCCAACUCGCCGCGUAUGUUCAUCUCAAUCAAAUCUAAACGAGCAUUUAGACCAUCCUUCGUCUUCCCGUUAAUGUUAAGAAGUGUACCAAUUAAGCUAUCACACACAUUCUUCUCAACAUGCAUUACAUCUAUACAAUGUCUGACUUCUAACCUCGACCUGUACGAAAGAUCAAAGAAGAUUGAUUUCUUCUUCCAAAUAUUUGUCACAGAUGACUUUUUUUUGGACUUACCGAAGGUGUGGUCUAUGUUAUUUACCUUUUCGUAAACCUCAACACUGGUUAAUGGAGUUGGUGGACCACUACCCUCUUGGUGUCCAUUAAAGGCUUUUUUCAACCUCCGGUAAGGAUGAUGACUUCUAAGAAACCUCCGAUGCCGAAGAUAUACUGUUUUCCUUCCAUGUUUCAAUUGUUGAGAAGCAGUGUCUUCUUCGCAUAUUGGACACGCUUUUUGACCCUUAACACUAUAACCUGAUAAGUUACCAUAUGUCGGAAAGUCAUUGAUGGUGCAAAAUAACAUGGCAUGAAGCUUGAAAGUUUCAUUAGCAAAUCCGUCAAAUACUUCGACACCUUGGUCCCACAUUAACUUCAAAUCUUCAAUUAGGGGACUUAGAUAAACAUCAAUAUCAUUCCCUGGUUGUUUCGGACCGGAUAUCAUCAUAGACAACAUCAUGUAUUUUCGCUUCAUGCACAAUCCAGGAGGUAAGUUGUAAAUAACUAGUAAUACAGGCCAUGAACUGUGAUUUGUACUCAUAUUACCAAACGGAUUCAUUCCGNNNNNNNNNNNNNNNNNNNNNNNNNNNNNNNNNNNNNNNNNNNNNNNNNNNNNNNNNNNNNNNNNNNNNNNNNNNNNNNNNNNNNNNNNNNNNNNNNNNNNNNNNNNNNNNNNNNNNNNNNNNNNNNNNNNNNNNNNNNNNNNNNNNNNNNNNNNNNNNNNNNNNNNNNNNNNNNNNNNNNNNNNNNNNNNNNNNNNNNNNNNNNNNNNNNNNNNNNNNNNNNNNNNNNNNNNNNNNNNNNNNNNNNNNNNNNNNNNNNNNNNNNNNNNNNNNNNNNNNNNNNNNNNNNNNNNNNNNNNNNNNNNNNNNNNNNNNNNNNNNNNNNNNNNNNNNNNNNNNNNNNNNNNNNNNNNNNNNNNNNNNNNNNNNNNNNNNNNNNNNNNNNNNNNNNNNNNNNNNNNNNNNNNNNNNNNNNNNNNNNNNNNNNNNNNNNNNNNNNNNNNNNNNNNNNNNNNNNNNNNNNNNNNNNNNNNNNNNNNNNNNNNNNNNNNNNNNNNNNNNNNNNNNNNNNNNAUCUUAACACCGCCGACAACCGUGUGAAGUUAGUUGAUCCAGGAUACAAAGGAGUCUCUGCAUCUUUUGACAUACUUUCAUAUCCAAGCGCUUUUGCAAAACACUCAGCUCCCACAUCACGAAUCAUGUCCUCCAAUCGAUCAUCAUCUCCAUCAUCGUGUACUGCUUCAUCCAUGGUAGAACCCACAUAUUCUUCAGUUACGGAAACACAUGGUAAAUUUAAUAAUUCACCAUGCCAUGUCCAAGUUGUAUAAGAUCGAAGAAACCCAUCACAUAGCAGGUGUUCCCUCAUGAUAUUCACAUCCAGUAUCCUUCCAUUCAAACAGUUAACGCACGGACACCUAAUCUUUGCUCCAUCAUGACCACUAAUAAUCGCGUUACGCUGUGCAAAUUGUAUAAAUUCCUCUACUCCCCUUUUGUACUCAUCACUUAUACGAACAACAUUAAUCCAACUUCGUCCAUUAUAUAUUCUGGAAUAUAGUUAGGAUUUUCUAAUAAUUAGUAUUCUAUUCAAUCUCACACAUUUGCCGAGGGUCGAACACCCCCGGACUCAAUCCAAACACGAUAUUUUUAUUCUAAAAGUAACAAUAACUAACAUAAAGAGCUAAUAAUUCACUUCGAGAGUUUCCAACUAACUCAAUGUAGUAGCAAACAAAAUUUGGUCUGGAAAGGAAUUUGGGCAGCUGUAGUGUGGUGUAUAUGGGAGCACAGAAACUCAAUUGUGUUUAACCAAGGGGUUGCAGAUGUGGAAGAAAUCUUCUCAGAAGUCCAGCUCAAAUCGUGGCUUUGGAUGAAACACAAAGCACAUAACUUUAGUUAUUCAUUUGCAGAGUGGGUCCUGGACCCAAUUUCUUGUAUCAGGAGUUAUAAGUAAGUGAGGCUAGGCGGAGGCAAUCUGGUUGUGAGUGGAAAGGUAAAAUGCUGAUAAUGAUGGAUGUUGUAAACCCCCAAUAGGACCAUUCAACAUGUCUCGAUCGUAUAGACCAAUGGAUGAUUGCUGACACUAGAUAAGCUCUGUUUGGGGGUUAUACAAUGAUCUGGCAUAACGCUNNNNNNNNNNNNNNNNNNNNNNNNNNNNNNNNNNNNNNNNNNNNNNNNNNNNNNNNNNNNNNNNNNNNNNNNNNNNNNNNNNNNNNNNNNNNNNNNNNNNNNNNNNNNNNNNNNNNNNNNNNNNNNNNNNNNNNNNNNNNNNNNNNNNNNNNNNNNNNNNNNNNNNNNNNNNNNNNNNNNNNNNNNNNNNNNNNNNNNNNNNNNNNNNNNNNNNNNNNNNNNNNNNNNNNNNNNNNNNNNNNNNNNNNNNNNNNNNNNNNNNNNNNNNNNNNNNNNNNNNNNNNNNNNNNNNNNNNNNNNNNNNNNNNNNNNNNNNNNNNNNNNNNNNNNNNNNNNNNNNNNNNNNNNNNNNNNNNNNNNNNNNNNNNNNNNNNNNNNNNNNNNNNNNNNNNNNNNNNNNNNNNNNNNNNNNNNNNNNNNNNNNNNNNNNNNNNNNNNNNNNNNNNNNNNNNNNNUGGGAGAUAGCAUAACAUAGCUAUAUCGUGGUGCAACACCUGUAGCAUAUCAAAAUAGCUAGGAUGGGCACGGCGUGGCAGGUGUUUAAGCCAGCUGGAAAGGAAGUUUAAGGCCUAAACUUUUUGGUGGUGUUAAUUGGGUGGUAUAGGGUGAAGUUAAAGAUCAAUUUGAAGUAUCUGAAGAUGCUGCUGAAAGCUAAUGAGAUGGUGAAGGUAGCUGACUCCUCCGUUGCUAUGGGAGGUCGUUUGUUGCAGAUGUCUAGCAGCUUAAUAGAGGACGCAACAGUGCUACAUAUGUUGAUGGUAAAGAAUUAAUUGUAGAAUAAAGCUGAAGAUCUUGGCAGGCAGUAAUGUUGGAUGUUACUAUAGGUGGUUGAGAAAGGUAGCACCAGUUAUUAAGCUCUGGAUGUGGAGGUUGUGCUGCAAGUGGUUGUCAAGCAGGUGGAAGGAUUACGUUGGGUUUCUGGUGGUUGAAAUGCUGGUUAGGGUCUUUGCAGCAGUGCAGCAGAAUAAUAGAACCAGUAUGGGAGCUGGUGUAGGUUUUAUUUAUGCAGUAGUUUUAUGUAUGCAGUAGUGGUUACUCUCUUCCUGUUUUGGGGUGUUCCUUUUGGAGAUCCUAAAACAAGGUUUGGUGUUGUAAAGGGUUGGGAUACCCCUUUUGUAUCCCUCUUAAUUUAAUUUCAUUCUUUGCUGAUAAAAAAAAAAAACAAUAACUAACAUAACAUAAAACUUUUAUUAAAAUGUAAUUAACAACUAACUAAAUAUAUAAUAUAAAUUUAAGAAAAUAGAAAUUAUAUAAUACAAAAAUUCAAAAUACACACAAAUAUAUAAAUUAUUAGUUAUUAGUUAUAAAUUCCAAGUUGUAUUNNNNNNNNNNNNNNNNNNNNNNNNNNNNNNNNNNNNNNNNNNNNNNNNNNNNNNNNNNNNNNNNNNNNNNNNNNNNNNNNNNNNNNNNNNNNNNNNNNNNAUUAAAUAUAUAUUAUAAUACAGAAAAAUAAAAAUUCAAAAUAUUAAAUAUAAAUUCAAAAUAUUAAAUAAAUAUUAAAUACAACACCAACCUUUAAGUUGAUGGUGAUCGGAGUGGCAGAGGCACAAGACGAAGGCGAAGGCGGUGGCGGAAGCUAUGGCGGUGGCGGAGCAGAAAAAACCAGCGAAACCAAUAGAACAGUAACCUAUAUGCCACUAACGAGUUAGGAAACGAAAAUGACAAUGCCAAGGGAGUGAAUAAUGAAUGAUGCAAAAACGAAAACGAAAACGAAAACAAACGAGUGAAACGAAGAGCGGAGAGAGCUGAAACUUACAAUGCAGAGGGAACUGAAACUGAGAACGUUGAAACGAAGAGUGGAGAAGACGAAAGUGAAAGUGAAAACUAGUGGCGCGCUUCAAUUUUUAGGGUAAAAUUGAUUUACAAAUGCGGUUCUAGGGUAAGACCGCAUUUGUAAAUCAAUUUAAUUACAAAAAUGCCACCGCGUUUUUUACAAAUGCGUUUAAACGCAAAGCCGCACUAAAUAAAGGGUCGUUGUUUUCAUAUUUUGUACUAGUGAUAUCUUUGGUUUUAAGCACCAAUCUAAGAAGGAAAAACCUAUUGAAGGCAACUUUGAAGAGAUCUAAGACCAAACAUUUAGCUGUGCCAAAGAAUUUUUUUUGGAAUGGUCUAUUACUCCACUCUUAAACAAAUGGUUAUUCCUAUACAUCCAAAUCUCGUUUAGCAGUGCAAUCUAGAUAUUACCCAUUAUAAGAUUAACAGACAUAGGUACAUCAAGAAAAAUGAAUUGCAAGAAAUGAGAGACAAACAAAAAAGGGUCUACCGAACUCACUCCUAAUCACACAUAGCAGAGAUUCCAGACUAGUCAGGAAACCCUGCACCCAAAAAACAGAUGACUAGUCGACUCCUCUAAAACCUCACACAAACAACAAAGGUUGCUCUUGACCGCAACACAAUGUCUCUCCAAGUUGACCCUAGUAGCUAUCUUAUUUUCAAUCACCCUCCAGGUGGUGAUCUGGGCUGAAGGUAAGACCUUGAUCUUCCAAAAUGAUUCAUACAUCUGUUGGUUUCCCCCUUUUGCCUCUCCUAUUAGAAAACCAUAAGCAAAUUGAAUUGAAAACUCUUCAGAAUUGUUGUCCUUCCAAACCCAUCUAUCCACGGACUCCGAAGCAGAACUUACACCGAGUAACAACUCAUUGAGCUGACGGACUAGGGGCACCUCCCACACCAAAAGACCCCUUCUCCAAAAAAGCCUCCAGACCCAAACAUUAUUAACCCAGACCCCGCAAUCAGACAGAGACGCCUCUUUGUUCACAACUAAGGAGAAGAGCCUCAAGAAACUACUUUUCAAGGAACAGGAGCCCAACUAGUUGUCUUCCCAGAAAAGAAUGUUUCUUCCAUUCCCUAACUCCAAUUAAAGCGACCUUAAAACUACCCUCUCCAACCUUCCGACUUCCAGAUCUCCUUCAGGUCAUUCCAUCAAAGAGAAACUUUAUUGGUAGAGAUUCUCCGAUCUUUCAAGCAUCUCCAACCACCAUACUUGGACACAAUGAUCUACUGCCAUAAUCCACCCUUAUCAAAACUCAAACGUCAGAUCCAUUUCCCCAGCAAGACCACAUUAAAAAGCCUAAGAUUAAUAAUGCCAAAACCGCUUACUUCCCUAGACUUGCAUAAUUUAUCCCACACAACCAAACCAUCUUCCUCCUUUGAGACCCCCAACCCCACAGAAAGGUCCUUUGCAAACUCACUAAAUUUUUCAACACAUUAGGCGACUUCCUGAAGAAAGAGAGGUAGAACAAAGGGAUAGACGAAAAAACUGACUUAAGCAAGCAAAUCCUCCCGGCCAACGAGAUGAAUCUUCCCUUCCAUCUAGUUGAUUUGUUGUUGAUCCUAUUAAUCACUUCAUCCCAAAACGCACCCCUCUACUAGCAUUCCCAAAUAUUUGAACAGGAUUUUCAUCACUUCACAAUUGAGAAUUGCUGCAAACCGGAGAAUAAAUGUCUGGUCAACCCCCACCCCACUAAUUCUGCUUUUCAAGAAAUUCACCUUAAGACCAAAAGCUAGCUCAAAGAAAUUUAGAAUAACCUUAAUGUUAAAAACACUUUUGACACUAGCUUUACAGAAGAACAAAGUAUCAUCGACAUAUUGUAACAUGUUCACCUUAACCAUCUUUCUCCCAAUCUCCACACUCUCAACCAAUUUUUUUCAACCACAAUCCUAGAAAUCCUGGCUAAUCCUUCAGUUGCAAUAAGAAAUAAGAACGGGGCCAAAGAGUCACCUUGCCUCAGGUCCUUCUUCGAAAUAAAUUCCUUAGUUGAGCUCCCAUUUACUAGAACUGACACCGAAGCUGACUCUAGACAAUAUUUAAUCCAGGAGAUCCACUUUUCAUAGAACCGGAGCUUUCCUAGCAUGUAGUAAAUAAACUUCUACCUUACUGAGUUGUAAGCCUUCUCAUAAUCAACCUUGAAAAAUACAACUUUUAUCCAUCCUCUUCAUCUCAUUAAGAACUUCAUUAGCCACAAGAACACUAUCCAAAAGCCCCCUUCAUUCUAAAAGAGUAUAUUGUUUGAAAUUAAUGACUUUACCAAUUACCUUUUUCAACUUGAGGGAAAUUUUUGUUGAUACUAUCUUGUACACACACCCUACCAACCAAAUAGAUCAGAACUCGCUAAGCUGUUGUGGAUUCUCUGAUUUAGGAAUCAAACAUAGAAAGGAAGCGUUUGACCCCCUAGGUCAACUUCCUUUUUCCACAAAAUCCUUCACGUCCGACAAAUAAACCUCCUUUAAGUAAUCCCAACAAAAUAUAAUGAAUUUGAACUUAAAACCAUCAGGAUUGGGGCUUUUCGAGCUAUCGCAGCUCUAGAAAGCAUUCUUCACUUCCUCUUCAGUGACAUUAGCUACCUGUGCCACAUUAUCUUCGCCACAAAUAGAGUUAAAACGAACAUUGUCUAACUUGGCUUAAGGCCCGGAGACUCCUUCAAACUUGGCUUUGAAAAAAUACCUGACCUUCGUUUUAACCACCUCCUUAUCCUCAAUCCAAAGAUCAUUCUCUAAAACCCCGUUGAUCCCGAUCCUCACUCUCCUCCACUUCACGGAUGAAUGAAAGAAUUUUGUAUUUAAAUCACCAUGUUUAAACCAUUUAGAGCAGGCCUUUUAAUGUAAAACUUCUUCCUGCUUAAAAGAAUUCCUACUUUGUUAAGUUAAUAAGAGUUUUCUCUCCUCCCUCCCAGCCUCGGGUAGAAUGCCUUCAUCGUCUCUUACAUCCAGCUCUUGAAUCUUCUUAUGUAAGACUUAGGGGUGGCAUUGCGGGCUGGCCCGCCCCGCAUAGGCCCACCUUGCACUUGGCCCGCCCCGUAUAGAAUUUGCGGACUGAUUUUUCUAGCUCGCCCCGCAUAAGGAUUGGCCUGCGGGCCGGCGAGCAAGGCUGCAUAAGAAAUAUUUAUUAAAAAAAUAAAUUUUUUAUUUUUUAUUUAUUUAGAUGCAUUAGGUAAAUGGUCUCAUAAUAUUAUUUUCAUGAAACAUGCGUAGUAAGAUGUUAUUAAAAAUUUUGGAAUGUGGUGUAUAAAAAAAAUUAUACAUUUUAAAGUUAUGCGGGCCAACCAGCCCCACCCCGCACUUGGUCCAUGCGGGUUGUGGGUUAUGCGGGGCGGGCCAGCAGGUUGAAAUAAGCAACCUGCCCCGCAUUUAUUUCAGCGGGUCGGCCUGCACGACCCACCCCACUUUGUCACCCCUAGUAAGACUUCCCUUGCAUGGUUGACAUUCCUGAAGACCUCUCUAUUCCAAAUUUUCAGGUCAGACUUUAACUUUUUUUCAAAUUUUCUUUUAAAACAAAUAGCCCUUUACCAUGCACCUCAUAACUCUGCAAUGUAUUGCUAAUGAAAUCUAAAAACCUGCCAUCAUUUUGUCACACAUCCAAGCUUCUAAACAGUUUUGUCCCCUAGUCAAUGCUCGUAUCUUUUAGCACUAGCACAAAGUGAUCAAAGACCGGUCUACUAAACACAUUUUGUUUACAGUUCGGCCGAAACUCCAACCACUCCCUGGAAACUAAAAUCCUAUCAAUUCUGCUCUUUACAGUCCAAGUGAAUUUUUUCCCAACCAUCGAAAUGUCCACAAAUCUGUUUUUUCGAUUAAUUCAUUAAACCCUCUAAUUUCUCUACUAUAAUGAGAAAUUGAGAUAAAACUCCUUCUUUAUUCCUUAUGCCCGAUAGAAUUAAAAUCCCCAACAACACAUUUGAAAGGAAAGAUAAUAAAUGAAAAUUUCCAAAUAAUAAAGUACAUUUUCUAAAGUUUGACAUUUACACAUAUAAAGUUUAAAAAUGAAAAUAUACCAUUUUCUUUCAUUACAAGAAAUAUUAGUUAUGAUUAUUAUUUAUAAUUAUUAAUAUUUUAAUAACAUUAUUAUAAUCUUAAUAAAAAUAAUAAUAAUAGUAUUAAUGAAUAAUCUUAAUAUCAUUAAUAAUAAUAUUAAUAAUAUUAUUUCUAUUAUUAAGAUUAUUUAUAUGUGAGUUGCUUUUAUUGGUUUACGGAACACUUCAUAUAAAAAAUAUUUUUUUUAAAUUAAUGAAAAAUAAUUUUUUUAAAUACAAAUUUGGAAUACAUUUAUUUAUUUUUAUUAAUUUAAUUUUUCUUCUUGUUUAGAUGAAUUAGGUAAAUGGUCUCACAAUACCAUUCUCAAGACACAUGUGUAAUGAGAUAUGAGUAAAAAAAAUUAUAAUAAUGUUUUGAUUUUCAAUGAAAUUUGAAUUUAAAAUAUUGGUUUAAUUACCUUUUUCGUCCCUAUAUUUAUAGCCAAUAGUCAAUUUGGUACAGUGGUUUUAAAAAAUUCAAUUUGGUCCCUAAGUUUUUUAAAAUGUAUUCAAAAUGGUUUUUUCUGUUAAAUAUCACCAAACGAUGUUAACUGGUGCUUAUGUGGCAGACACGUGUAAGUUACGUGGAUGGUGCUUACAUUACUUUAGUGAAUAAUGAAUUAGGGUUUAGGUUAUUCAAAUUGGAGAUUUCGAAUUUCUGAUUUAGGGUUUCUAAUACGAGGAUUGCUCCCCUGGUUGGAUUCUGUGGUGCGCUUCCCUGCUUCGAUUCCAUUCGGAGGUGUGCUCCCCUCAUUCGAUUCUGUGGUGCGAGUGAAUUUGGAGGUGCGAUCUUGUGGCUUGUGAUUCGUUCGUGUGUGGUUCCGUUUGUGGUGGAAAUGUGAGCAUAUAGAUCUGCAUCUGUAUCAUCAUGUAGCUGUAACCGAAUGGAAGUGCAACAACAACGAUCGAAUUCUAGCCAUGGUGGUGGAAGUAGGACGACUUUUGUUGCUCCCAUUUGCGAUUGUGGGGAAUUUAUGGUUUUGAAAACCGCAACAACGGUCAAAAAUUGUGGGAGGCAAUUUUGGGGGUGUCCAAAGUAUAAGGUGAGAUGUAUUAAACUAUGACUUAUGAAAACAAAAAUGCAUUGGUAUUGAUUUUUUGCUUAUGGUUUUGUCUAAUACAGAGUAGGAGUGGCGUAAGCAUGGGAUGCAAUUUUUUUAGAUGGUGCAAGUGCAUUGAAGACAUUGAGGAUGACAGAGAUGGAACUAUUGCUAGACAAAGAAACAAGAUUUGUAGCUUGGAAAAGCGUUUGAAGAUGUCAAGAAAGUGGAUAAAGAUGUUGUUAGUAGGAUUGUGUGUUGUUGUAAUAAACCUUGCUAUGUUGAUUAUUUUCUUAAAAUUCCCUUGAGUGACGUCUGCAUGUAUGUUUUGGUUGGGAUUAUGAUUAUUAGUGUGUUGAGUUGAUUAUGUCUAGUAUGUAAUAUGUAUCCUGAGAUCUGUAUCAAUGAAAAAUGAAUUUUAGCAAGUGGUUGGCAUAGAAGUUAUGUACUAUUUUCUUGUUUUGUGGUGCUGCAUAAUUUUGGGGUUGAAUAAGUUGGCAUUGUGGGAAAUAAGAAUGGUGUAACCAAAUUAAGAUGCAAAUUCAUUCUUGAAAUCAGUAUCAGAAUAAACUAACAUGGGUUAGACUUGCUUAGCUUGAACAUUAAUGUUAAAUACUGCAUCUAGUAUACAUCUUAAGCUUUUACUUUUUUAUGAGACAAUAAAGUUCAGUUAUCCUGUGUCUGAAUAAGGUGAUAUGCAUCUCAUAAUGGUCUAAUGGACAAUUCCACAAUGGUUGUAGUGAGCGAAGUAAACUUCAUAAUUGAAACUAUGUUGGUUAACUGAUUUGCAAUUCCCAGGGCCAAGGCUGCAUUUUAAACUCAAAGUUUAUUAUAUGUAAAUGAAACCUGAUUGAAGAUUUCACAAAAGUGAUGUAAGGGUAUACGUUGGCUGUUUAGAAGAUAUUUAUAGAAAAGAUAAGCAGUGAUAUUUUCAGAAAAAUUUAAACAACAUUUAAAAAUGUGCAACCGCUAUAUAAGUUUUUUCUCAAAGGGCUUGAGAUUGAAAGGUAUUAUACAAUUGAAAUUAAGAAUCAAACAGAUUAGUAUCAUGAACAAUUAAGAACUCUGAUUUGGGCAACACAACAAGAAAAUUCAGAGCAAGCAGAGGCCAAUCUCAUCAAAGACUAAAUAAAUGAAGGAAAAUUGUGAUGUUAUAAUAAUAUAAAGGUAAAGUAUGUAAAAGUAAUACAAAAGAUAUGUAAUACCUUAGAAGAUAAAGCACAAGCAGAUUUUCUUCACUAAUGAAUCCAUAAGAGCUAACAUAGUUUGGUCCUAUAAUAAUUGUUUUUCAAAAUACAUAUGUUUAGAAAUAAGUGAGUUCCAAAAGCAUUCAUGGCUUCCAAAAGCAGCCUCUGAUGGACUGUAACUUAAGCCUCGUGUUGGGUCUUGAAAAUGUUGCAGUUGUAGUUUCCUGACUUGGAGCUUCCUGAGAUGGCCCUGAUGCCCUUGUAGCUGCCUGACUUGGAGCUUCUUGAGGUGGCCCUGGUGCACUUGUAGCUGCUUGACUUGGAGCUUGCUGAGAUGGCCUUGGGUGAGAUGGUCGUUUUGCACUUGGACCUUGUUCAGAUGACUUUUCAAUGCAAGACUUUCUAUUGUGGCCAAGCUUAUGACAGAUCCCACUUUUUUUCUUUAACCCAGUUUGGCCUAUCUGAGUCUUAUUCUUCAUUACCUCCCAUGGCUCUAACCUUCUCUUCUUUUUUGGUCUUCCAAGCAUCUUCUUUGUGGGAGGUGGCACAACAUCUGGCAUUUCAGUUCUUUCCCAUACUUGUUCACCAUUAACUGGAUAGAUAACUGUGUUGUACACCUCUGCAUAUGUUUCCUUCUUGUACCAAAAUGAAAUGAAGUUCACUGGAUCUACAUCCAUCUAUCACUGUCACAUGACCAUGUUGAUGUAUCACCACCAACAUAUCUCGCAUCACAAAAUAUCCCACUAUGGUGGACCACAAGUUGAAAAUAACCUUCUUUCAUGAUAUGAACUUUAUAAAAGGUAUUCCUGUGAAAUAUAAAUAUGCAUAUGACCACAAAUAACAAACAAAUUACAAACCAAAUCUUCACUUAAAUGUUGGACCACACAUCACAAUAUUAUGUCAGAGACCCAAUGUUGGACCACACAUAAAAAAAUGUUGCACAUGGUGGACCCUACAUCAUAAACAACUCUGUAUAUGUUCUCUAAAAGUAAUAAAAAACAGAACCACUCUGAAACUAAGUAAAAAAUUACUAACCUUAUAAAGGAGCAACCACAAAACGACACCACGGUCUGGAUCGCAAUCGCUGCCCCUUCACCACCUCUGGACCGCACCACAUAAUCGCUCCUCCAAAUCGACCAUGGGAACGCAACUUACCAUCGUAACUCACGAUCGCACCACAGAAUCGAAUGAGGGGAGCACACCUCCGAAUGGAAUCGAAGCAGGGAAGCGCACCACAGAAUCCAACCAGGGGAGCAAUCCUCGUAUCAGAAACCCUAAAUCAGAAAUUCGAAAUCCCCAAUUUGAAUAACCUAAACCUUAAUUUAGUAUUCACCAAAGUAAUGUAAGCAUAAUCCACGUAACUUACAUGUGUUUGCCACAUAAGCACCACUUAACGCCAUUUGGUGAUAUUUAACAGAAAGGACCAUUUUGAAUACAUUUUAAAAAACUUAGGGACCAAAUUGAAUUUUUUAAAAACCACUGUACCAAAUUGACUAUUGACUAUAAAUAUAGGGACGAAAAAGGUAAUUAAACCUAAAAUAUUACAUUAAAUAUAUACGCUUUUUUAAGGUAAUACAUUUAGACACAUGAUUACUAUUCCAAUUUAAAAAUAAUAUAUAUACAUAUAUACAUUCAUAUAUAUAUAUAUAUAUAUAAUACUAUACUUAACUUUUAUUACAAAAAAGACUAAGGUUUAACUACUGUAUUUAGCAUUUGAUGAGUAUUUAAACCUAAACAAUCUAUGCACUUUAGAAAGAUAAAAACACACUAUUAAAUAUUAAAAAAAUUAUUAUUGAAUUUCGUGAAGGUGUUAUGAAUUAGGAAUUGGAGGUAGUUUCUUCCUACACUUCUAUGCCUUUCUUCUUGCACCCCAUACUUAAAAAAAUACUCAAAUUACCCUUUGACAUUUUUCAUUGAAUAUUUUUUCUUUAAUUCCAGAGUGUGGAAUUCAAGAUACUUCCUAGGUUAUAGAAUUUGGAAUUUAAAAUUUGUGUUUUGGAAUGUAUAAUAUUUCAGAUUGUACAAUUAUAAUGUAUUUUAAAUUAUAGAAUUUGAAAUGAAUAAUAUUAGAAUUUUUUAGAAUAUGAAGUUACAAGAAGAAAUUAUGGGGAUACAUAAAGAAAUUUCUAAAUUUUUGAAAUAUGUGGGUUAUGCACGCCAACUCUCCCCGUUCAACACUUAACCCACGUGAGCUGCGAGUUGUGCAAAACGAGCUUAAGAAAACCAACAAAUUGAAAUAAACAGUCCACAUUGCAUUUUUUUCUAGCAGGUUGCGGACUGGUGUGUGGUUGAGCCUGCUUUACCAUCUCUUCUAUUCACAAAUAAUUGAAUAUCUUAUUAUUCACAUCAUCAUGUUCAAGGUAGGUUUAUGUACCCAAUUUCAAGUUAACUAAAAGAAAGUACACGUAACAAGAGUUAACCAAAUCUUUCAUUAUCGAAUUAGUGUUACUAGUUCUAUGCUUCAAAUGUAAAAACUUUCUAGUUAACAAGAUAAGAUAAGAAAUAUGAAUUCUUUUAAGGACAAAAUAUAAAGAAGAAACAUUAGUAGAGGAUACUAUUCCAUAAUAAGAAACUUAGUUUAACUAUUGGUUGUCAUUUACAACUUCUAGUUGUAUCAAUCAAUUAUUAUGAUAUUAUUGAUUGCUGGUAAAUAUUUAGACCACAAACUCUAAGAUUCAUAUACUUUCGAUUUUCUCCAAGAUAGAGACUUGUUUCUUGCCGUGCCGUAAAUGUGUUCCCUUGUCACCCAUGGAUGGUUUUCCUAUUCUUUGGAAUGCUUAGAAUCAUCUAAAAAGACACUUUCAACAACAACAAAAUAGCCACGAAAUUACAGGAAAAAAAAUGUUUCCUGAAUAUUUCUGCAAGAUUUUCAUAUUCAAUUAAUGUGGACCAUGUAAAAUAUACCCCAUGAAUUCAAGUUUCUUUUGUCUCUUUCUCCUCCACUGUCAGAACCAUGUGUGGAUCAGAAUUUGAGAUUGAGAUUGUUUGACAAACAUCUUUUCGAUUUUUUCAUCCUUUUCUUAUCUUAGUCUGCCUUGUGUAUAUUGGAAACUUUCUUGUGUAGCCUUUAAUUAGUUAUAACACAUUCUUUUAGUUUAUCUAUUUAAUUGGUUAUAGCAAAUAUUUUAAUUGUUUAUAUAAAAAAAUGUCAUUCAGAAUCAGUUCGAAAAAUAUAAAAGUUUAUUUCUUAUCUAUACUUGUUAUAGAAUAAGAAACGACCUAUUUUUAUAUUUCAAGAAUAUUUUAUGAAAUUGAAAUAAAUAUGAUUAAUAAAGAAAAUUUAUAAUAAAAUGAUAAAAUAUCUAUUUUUAUCAUAAUUUCUACCAUGACCGUAAGUUUCUAUUUUAUUUAAAAUUAUCGUGAAAUCAACAAAGAAUAAUUCGUAUUUAAAAUUAAUAACAUAAUGAAUUGGGUAUUGCACGUACACAUUUAUUGCCAAUUGUAACUGCAUGGGUUAUCGAAAUGAUUGCAUCCAUUAUUGAGGGACUAUCAUCAUAUAUAAUACAAGCUUUUUUUGUAAUUAGUAUCACGUUAGUUUGGACUGGGAAUAAAGUUUUUUAACUUUUUUUAUAUAUUUGUUUUUUACUGUUUUAUAAAAGACAAUACCAAAUUAAGUAAGGUUUCCUUUUUUUGCUACUGGCUAUUAUUGGAAAGUUCGUCUUGGUAUGAACUGUUUUUCGAGAGUUCUGAUGUAACAUUCUGUGUAUUUUGGAGAGCUACUUAAAAUAGUUUUUUUUUAUAGAUUGGAAUAUGCCUUAAACAUUCCUAUUUGUUUAAUUUAUUUCUGAUAAAAAAAUGGUAAAAAAAAACACUAAUCCAAACCUAGAAUUAACGCAAGCACGAAAUGUGAAGUCUUAUUCCUUUAUCUCCUUCACAAAGCUCUUAAAGUUCUCAUAAGAUGUACCUCCUUUUGCUAUGUUGUUCAUCACUUUCUCCUUCAACACCACACACCUAAAUUUUAUGCUCUCAUCAUUAAAUAAUUGUUCUACCUUGGUUUUCAACUCCCUCCGUGACACAACUCCAUUUUGAUCUUUGUCAAUCCCCACCCCAACCUUUAACUCAUCACAAAUAUGUGUUUUGUUGUAAACUUGGUCUCCAAAGUAUGGCCAACACAAUAAAGGUACCCCAUUGGACAAACCUUCCAUGGUAGAAUUCCAACCACAAUGAGUCACAAAACAUGCUAUGGCAGGGUGGCUUAAAACCUUUUGUUGAGGAGCCCAAUUAACUAUCUUACCCUUAUGUCCUUGGAAUUCAUGAGGGUAUGCCAUUUUAUUGUCUUCUCUUAUAACCCAAAGAAAAGGUCUGUUGGUGAGGUGUAGUCCAAGGGCAAGUUCAUUGAAUUGGUUUUGGUCAAAAAGAGUGAAACUACCAAAGGCAACAUACAACACAGAACCAUCAGCUUGUUCAUCUAGCCAACUCAUGCAGGAGUGGUCUUCUUUCCAGAAUUGUCCCAUUGAUUUUGUAGCUGCACUUUUGUUAUGAUCAUUAUCAUUGCUUCUCAACAAUGGCCCAAUUGGGAUGAUGUUCGGAAGAAAUAAUAAUGUCUCAGGUUCAAGUUCAUGUGUGGUGUUGCAUAGCCACCACUGUGUCAAAUGUAAACUUCGUGCGCAAUACAGCAAAUACUUAAGCACUUUCUUACCAGUUGUUAGGUCACCGAUAUUCAACCAAAAAAAGUCUUUUGGAUCCAUCUCAGGCAUACUUGGCGAAAUCUGAAUUCUCUUUUCUGUAGUUAAUGUUAAACCUUCAGCGAAAAACCAACAAAAAAACAUUAGCUUAUACAAUAGACGUAUAAAUUAAGUUAUAAAUUAUGUUCAAACAUAAGAAUACGAUAAUAUUCUUACCUAAAUCAGAGUCUAUAAUUCCCUCAUCAAUAAGCACAGGGAUGUUGUACAGCAAGGUGAAAAAAGUUGCUGAUGCAGGACACAACACAGCUCCUUUGAUUCCCAGUUUAGUCCCAACAUCCAAAGCCCAAGCCAUGCACAAAUCAGCAACAAUGAAGUUGAUUCUGUUCUCACCUUUCAAAUGAAUAUCCUCUAUGAGCUUCUCAAGUGCUUCUGGCAUGGUGUUUGGAAUGGCAUCACACAUCUUGGCCAGAUCGUUUCUGUCAUCAUCAGGUCCUAAACCAUCAGAGAUUGAAACCAACUUCAGCACUGAUUCUUCAUCAUCAAGGGUAGAACUAUCUUGUUGCUCCACCAUGGAACUCACCACUCUCCUGUGGAUAAAGUCUGUGUUCACAAAAAUGACUUUGCAUCCAUUCUGAACCAACUUCUGCGAGAAGGUCAUCAUGGGAUUCACAUGCCCUUGUGCUGGAUAUGGUAAAGCUAGCACAGUUGGAGUUCUCAUGUUAACACUCUUUUUAUUUGGUUUCUAUUGAUUCUGAUUUUCUGAGACCAAUUAGCAUGCAUCUAUUCAUCUAUAUAUAGGCACAGCCCCUCACUAUAUCAUAAUCGUGUAUAUACGUACCAAUUACAAUCUAGGUCACGAUCAGUCAAAAUCUUCGGCUAUCAUAAAUUUCAUGUAAGAAGAAAUGUAGAAAGUUUGUGUGUUCACAACAAUAAUUUUGUCAUUCUAUACCUCUUUACAUUUCCUUGUACUUCUCUGAUUCGACUUUAGUGUUUUUAUCAUUAAACUUUUGUUUUUUAGUUUAUUAAUUGAUUUAGCAUUAUGGUGUUAUUUAAUUACGAGAAUCAUGUAAUUAGUGUAAGAAAUUAGACGUGAAGGGUAGGGAAAAAACGGAUGGUGGGUCUUUGAUCUGGGAUGUGGUGGAAGGGGGUCACUAUGAGAUUAUGUGUGCAGAGAGUAGGAUGAGGCAGUGCAGAAUUGUGUAGGUGCUGGUCUAGAUUUGCUCUGUCAUGCAUUGCAUAUUUGUUGCUUUAGUUUUAUCAAUCUAUGUCUUAGCCAAAGGCUAGGAGCUGUUUGGAUAGGAAUGUCUUCUUAACAGCAAAACAGCAAAACUAAUUUGUCCUGCAUAAUUUUGCAUACUAGAUAGGAACUUUGGGAAUGGUUUUGCUAGAUCUAAUUUUUAUAUAAGGGUUCAAACAUUCCUAAAAUAUCCCUUCUAAUUUUAUUUACUUUUUGCUUAUAAAAAAAUUGUAAAAAAUAUUUCUUUUAAUUUAGAUGAAUUUGAAAGGAAAGGUUAAUAAAUGAAAAUUUUCAAAUAAUAAAAAGAUUGGUAGAAGGAUAGUUGAGAAGUGCAACAGAUUGCCUCUAACUUUGAAAACAAUUGGAUGUCUUUUACGCACAAAGUCAUCCAUUUCAGAUUGAAAAAACAUAUUGGAAAGUGACAUAUGGGAGCUACUAAAAGAGCACAAUGAAAUAAUCUCUUUGCUAUUUCUAAGCUAUUGCCACCUUCCUUCUCAGGGUAUUUGAUCAUGAUGGGGUUAUUUUUUUUUGUUUUUACCAAAAUGGAGUCCGUUUAAAAAAAAUUACAAAUUUAGGCAAGUCGUGCCAAUUUGGCACGACUUCAUAUGGACAAAUCGUUCCAAUUUGACACGACUCUGCCAUGUCAUACUAAAAUCGUGCCAACUUGGCACGACUUCUGCCCUGUCAUACCGAAGUCGUGCCAACUUGACACAAAUCUGCCACAUCUUAAUUUUUAAUUUUUUUUAAAAAUUUUAUUGUUUAUAUAUUGGAUAGUAAGUUAUGUAAUGCUAAAAAUUAAUUUGAUACAUAAUUUUUUAAGAGGGUUAGUUUCAAGGAACAAAAAAUUGGAUAUAUAUAAUUAUUUUUAAAUUAUUUAAUUAUUUCAAAAUAAUUACAAAUUAUUUAUAUUAUUUGUUUUAUUUAAAAUUUAUAUAAUUAUUUCAAAAUAAUUACCGUACUUAUACCUUUUUAUAUUUUAAUAUAAAUGACAUUAAAAAAAAUAAACAGGUCAAAAAAUGUAUUAUUUGAAUUGUGAUAAAAAAAAUUAUUACUUUAGAAAAAAAUAAAUAAUUGUAAUACACGAUUAUCCAAUUUUUUGUUCCUUAAAACUAACACUCUUAGAAAAUUAUGUAUCAAAUUAAUUUUUUACAUUACAUAACUUACAACCCAAUAUAUAAACAAUAAUAUUUAAAAUAAAAAUAAAAAUUAUGACAUAACAUAAGUCGUGGCAAGUUGGCAUGACUUCAGUAUGACAGAGGCACGACUUGCCUAAAUUUGUAAUUUUUUUUAAACGGACACCAUUUUGGUAAAAACAAAAAAAAAAUAACCCCAUCAUGGUCAAAAACCCUCAUUCUCAUCUUAAAAGGUGCUUUGCUUAUUGUGUCUUAUUUUCCAAAGAUUAUGAGUUUGUGAAGGAGAAGUUAAUAAUUUUCUUGUGAGUCCACAACAUAUUAGACGUCAAGAAGAAGUUGGUGAACAUUACUUGAAUGAUCUAUUGUCAAGGUCUUUCUUUCAACAAUUAGGGGUCAAAAAGUGUUUUGAACAAUCAUGUCUUAGGAGGUGUUUCGUCAUGCAUGACCUUUUCAAUCAUUUGACAAAUUCAAUAAUUUGACAAAAUAUGUCUGUGUGGAUUUUUGUUCCAGAUUGAAAUUUGAUAAAGGUUUUAAUGGUUUUGGGAGUUUAAGUGAAACUAAAAGCUUCGUUAAUUACGUGUUUAAUAUGUGAAGCUUCUGUCUUGUUCUAAGACAUCUUUGUAGUACUUUUUUCUUCCUGCCCUUACAAGCCAGUGGAUGUAUGUAUCAUAAACUAAUAACUAAUUCCAACUAACUAUAUAAAGAUAACCUUUGCAACACUUAUACCAAAUCAAGUCCCUAUAAAUUUAACCAAAUUCUCUGUUUUUUUAAUUUGGUUCUCUUGAAUGUUUAUUCAGAAAUGUUGUCCCAAUACUGGAUUAUGCUAAAUCAUGGAGAAAUUGAAUUAUUCAUAAUAAACCAUGUCAUUAUGUAACAUGCUUGUCUCAAGUCUUAAUGUGAAAUGCUUUUAAGCUGAAAUCUAAUAUGGUAUAAGAUUCUAUAGCUCAUUUGUGUUUAAUUACAAUAAACUGAGACAAUUUGGGCAUUGAAAUUGUCUUAAAACAGGGUCCAAUGUGCAAGGCCAUACAUCCAUCCAUUUUAUUUUCCUUAAUGUUCAGAACUUUAGACUACUAAAUAUUUUAUUUUUCCUUUUUCUCAUACUUUUGACCCUUCAUGUAUCAUAAUCCAGCAUUCUAUACUUAUAUAAACCAAGAAAAAUGAACUUUUCUAUUUGGACUGAGGAGUGGAUUUGUGAGGAUUAGAGAGUAUGUGUGAGAGGAUAUGUGAGGUUGUUUGGAUUGAGGGAUGAUAGAGUGGAUUUGUGAGGAUGAUUUAUUGUAAGUUUACAAAUUUACCCUUGUUAUUAAAAAAUAUUUAAAUAAUGAAUUAUGAUUUUUUUUAGGUUUGAAUUAAUUAAAUAUUUUUAACAUAUAAUAUCUAUAAUUGUUUAUAUUUUUUAAUAAAAGAUUAAAUAUUUUUUUGUGUUAAAUUGAAAUAAAUUUAUUAAAUACAUUAAAAUUUAUGAAAAUAAUAUUUAUUAUUAUAUUCAUUUGUUACUUUAUAUAACUAUAUAUGGUUGAUAUUAUAAAUUUUUUUGUAUUUUUUAUUUUAUUAUUUAUAAUUAUAUGUUGUUAUUAAUAGUAUAAUUAAAUAUUUUUGAAAUUAUAAAUAAUAAAUAAAUUUAUAUAAUAUUUAAUUUUGUAUAUUGUAAAUAAAAUGGAUGGACAAGAAUAUUUUGGUAAAAUACAAUAAUCCUACAUUAAUCGCCACAAAUCUCUUCAUCAGCAGGGAGAAGGUUUGUCUUCUUUGGGGGACUAACGAAGUAGAUUGGGUCGAAAACAAAGCUACAAACAACGCAGGGGGGUUCUUACGAUGUGGAGUAAUAAGUCGUUUCAGAUGUUUAGUUUUGUAAACGGAAGGAACUAUACUGUGAUUGAAGGUUUUUGGAAGGUUAUUAAUGAGGUUUUUGUAACUAUAGUGAAUGUAUAUUGUUGUGGCUCUUUACGGGAAAAGAAAGAGAUGUGGAAAAAGAUCAAUGGAGUCAGGUUGAAUCAACUAUCAAAGGCGUGGUGUAUUAUUGGAGAUUUUAAUUCUAUUAGACGUAAAAGAAGAGAGGAAGAGUUUGAUUUCGACGUCAGAUUAUUCUAGAGAAAUAAAAGGGUUUAAUGAUUUUAUCAAAAAAUCAGAAUUGGUUGAUAUCCCAUUGGUUGGAAGGAAGUUUACUUCGUAUAAACCCAAUGGUUUGGUGAAGAGCAGAAUCGACAGGGUUCUAGUUUCAAAGGAGUGGCUGGAAUCUUGGCCUCACUGCCAACAAUUCGUUUUAAACAAAUCAAUCUCUGACCAUUGUGCGGUUAUACUUAAAGAGGUGUCAGUGGACUGGGGCCCGAAACCUUUUAGGUGUUUGGAUGUUUGGCAAAAAGAUAGCAGAUUUAAAGAGUUUGUGAGUUCGAGUUGGUCUUCUUAUAGGUUAUAGGAGGUGGGAUUUUUAUUUUCAAAGAAAAAUUGAAAAAACUAAAAGCAUAUUUAAAAGUAUGGAACAAAGAAGUCUUUGGAGGUGUAAAUCUUGCCAGUAAGGAAGUGCAAAAGAAGAUCGAUGAAUUAGAUGUACGAGACAAUGAUGGUGGUUUAGUUGAGUCAGAAAGGGAAGAAAGAAAGUUCCUCUUUGCAAAACUUAAUAAAUUCAAAUUUAAGCAAGAGGCUAUUAUGUUUCAGAAAGCAAGACAAAAGUAGUUAAAACAGGGGGAUCUUAAUACAAAGUUUUUUCACUCUGUAAACUGGAGAAGGGCAAGGAAUCAGUUGCAUGGGGUUUUCGUUAACGGUAAAUGGUGUGAAGAUAAGGAGGUGAUCAAGGACAAGGUUCGUGUUUCCUUUGAAGAUAGGUUUGCCAUGAACGAUGCUUGUCAAGUUAGAUUGGACAAUGUCAGGUUCAGUUCCAUUUCGGAGUCCGAUAAUGAGUUGUUGAUUGGAGAUUUUCUGAAGAUGAGGUUAGGGCUGUAGUUUGGAGUUGUGACAGUUCAAAGAGCCCUGGCUCUGAUGGUUUCAAUGAAAUUUUGCUGGGAUAUCAUUAAAAAGGAUGUGGUGUCGGCAGUGAAGAAUUUUGCGGUUAAUGGUCAUUGACCCAGAGAUUCAAACGCUUUGUUUCUUUGUUUAAUACCAAAAGUAGAAAAUCCUCAGCAGCUCGGUGAGUUUAGACCUAUUUCAUUAGUUGGGUGCUUGUAUAAAAUCAUAUCUAAAGUGCUAUCUCUACGAUUGAAAAAGGUAACUAGUAAAGUUAUUGACGUUAGAUAGUCGACUUUCCUUGAAGGAAGGGGUUUUUCUGGACAGUGUGUUAGUCGCCAAUGAGGUUUUGGAAGAAUAUAAAAGAAAGAGGAAGAGUUGUGUUUUCUUCAAAGUUGACAAUGAGAAGGCGUAUGACUCGGUCAGUUGGGAGUUUAUUUAUUAUAUGCUAAGGAGGUUGGGUUUCUGUGAUCUUUGGAUCUAUUGGAUAAAGGGUUGUUUAGAAUCAGCCUCGGUUUCAGUUCUAGUUAACGGUAGUCCACCUAGGGAGUUCUUUCCUAGGAAGGGACUUCGUUAAGGUCAUCCGCUAGCACCGUUUCUCUUCCUUAUUGUGGCAAAAGGGUUGGCUGGGGUAUCAAGGGUGGCUGAAGAAAAGAUUUGAUUGACAGUUUGGAGGUUGGCAAGGAUAAAGUGAAGGUAAAUAUGUUACAAUAUGCAAAUGAUAUUUUGUUCUUCUGUGAAGCUAACACCAAAAGCGUUUUCAAUAUUAAGGCGAUUUUGCAAUGCUUCGAGCUUUCUUCUGGGCUUAGGGUGAAUUUUUUGAAAAGUAGAAUUGGUGGGACGGGGCUGGAUCAGCUUUCGCUUCAGCGUUUGGCAGCUAUUCUCAACUGCGACGUGAUGGUUUCUCCUUUUGUUUACUUGGGAUUGCCAGUUGGAGGGAAUCACAAGCGUGGUGCCUUUUGGAAUGGGGUGAUAGAGAAAGUUCAGGCUAGGUUGAGCAGGUGGAAAGGGAGGUGCCUUUCGAUGGCUGGGAGGAUCUGUUUGUCAAGUCAGUUCUUUCCUCUAUCCCGUUAUUUUUUAUGUCCUUAUUCAAAUUGCCUUUAGGGGUGGCAAAUAAAUUAGUUAGGAUUCAAAGGAAUUUUCUCUGGGGGUGGGGAUCUGAAGGAAGGAAGAUCGUUUGGGCUUCUUGGCAAAAGGUAUGUAAGCCUCGCGAUUUUUGGGGGGGCUUGGUAUUAUUGAUUUAAAAAAUUUUAACUUGGCUUUGUUAGGAAAAUGGAUUUGGAGGUUGGGUACGGAUAAGGGUGGUCAUUGGAAGGAGAUUCUGGUUUCAAAAUAUGGUGGUUGGAAGUGCUUGAGAAAGGAAGGAAAAAGUCGUAGAAGCUCUCUUUGGUGGAAAGAUUUGAAAGAGGUGUGAGCCUCAGAGGGUUGGGGAAGAAGUUUUGAAGAUGGGUUCAACUGGAAAGUUGGUGAUGGAAAGGAUAUUUCCUUCUGGGAGGAUAAUUGGUUGGGUUGCGAUGCGUUGAAGAGAGCCUUUCCGAGACUGUUCUCUUUGUGUUUGGCCAAAGAGACAAAGGUGGCAGAGCUUGGAUCUUGGUCUAAUUGUGUUUGAGUUUGACAUUUAGUCCGGCGAAGACCUUUUUUCGAAUGGGAGAAGCCUUUGGUGGAUCAAUUUUGGCAGGUAUUGCAAGGUGUUAGGUUGAUUUUGGGAGAGGCGGAUAGUUGUGUUUGGAAGGUCGGGGAUCUUCAGAAGUUUUCAGUUAACUCUGCUUAUAUGCAUGUUAGGAGGGAUAGUGAGGUGGAAGGUUCUCCGGUAUUCAAUAAGUUGUGGAGAUGUAAAGCCGUACCUUUUGCUUUAUUUACUGUUUGGAGGGUUCUGGAGAAUAAGACUGCUACUAGGGUCAAUCUGGAAAGGCGAGGGGUGAUGGUUGAAAAUGCUUUGUGUUGUCUGUGUGGGAAGGAGGAAGAGUCUUCCGCCAUUUGUUUUUUAUUGCAAUUUUACUUGGCGUGUUUGGUGUUUUUGCUAUAAGUGGCUUGGAGUUUCGUUUGUGUCUCACAUUGAUCCUAAGUCCAACUUUGCUCAUUUCUGGAUGAGUCAGUCUUCAAACUCGGUUAACAUUGUGUGGAGUACAAUUUGGGUGGGGGUUGUGAGUGAAAUCUGGAAUCACAGGAACCUUAUCAUUUUCAAAAGGGGUGUGACUGAUGUGUCAGAAAUGCUUGCAAUGGUGCAAGUAAAGGUUUGGUCUUGGAUUUCCACAAAAUCUCGUUCUGCUUCGUUUUCCUAUUCUGAUUGGUGUUUAGAACCUUCGGCAUGCAUGAUGAUUGUUCCUUGAAGUUUUUACGUGUUAGUUUGGUUAGUGCUUUCAUCAGUUAGGUAGGCGGUUCUAGUUAAAAGUUGGUUCUCAUUUAUUUAUUGUUUAUUGCUGAUAAAAAUAAAAUAAAAUAAAAAGAACCAUCCACCCUCUCUCCAUCCACUCUCCCACCCUCAAAAUCUUUGAAACAAACAAAAAAAAAAUAUUCCCUCCCUCCUGAAAACAAACAUGUGGACCACCAUGAAUUAAGUUUCUUUUGACUCUUUCUCCUCCACUGUCAGAAUCAUGUGGUGGAUCAGAAGUUGAGAUUGAAAUUGUUUAACAAUCAUCUUUUCGAAUUUUUAAUCCUUUUCUUAUCUUAGUCUGCCUUGUGUAUUUGUAUGUGUAUUAUUUGUGUGGUUAUUGGAAACUUUCUUGUGUCUUUUUAUAGUUAUAACACAUUCUUUUAGUUUAUCUAUUUAAUUGUUUAUAUAAAAAAAUGUCAGUUUAUUAUCAUGUAACUUGAACUAUAUUCAGGAUCAGUUCGAAAAAUAUACAAGUUUAUUUCUUACCUAUUAUAGAAUAAGAAAUGACCCAUUUUUACAUUUCAAAAAUAUUUUAUGAAAUUGAAAUAAAUAUGAUUAAUAAAGAAAAUUUAUAAUAAAAUGAUAAAAAUAUCUAUUUUUAUCAUAAUUUCUACCAUGACCGUCUAUUUUAUUUAAUAAUAUGGUGAAAUCAACAAAGAAUAACAUAAUGAAUUGGGUAUUGCACAUACACAUUCAUUGCCAAUUGUAACUGCAUGGGUUAUCGAAAUGAUUGCAUCCAUUAUUGAGGGACUAUCAUCAUAUAUAAUACAAGUUUUUUUUGUAAUUAAUAUCAAGUUAGUUUGGACUGGGAAUAAAGUUGUUUAACUUUUUUUGAUUUAUUUGUUUUUGACGGUUUUAAAAAAGACAAUACCAAAUUAUGUAAGGUUUACUUUUUUGCUAUGGCUAUUAUGAACUGUUUUUUUGAGAGUUCUGAUGUAACAUUCUUUUACUGAUGUAAUUUUAGAGGACUAUUUAAAAUAGUUUUUUUUUAUAGAUUGGAAUAUGCCUUAAACAUUCCUAUUUGUUUAAUUUAUUUCUGAUAAAAAAACGGUAAAAUAAAACACUAAUCCAAAACUAUAAUUAACCUAAGCACAAAUCUGAACUCUUAUUCCUUUAUCUCCUUCACAAAGCUCUUAAAGUUCUCAUAAGAUGUUCCUCCUUUUGCUAUGUUCUUCAUCACUUUCUCCUUCAACACCACACACCUACAUUUUAUGUUCUCAUCAUUAAAUAAUUGUUCCACUUUGGUUUUCAACUCUCCACGUGAAACAAUCCCAUUUUGAUCCUUGUCAAUCCCCAACCCAACCUUUAACUCAUCACAAAUAUGUGCUUUGUUGUAAAGUUGCUCUCCAAAGUAUGGCCAACACAAGAAAGGUACUCCAUUGGACAAACUUUCCAUGGUAGAAUUCCAACCACAAUGAGUGAGAAAACAUGCUAUGGCAGGGUGACUUAAAACCUUUUGUUGAGGAGCCCAAUUCACUAUCUUACCCUUAUGCCCUUGGAAUUCAUGAGGGUAUGCCAUUUUAUUGUCUUCUCUUAUAACCCAAAGAAAAGGUCUAUUGGUGAGGUCUAGUCCAAGGGCAAGUUCAUUGAAUUGGUUUUGGUCAAAAAGAGUGAAACUACCAAAGGCAGCAUACAACACAGAACCAUCAGCUUGUUCAUCUAGCCAACUCAUGCAAGAGUGGUCUUCUUUCCAGAAUUGUCCCAUUGGUUUUGUAAUUGCACUUUUGUUGCCAUCAUUACCAUUGCUUCUCAACACUGGCCCAAUUGGGAUGAUCUUGGGAAGAAAUAAUAAUGUCCCAGGUUCAAGUUCAUGUGAGGUGUUGCAAAGCCACCACUGUGUCAAAUGUAAACUUCGUGUGCAAUGCAGCAGAUACUGAAGCAUUUUCUUACCAGUUAGGCCACCCAUAUUCAACCAAAAAAAGUCUUCUGUAUCCAUCUCAGGCAUACUUGGCGAAAUCUGAAUUCUCUUUUUCGUGGUUAAUGUUAAAUCUUCAGUGAAAAACCAACAAAAGAAUAUAUUAGUUUAUACAACGUAUAAAUUAAAUUAUAAAUUAUGUUCAAACUUAACUAUACAUAAUAUUCUCACCUAAAUCAGAGACUAUAAUUCCCUCAUCAAUAAGCACAGGGAUGUUGUACAGCAAGGUGAAAAAAGUUGCUGAUGCAGGACACAACACAGCUCCUUUGAUUCCCAAUUUACUCCCAACAUCCAAAGCCCAAGCCAUGCACAAAUCAACAACAAUGAAGUUGAUUCUGUUCUCACCUUUCAAAUGAAUAUCCUCUAUGAGCUUCUCAAGUGCUUCUGGCAUGGUGUUUGGAAUGGCAUCACACAUCUUGGCCAGAUCGUUUCUGUCAUCAUCAGGUCCUAAACCAUCAGGGAUUGAAACCAACUUCAGCACUGAUUCUUGUUCAUCAGGGCUAGAACUAUCUUGUUGCUCCACCAUGGAACUCACCACUCUCCUGUGGUUAAAGUCUGUGUUCACAAAAAUGACUUUGCAUCCAUUCUCAAGCAGCUUCUGUGAGAAGGUCAUCAUGGGAUUCACAUGCCCUUGUGCUGGAUAUGGUAAAGCUAUCACAGUUGGAGUUCUCAUGUUAACACUGUUUUUAUUUGGUUUCUAUUGAUUCUGAUUUCUGAGGCCAAUUAUGCAUUCAUCUGUUCAUGUAUAUAUAGGCACAGCCCCUCACAUUAAAAACGUUAAUCAAUGCCUUAACUAUAUCAUAAUCACAGUAAGAAAUAUCUUUGGAUGAAUUUGAAAGGAAAGGUAAUAAAUGAAAAUUUUCAAAUAAUAAAAUACAUUUUCUAAAGUUCAGGUAUACAUAUAAAUGUUAAAAAUGGAAAUAUACCAUUUUCUUUCAUUAUAAAAAAUAUUGCAUAUAGUCACUAGUGUGGGCCAAAGACAGGACAUAAAGAGGUAAACACUGAUCCUAGAUGCUUGUUAGUGUCGGCAACUGAGCUCAAAAGCAAAUGCAGAUUGAAUCAGCUAAAUCGAUGCAAGCUUGAUCACAACCCAUAUUUGUAGUACUUUUUUGUUCUAAGGCAUCUUUGUAGUACUUUUUUCUUCCUGCCCUUACAAGCCUGUGGAUGAAUGUAUCAUAAACUAAUAACUAUAUAAAGAUAACCUUUGCAACACUUAUACCAAAUCAAGUCCCUAUAAAUUUAACCAAAUUCUCUGUUUUUUGAAUUUGGUUCUCUUGAAUGUUUAUUCAGAAAUGUUGUCCCAAUACUGGAUUAUGCUAAAUCAUGGAGAAAUUGAAUUAUUCAUAACAAACCAUGUUAUUAUGAAACAUGCUUGUCUCAAGUCUUAAUGUGAAAUUCUUUUAAGCUGAAAUCUAAUAUGGUAUAAGAUUCUAUAGCUCAUUUGUGUUGAAUUACAAUAAACUGAGACAAUUUGGGCAUUGAAAUUUUCUUAAAACAGGGUCCAAUGUGCAAGGCCAUACAUCCAUCCAUUUUAUUUUCCUUAAUGUUCAGAACUUUAGACUGCUAAAUAUUCUAUUUUUCCUUUUUCUCAUACUUCUUGACCCUUCAUGUAUCAUAAUCCAGCAUUCUAUACUUAUAUAAACCAAGAAAAAUGGACUUUUCCCUGAGCACUCAUUAAGCCAUUAACCCUCUUGCAGAAACAAAACUGGAUGAAAUUAAAGAUAAAAGAUUGCAAGCCAUUUGUUAAAACGUCAUCAAGUAUCCAUUCUCAAACAAUUCUGAUUCUUCCAAUAAAAACUCAUUUCUCUCCUGUUUUAUUUCACAUCCUUCUAAUCACUCUUCCCAUUCAAAAAUAACAGUUAAUUAUAUUUUACUAUUUUAUUACCUCUCCUCUACAAUCUCGAGAUCCUGCUGCAGCAGAAAAGCUCUUGCUCUGCACUAAAAGUUUAAAGACUCUGAACAGCAACAACAAAGUUACACAAGUGUAAAGUUUCUUGUUGACCAAGUAUUGUCUUGUAUAGAUGGAGAUAAAAAGUGAUUAUUUGGAGCCAACACCUCUCUACAAAUCUUGUAUAUUCAAAGAGUGGAUUAAGAGUCUUUUACCGAUGAAGAUUUACUUCUACUCCCUCUCACUUUGCUAAAUGCAAGUGAUUCAAAAUAUAAGUUAAGUAAGAGUUAGAUAAAUUCAACAGUUAGAUUUAUUCAUUAAAUACGACUGCCAUAUCAGAAAAUUCAACCUUUUCUAGAUGCAGAUUUUCUACACUAUGGAUUUAUACACUCACAAGUCCAACUCAUCAAAACCCUUGAAUAAAAGUCAAACUGCUAUAGUUUGAACCAUCCACUACUAGUCCAACUAUCGCUUUUUCUUAUUGGUGGCUAGAUCAGGGAAUUCAUCAAGUUUGAACCAUUCACUUCUAAUUAAUCCAACUAUCACUCUUUCUUAUUCGUGGCUGCAUCAGUGAGAAUAUUCUAGUUUUCAACAAGACUCAAACAAAAGAUGUUCCACCAUCUUAAAGUCAAGUCAUCCUCUGUAGAACAUCGUAUACUCAUCUCAUCAAUAAUUGUUACGAACUGAAACUGAUUUCUAUUAACCCUAUCCCUCACCAAUUUCUACCAUGGCAGCAGAACUUGUUGGUGGUGCUCUUCUUUCGGCUUUCCUUCAGUUUGCAUUCGAUAGGCUGGCCUCUCCUCAGGUUAUAGACUUCUUUCGGAGAAGAAAACUUGAUGAGAAACUGCUCGGCAAUUUGAACAUCAUGCUACACUCCAUCAAUGCUCUCGCUGAUGAUGCUGAACUAAAGCAGUUCACAGAUCCACAUGUCAAAGCAUGGCUUUUUGCGGUCAAAGAGGCUGUCUUUGAUGCAGAGGAUCUUUUGGACGAAAUAGAUUAUGAACUCACCAGAUGUCAAGUGGAAGCUGAACUUGAACCUCAAACCAUCGCUUACAAGGUAUCAAACUUCAUCAACUCUACUUUCAGUUCAUUUAACAAGAGAAUUGACUUAGGGUUGAAAGAAGUCUUAGAAAAAUUAGAAUAUCUUGCAAGGCAAAAGGGUGCUCUUGGUUUGAAAGAGUGUACUCAUUCUGGUGCUGGAUCAGGUAGUAAAGUGCCAUCAUCUUCUUUGGUGGUUGAAAGUGUUAUUUAUGGCAGAGAUGCUGACAAAGAUUUAAUCAUUAAUUGGCUCACAUCGGAAACCAAUAAUCAAAACCAGCCAUCAAUUCUUUCUAUUGUGGGUAUGGGUGGGUUGGGUAAAACCACACUCGCUCAACAUGUAUACAAUGACCCAAAGAUUAACAAUGCUAAAUUUGAUACCAAAGCUUGGGUCUGUGUUUCAGAUCAUUUUCAUGUUUUGACCGUGACAAAAACUAUUCUUGAGGCAAUCACUGAUAGAAAAGAUGACAGUGGAAACCUAGAAAUGGUUCACAAAAAACUGAAACAAAAUUUGUUAGGAAAGAAAUUUCUUCUUGUAUUGGAUGAUGUUUGGAACCAAAGACGAGACGAAUGGGAAGCUGUGCAAACUCCUCUUACCUACGGCGCUACUGGAAGUAGAAUUCUUGUGACAACACGUGAUGAGAAAGUUGCUUCUAACAUGCAAUCUAAAGUGCAUCGCCUAAAACAAUUACGAGAGGAUGAAUGCUGGAACGUUUUUGCAAAACACGCAUCAAUAGAUGAUAAUCUUGAAUUGAACAAUGAGCUAAAGGAGAUUGGUAGAAGGAUAGUUGAGAAGUGCAAAGGAUUACCUUUAGCUUUGAAAACAAUUGGAUGUCUUUUACGCACAAAGUCAUCCAUUUCAGAUUGGAAAAGCAUAUUGGAAAGCGACAUAUGGGACUUACCAAAGGAAGAGAGUGAAAUUAUUCCUGCGCUAUUUCUGAGCUAUCACUACCUUCCUUCUCAUCUUAAACGGUGCUUUGCUUAUUGUGCCUUAUUCCCUAAAGAUUAUGAGUUUGUGAAGGAGAAGUUAAUUUUGUUGUGGAUGGCCCAAAACUUUCUAGGAUGCCCUCAACAGGUUAGACAUCCUGAAGAAGUUGGUGAACAAUAUUUCAAUGAUCUUUUGUCAAGGUCUUUCUUUCAACAAUCAAUCACCAAAAGGGGUUUUGUCAUGCAUGACCUUCUGAAUGAUCUAGCAAAAUAUAUUUGUGGGGACAUCUGUUUCAGGUUGAGAUUUGAUAAAGGAAAAUGUAUACCAAAAACAACCCGUCAUUUUUCAUUUGCAUUAGAUGAUGUCAAAUGUUUUGAUGGUUUCGGGAGUUUAACUGAUGCUAAAAGACUGCGUUCAUUUAUUUCAAUUACAGAAAUUGGGAGAACAUGCAUUGGCUAUUAUCCUUGGGAGUUCAAGAUUUCAAUACAUGAUGUGUUCUCCAAGUUUAAUUUUUUACGUGUUAUAUCUCUCUAUUCUUGUUUGGACCUUGUAGAGGUCCCAAAUUCUAUAGGUAAUCUUAAACAUCUCCAAUCGUUAGACCUUUCGAAAACUGGGAUACAAAAGCUACCCGACUCAACAUGUUUGCUCUAUAACUUGCUAAUACUAAAGUUGAACUUUUGUGGAUAUCUGAAGGAGCUGCCAUCAAAUUUGCAUAAACUCACCAAAUUACGUUGCCUGGAGUUUAAAAAUACAAAAGUGACAAAGUUGCCAAUGGAUUUGGGAGAAUUAAAGAAUCUUCGAGUACUGAGUACCUUUUUUGUCCAUAAAAAUAGUGAAUUCAGUAAUAAACAGCUAGGAGGACUCAAUCUUUAUGGAGACCUAUCAAUUAAGGAGCUGCAAAAUAUUAUGAAUUCAUCGGGAGCAUUAGCAAUGGACUUGAAAAACAAAACACACCUUAUGAGGUUAAAGUUAAAAUGGAAUAAAAAUCACACCCCUGAUGAUCCAAGGAAAGAAAAGGAACUACUUGAGAUUCUGCAGCCCUCCAAACACUUGGAGCGUUUGUCAAUCAGAAACUACAAAGGUAUAGAAUUCCCAAGUUGGAUAUUUGAUAAUUCGUUAUCAAAUUUGGUGUUCUUACGGUUGGAGGACUGUAAAUAUUGUCUAUGUUUGCCUCCCCUUGGGCUUUUGUCAUCUCUGAAGAUCCUCAAAAUUAGACGGCUUGAUGGAAUAGUGAGCAUUGGUGCUGAAUUUUAUGGGACCAACUCUUCAUUUACGUCCUUGGAAAGGUUGGAAUUCUACAACAUGAAGGAAUGGGAAGAAUGGGAAUGUAAAACUACUUCUUUUCCACGUCUUCAACAUCUUUCUGUGGAUCAAUGUCCCAAGCUGAAAGGUUUGUCAGAGCAACUUAUUCAUUUAAAGAAAUUAUUUAUUUCUCACUGUGAUAAGCUCAUCAUUAGCGGCAUGGACACAUCAUCGCUUGAACUCUUGGAAAUUGUUUCAUGCCCACUUGUGAAUGUUCCCAUGAUCCAUUACAAUUUCCUUGAACAAUUGACGAUUGAUGCUGCCUGCAACUCUCUUACAAUUUUUCUGCUAGAUUUCUUUCCAAAGAUCCGUUUAAUUCACCUGAGAAGGUGCCAAAAUCUGAGAAGAAUUUCACAGGAGCACACUCAUAAUCAUCUCAAGGAAUUAACAAUUGAUGAUUGCCCUCAAUUUGAAUCAUUUCCUAGUGAAGGAUUAUCUGCACCGUUGCUACAAAAUAAUUGUAAGUCGAGGAGCUGAGAAUUUGAAGCUGUUGCCAAAACGCAUUCAAAUACUGGUGGGAUCCCAGAGGAUGGUCCAGCCAAGCUUACAAGAAGAUGGUCUGCCCAAAUCUGUCUCUUCUCUUACAACUUGGGAAUGUUCAUUGCUCAAACAGAGUUGUCAGAAUCCAGAAGGCGAAGACUGGGGAAAGAUUAAUCACUUUCAGAAACUGAGUGUUAGGUAAUAAGAUGAAGCUAAAGUUCAGAAAAAGAUGUGGAGCAAAUCCCAUUUUUCUGCCUCUUCUACAGGUGCUAAUUAAUUUUCCACAAUAUCCCUCUCCCUUUUCAAUUACAUUUUUCUUAAGUUGCAAAUAUUUCACUCUGUAAUCAGCAUUUACUAAACCUUCAAAAGUAAUGGUAACGUUAUGCAUGUGUUUCAACCCAAAUUUGCAUAGGCAUGAUUGUGUAGCCUGUCACCUGACAUGUAGAUUAGGUAUGUAAAGCUUGUGUAAUUAUUGAACUGUAAAAGGUAUACAUGUGUGUUAAUGGAAGCAACAUUACAAUAUAUUUUAGAUAUAUGAUCUGCAUAUAAAGUCAUCCAGUUUUCCCCAUGGAUGUGUAUAUAUAUAUAUACAUGACAGCAUAAAACAAAACCACUGUCUCCUCAUCAAGUUUCUGCACUGCAGGGAUUUACUUUAUGUCAGGAUAACAAGUGGCAAAUAGAAAUUAUAUUUCACUUUAUUCAUAUUUAUCUUCCAAUAUAUAUAUAUAUGAACGGUUUUGUCAUCUGUUUUAGGAGAAAACUAUAAUCUGUUUCUACCAAUGUGUCAAGAUAUAAUGAAGAGAAAACAAGUAGAGGGGUUUGAAAUUGGAUCAUCAGAGGAUGAGUAACUAAAUAAGUCCAGGCAAACUACUACAUCUGAGAGAGAGAUUGAAGGAAUAGGAAUUGUGACAUGUAAAGGCUUCUAAGCAUCCAUUCUUAGAACUUGAAAUUAUACAUGCUUUUCUUACUGAAUUGUGAAAUAGCAUUCCAGUUGUUUUCUAGCAAUGUACCAUGAUAAUAUAAAGAGAAAAUAAGUACAAGUGAUUGAAAUUCUGUUAUCUGAGGAUGAGUUUUCCAAUACAAUUCCCAGGCAAACUCCUACAUCUAAGAGGGAAAUUGAAAUAAAGGAGGAGUGAAAGGAAAAUACUUUUAAACAUUACUUCAUAGAACAUGUACUGGUUUUCUAGCUGAUUGGGAAAGUGGAAUUGAAAUAGUGAGCAUUGUAACAGCUUAUACUUUUUGCUUUUCCACCUUGGAUUUUCAUUUGUUCAUAAAAUUAGAAGAGGAGAGAUUCAAGUAAGUAACCUGAUUAGUAAAGCUUGAGUACUUGAACCAAACAAAGUACAUGUAUUUGUUAAUGGAAGAAGCUUUAGAUAUUUUACAAUAUAUUUCACUUGAUACUUCAUUUUUCUAACUAAACUGUUUUUCUGAACCUCUUCGUGGGUCUAUUUUCAAGAAAUCUUGUAUAUAUUGAAACUGUCACCUCUUUGACUCUUACAUUAGAGAAAUGAACUCAUGCAAUUCACAAUUUCAACUCAUUGUUGAACUGUCAGAACUUUGUGUAGUUAUUCUCUUCCACCAUGGAUCCUCAAAUUUCCAAUAACUCUUCCACCAAUGAGUCUUUUAUUAUGAUUGAUGUACAACUAAACAUUGAUUUGUGUUAAAAGUCUGUAAUAUACAUUGUUAAAAAAAUUGUAUUCCUACUAAUUAAUAGAAAAUGACUUGGCUUACUGCAACUAAAAAAUUUAAGUCAAUAUGAUAAAUACAUUUUUAUAAAUUAAUUAAAGAUUAGAUGAGAAGUAAACAUACAAGCUUUAAAAAGUAAUUAAACAUUUUUUUGAAUUUUGAAAACAAUAUACAAGUGAAAUUAUAAGUAUUUAAAAAAUCUAGCAAUUAAGAAAACAGUGCAGACGUGAUUGUUUGAAAUUCAGCACAGUAGAUAUUAAAGAAGUAAGACGUUUUCCUUCUUCAUACAUUGUUUCCUAAAUAUAUAUAAAAGCAAAAUUAUUCUCGAAAAACAUGAUUAUUCUCUGAACAUGAUUUUGGAGAGGUCCUUUCUGAGCAUGUUGUAAACUAUAUUAAUAUUAAUAAUAUAAGGUAAUAGUCUAUGCUUAUAAAAGGAAAAAAAUGAAGCAGAACAUGGUGAGAAGAUGUAAUGCAGAAGCUUAAUAGAAAGAAAUGACUUCUGUCUUGUGACCUUAAUUAACUCAAACAAUUACUUAAAGAAUUGAGAUUUGGGAAAGUUACAGAGAUCACUCUUGCUUCUCAUAACCAAAUGCUCUUAAUAUAUAUUGCCUCAGUAUUUCACACAGAAGCUGAGACCUAUCACAGAAGAAUUUCAUUAGUUUUUUAUUCAUACACGCUAAACAUAGCAUAAUAAUAUAAUAUAAAGUCAUACAUCAGCAUUAUUUUAAUUUUAAAAUGAAGAUUUUAUAUUCAAACGAUAAGAUUUUUCUUUUCUUUUCUUGAAGUAAUAUUUUAAAACUUGAAAUACAUAAAAAAAAACUGUUAACAAAUUAUAUAAUUGAUCAAUAUUUAAGGGUAUCUUCUUUCCACAAGUUGAAGCUACAGAGACAGAACAAGAAAAUAAAGACGUAUAAGACACCACUAUUGUCCGACUUUUAUUCAUUAAAUACGUUUGUGAUAUCAUAUCAGAAAAUAAACAAUUAUUUCAUGACUUUGGGGCUAUCGACCUUAUUUGGAUACUCAUUUCCUAGACUCAGGAUUUUAUACAUUCAACAUUGAAUAUAGAACUAAUCGAACAUAAAAUAUGUAUCCAAUGUUUGAAAACCAAACUUCAAUCACUCUUUAUGAUUGGCUGAAUCUUUGAAUGCAACAAAGAAUAGUGGUAUUAAUCUUUUAAGAAAGACUAUAUUGGUUGAGUAGCCAUCAAAGAAAACUAUGUUCUAAAAUACUUUACUACUCAUCCUAUCAACACAUACUGCAGUUCAACACAUCCUUAGUCUCAUUUUCCAAUUCCUACCAUGGCAGCAGAAGUUGUUGGUGGUGCUCUUCUUUCGGCUUUUCUUCAGGUUGCAUUCGAUAGGCUCGCUUCUCCUCAAUUUCUACACUUCUUUCGUGGAAGAAAACUUGAUGAGAAACUGCUAGCCAAUUUGAACAUCAUGCUGCACUCCAUCAAUGCUCUCGCUGAUAAUGCUGAACUAAGGCAGUUCAAAGAUCCACACGUCAAAGCAUGGCUUUUUGCAGUCAAAGAAGUUGUCUUUGAUGCAGAGGAUCUUUUGGAUGAAAUAGACUAUGAACUCACCAGAUGCCAAGUGGAAGCUGAAUCUGAACCACAAACCAUCACUCACAAGGUAUCAAACUUCUUCAAUGCUACUUUCAGUUCUUUUAACAAGAAAAUUGACUCAGGGUUGAAAGAAGUGCUAGAAAAAUUAGAAUAUCUUGCAAGGCAAAAGGGUGCUCUUGGUUUGAAAGAGUGUACGUAUUCUGGUGAUGGAUCAGGUAGUAAAGUGCCACAGAAAUUGCCAUCAUCUUCUUUGGUGAUUGAAGGUGUUAUUUAUGGCAGAGAUGCUGAUAAAGAUAUAAUCAUUAAUUGGCUCACAUCUGAAACCGACAAUCCUAACCAGCCAUCAAUACUUUCCAUUGUGGGAAUGGGUGGGUUAGGCAAGACCACACUUGCCCAACAUGUGUACAAUGACCCAAAGAUUGAAGAUGCUACAUUUGAUAGCAAAGCUUGGGUCUGUAUUUCAGAUCAUUUUAAUGUUUUGACUGUGACAAGAACAAUUCUUGAGUCAGUCACUCAUAAAAAACAUGAUAGUGAAAAUCUAGAAAUGAUUCACAAAAACCUUAAGGAAAAAUUGUCAGGAAAGAAAUUUUUUCUUGUUUUGGAUGAUGUUUGGAACGAAAGACUAGAAGAAUGGGAAGUUGUGCAAACUCCUCUUAGUUAUGGAGCUCCAGGAAGUAGAAUUCUUGUCACAACUCGUGGUGAGAAAGUUGCUUCUAUCAUGAGGUCUAAAGUGCAUCACCUAAAGCAAUUAGAAGAGAAUGAAAGCUGGAAAGUUUUUGAAAAUCAUGCAUUAAAAGAUGGUGAUCUUGAAUUUAGCGAUGAGCUAGAGCAUAUUGGUAGAAGGGUAGUUAAGAAGUGCAAGGGAUUACCUUUAGCUUUGAAAACAAUUGGAUGUCUUUUACGCACAAAGUCAUCCAUUUCAAAUUGGAAAAGCAUAUUGGAAAGUGACAUAUGGGAAUUACCAAAAGAAGACAGUGAAAUCAUCCCGGCGCUAUUUCUAAGUUAUCACUACCUUCCUUCUCAUCUUAAAAGGUGCUUUGCUUAUUGUUCCUUAUUCCCCAAAGAUUAUGAGUUUGUGAAGGAGGAGUUAAUUUUGUUGUGGAUGGCCCAAAAUUUUCUACAGUGUCCACAACAGAUUAGACAUCCAGAAGAAGUUGGUGAACAGUACUUCAAUGAUCUAUUGUCAAGGUCUUUCUUUCAACCAUCAAACGUCAAAAGGCAUUUCAUCAUGCAUGACCUUCUGAAUGAGUUGGCAAAAUAUAUUUGUGCAGAUUUCUGUUUCAGGUUGAAAUUUGAUAAAGGUCAAUGCAUACCGAAAAUAACCCGUCAUUUUUCAUUUAAAUUCUAUGACAUAGAAAAAUUUGAUGGUUUAGAGAGUUUAACUUAUGCUAAAAGACUGCGGUCAUUUCUUCCACUUACAAAAUAUAGGACUCUUGAGCUUGGCCAUUCUCCACGAAUAUCCAAGAUUGUGAUUACAACUAUUAUAAGAGCUUUCAAUCAGUAUCCAUGGCAGUUCAAGAUAUCAAUACAUGAUUUGUUCUCCAAAAUUAAGUUCAUACGCGUCUUAUCUUUUAAUGGUUGUUUGGACCUUAAAGAGGUCCCAAAUUCUGUAGGUGAUCUUAAAUAUCUCUAUUCGUUAGAUCUUUCGUAUACUGAAAUAAAAAAACUACCUGACUCAGUAUGUUUGCUCUAUAACUUGCUAAUAUUGAAGUUGAACAAUUGUUCAAAGUUGGAAGAGUUACCCUUAAAUUUGCAUAAACUUACCAAAUUGCGUUGCCUGGAAUUUGAAGAUACAAAAGUGAGAAAAAUGCCAAUGCAUUUUGAGGAAUUGAAGAAUCUUCAAGUACUUAGUACAUUUUUCAUGGAUAGAAAUAGUGAGCUAUGUACUAUGCAACUGGGAGGACUCAAUCUUCAUGGAAUGCUAUCAAUGAAAGAGUUGCAGAAUAUUUUGAAUCCUUUGUAUGCAUUAGAAGCAAAUUUGAAAAAUAAACACCUUGUGAAACUAAAGUUAGAAUGGAAGUCCGACUACAUCCCUGAUGAUCCAAGGAAAGAAAAGGAAGUACUUGAGAAUCUACAACCUUCCAAACAAUUGGAGGGUUUGUCAAUCAGAAGCUACGGUGGUACACAAUUCCCAAGUUGGUUAUUCAAUAAUUCGUUAUCAAAUUUGGUGUUUUUAGUGUUGGAGGAUUGUAAAUAUUGCCUAUGUUUGCCUCCUCUUGGACUUUUGUCAUCUCUGAAAACCCUCAAAAUUAGAGGGCUUAAUGGAAUAGUGAGCAUUGGUGCUGAAUUUUAUGGGAGCAACUCUUCAUUUGCAUCCUUGGAGAGAUUGGAAUUCUACAGCAUGAAGGAAUGGGAAGAAUGGGAAUGUAAAACCACUUCUUUCCCACGUCUUCAACAUCUUGAUGUGGUUGAAUGUCCAAAGCUGAAAGGUCUGUCAGAGCAACUCCUACAUUUGAAGACACUGGAUAUUAAUCACUGUGAUAAGGUCGUCAUUAGCGGAAACAACAUGUACACAUUGUCGCUUGAACUCAUGAGGCUUUAUUCAUGUCCACUUGUGAAUAUUCCCAUGACAACCCAUUACUAUUUCCUUAAAGAAAUGCAUAUUGGUGGUUGGGACUCUCUUGCAAUCUUUCCACUAGAUUUCUUUCCAAAGCUCUGUUCACUUGAAAUGAAAGGGUGCCAAAACCUAAGAAAAAUCUCACACAAGGACACUCAUAAUCAUCUCAAGGAACUAGAAAUUGUUGAUUGCCCUCAAUUUAAAUCAUUCCUGGUUGAAGGAUUAUCUGCACUAGGAGCUGAGAAUUUGACGUUUUUGCCAAAACCCAUGCAAGUCUUGUUUCCAUCCCUUACUAUGCUGUGGAUAAUUAACUGUCCAGAAGUGGAGAUGUUCACAGGUGGAGGUUUUCCAUUAAAUGUAAAAUAUGUUUGUCUUUCAAGUUUAAAACUUAUCGCCUCCCUGAGAGAGGCUUUGGAUGCAAACACAUGUCUUGAAACCUUGAUUAUUAGACACUUGGACGUGGAGUGUUUUCCUGAUGAAGUUUUGCUGCCACACUCUCUAUCCUAUUUAGAAAUCUAUGGUUGCCGAAAUCUUAAAAAGAUGGAGUACAAAGGUCUCCGCCACCUCACCUCUCUCGUACUUUUUGAUUGUCCCAGCCUUGAAUGCUUACCGGAGGAGGGUCUGCCCAAAUCCAUCUCUUCUCUUUCAAUCAUUGGUUGUCCACUGCUGAAGAAGCGUUGUCAGAAUCCAGAUGGCAAAGACUGGGGAAAGAUUGCUCACAUCCCAAAACUGUUUGUUGAGUAAUAAGAUGAGGCACAAGUUCAAAAUUAGAGUUGCAGCUAUUUCCAUUUGUUUGCCACUUCAACAGGUGCCAAUUCUCCACAAUAUCUCUUUACCUUUUCAAUUACAAUUUUCUUAGUUGCAAACAGUAACCCUAUAAUUAUUGCCAUUUUCCAAACAAUAGCAGCAUACAUUAUACUUCAACUUGAUUUUUAAAUUAAUAAUAUAAUUGGAAGCCAAGAUCCUUACUUCUUUACCUGACUUCUCAGCUUUCUGAACAGAGUUCUUAGUGAUAUUCUUCAUGACCCCUCAUUCUGUCUUGAAUAAGAGAUGAUGACAUAAUGUUUAAUAGAGUACUUCAGCUUCUAUUUUCAACAAAGUUUGGUCUGGCUUCUCACUCAAACAAAAUUACAGUAUGAGUUUCAAUCUUUUGGUUUCUCCUUCCUUUCACCUCUCUAUCUGUCCAUUCAACUAAUUUUAUCUUAUGUAAAGAAAAAAAUUAAAUUACGGCUUUGUUGUAGUUUCUGGGAUGAUACGAAUUGUAUUUAUGGGGAUGUUUUCCUUUUGCAGAAUAAUAUGUAAAUGGAAAGACUCUGAUAUAUGUAAAGGGAUGCUGUUGGAGUGAGUUUUCUUGGUAUGGUUAUUGCUGCAUAGCAAUUCUGAUGGCUUAGGUGCUUAAAAAGUGCUAUGGUGAAGGUCUGGAUGGUGACGGCAAUGAUGUUGAAGUGUGCUGUUUGGCAAGUAAUUUGCUGCAUAAUAUGUUUGCUGCCACAUACACUUUUUAAUGCUUUUCUGUGCUGCUGGUGCGUCCUUUGCAUGCUGCUCCUAGUGGCUUUUAGACAAAUGCAUUGUUCCUUUUCAGGCUUUUUCAUUGCAGGAUGGGUGUAGGUUUUUUUGUAAGAGCUGAUGCAGACUUGUUUAUCUAGUUUUGGCUCUGGAAAUAUGUAUAUUAAGCCAUAGAAUGUUUGUUUUUGUUCUAAGCCAUAAGGGGAGUAACCUUGUGGUUAUAUAUAUGGGUUGGGAUACCCCUAAAGUAUUCUGUUAAUUUAGAUAAAAAAAAAUAUAUAUAUGUAAAGGGAAGCCUUCAGCUUUUGGACUCACCCAGUUGUGAAAAUUCCCAUGAUCCAUUAUGACUUCCUUCAUGAAAUAGUGAUUGAUGGUUGUGACUUGAAUAUUCAGAAAGUGGAUGUUGACACUAAAAAUUGUGAAGUGAAGAAUUUCUAGCAAGUGCCAUUUAUUCUCGAAAGAUUACUCUGUAGUUGGAAGGUAUAGUUCCAUCCAUCACCAUCCUUUAGCUUGGUAUUCCAGAAAAUUUAUUUUCUUGUCCACACUUAUCCAUCUUUCUUCUUAAUCCAUGCUUGCUUGGUGCGUUAAAUUAAUAAAGUUUCUGACAAAAAAAAACAAACUUAACAGAAUGCAGUUAUUCACACCAGUUCUCAUGUUCUUGGUUCUUUUUUAAAGAAAAUACAGAUUCAUGAUAUAUUGAAAAUCCUGUCCAUGAUAAAAUGAAGCUAGGGGUAUUGACUGGAGACAAGAUGAAAGAAACAGCUGAGAACAUUGGGUACAUUAACAAUGGCUUGUUCUGAAUAAUCUUUCUCUUUUAUUUUCUUCUUUUCUUUGAUAAAACCUUUUUCUGGAAUAAAAGUUUAAAGAUUCUCAGCAGCAACAAGGUCCAUAAUAUGCUUAUCCAAUCUCCAAUCCAAUGCUAAUGUAUCGAUGAUGUGUUGACUUAUCUUUUGUUAGGUUUUGAUUUUAAAUUCAUGAUUUAAUUGGAAGACAAGAAGCUUUACUAAUCAAUCAUUCAUACUAUUUUUUUUACAGUAUCCUUUUUUAUAUCUGGAGGGAGUAGAAGAGACCCUCUUUAGAGAUCUUACUCUUGAUCACUAUUUCUGUCUUGAAUCAAGCCUUCACAAGAGAUGGUAAAGUGUUGUGUGGACUGUGAUGUUAUAAGGCUUUCCAAAGUCUGUUUCUACCAAUGUGCCAAGAUAUGAUAAAGAGAAAACAAGUAAAAGGAUUUGAAAUUGGAUUAUCAGAGGAUGAGUUACCUAAACAAAUUCAGGGCAAACUACAAUAUCUGAUAGAGAGAUAGAAGCAAUGGGAGUUGUGAAAUGUAAAUGCUUUUAAGCAUCCAUUCUUAGAACUUGAAACUAUACAUGCUUUUCUUACUGAGUUAUGAAAUAGCAUUCCAGUUGUUUUAUAGCAAUGUACCAUGAUAUUAUAAAGAGAAAAUAAGUACAAGUGAUUGAAAUUCUGUUAUCUGAGGAUGAGUUUUCCAAUACAAUUCCCAGGCAAACUCCUACAUCUAAGAGGGAAAUUGAAAUAAAGGAGUGAAAGGAAAAUACUUUUAAACAUUAAUUCAUAGAACAUGUAUUGGUUUUCUAGCUGAUUGGGAAAGUGGAAUUGAAAUAGUGAGCAUUGCUAACAGCUUUUACGUUUUGCUUUUCCACCUUGGAUUUCCAUUUGUUCAUAAAAUUAGCAGAGGAGAGAUUUCAGUAAGUAACCUGAUUAGUAAAGCUUGAGUACUUGGACCAAACAAGGCACAUGUAUUUGUUAAUGGAAGAAGCUUUAGAUAUUUUACAAUAUAGUUUACCUGUGGCAGCAUAAAACAAAACCAAUUUAUCCUCGUCCACAGUGAACUAUUAUUGAUUAGUUCAGUGAACUAGUUAUGUACUAAAAAAUUGAAGACUUCUAAACUUCAUUUUUCUGAACCUCUUCGUGGGUCUAUUUGCUUCUGAACCUCUAGCAGAAACAAAAGGUAGAUGAAAUUAAAAAAUAAAGAUUUGAAGCCAUAUAUAAAAUGUGAAUGAAAGAAAUUCAAGAUCACCAUCCAUUCCACUUCUUAAGCUUAGAUAUCAAUCCCUUCCUCACACAGAGGAUCAAAAGGAAACUGGUGCCAAGAUGGUUGGACAAAGUGCAACUGUUAAUUGAAUCUAUGGGUGGUUCUGAGUGCUGCGUGUGGUUUGAGACUGAAUGGUUGUAUUGUGAUCAUUGACACAUUUACACAUUUAACUGUUCAAAAUUUCAUCCACAUGAUUCAUGACUGUUAUAUUAAAAAGUUGAAUAAAUGAUUUCUUUCGUAAGGCUUCCAUUAGAGAGAAGAAAUUGAACACAUAUUAACCGUUCGAUCCAUACAUAAUAUAAUAUAGUUCACCACGUUUUCAAGUUCCAAGAAUGGAUGCUUAGAAGCAUUUACAUUUCAAAACUCCCAUUGCUUCAAUCUCUCUAUCAGAUGUACUAGUUUUCCCUGGACUUGUUUAGGUAACUCAUCUCUUAUAAUCCAAUUUCAAACCCUUCUACUUUCUCUUCAUCAUAUCUUGACACAUUAGUAGAAACAGACUUUGGAAAGACUUAUAAUAUCACAGGCCACACAACACACUGUGACCAUAAGUAUUUCAAAAACAGCCACCUUACCCUCUCUUCUGAAGGCUUCAUUCAAGACAGAAAUAGUGGUAAAGAGUAAGAUCUCUAAAGAGGGUCUCCUCUCUUCUACUGAUACUGUAAAAAAAAGAUAGUAUGAUUGAUUAAAAUAAACUUCCAAUAAACUCUUCAAAAUACUUCCUUGGUUAGAAUUAAAAUCCUCAAUUCCUUCAUUUGUUAUGAAUAACGUUAAGCUUUUUAAAGGCAGAUAAAAUCAUAGAUCACGUAGGUAAAAUCUUUAGGAUUUCCAAUUCAAUCCUGGGAGAUCAAGUAGAGAAAAUAAUUCAAAUAUCCAACACCAUUCAGUCCAACAAUAGAGACAAAACUCAUCGAGAAAUAAGGAUAUCCUGAUUUGCAGCCGUUUUAAACUCUUUUUAGGAUUUAAGUCCAGAAACUCGAAUUGCUGAACCGUGGUCACAACCCUUCUCAUCCGUGUGAUUAUAGGCACUGAUUCCGCGAAAAUAGCCACGACAAUCCAAUAAAAAACAGAAAAUCUAAAGUGUAGCCGAUAACGAAUAAAUGCAUAACAAAAUUCAAAACACAAAGCUUCACUGUAUCACGUGUGCUAGAAUGCCUACGUUCUACCCGUGAAAGUUGGGAAAAUUGUUUAUUUUUAAACAAAAAUAACCCAUUUCAUUAUUAAAAAAAUUUAAUAACAAAGAUGUAUUUGGAAAGUAAAAUUUAACAAUUUAAAAAAAAAAAAUUAAAACUCUUUCACAACCAUCAUAUCACUCACAAAUUCUCAUAAAUUUUUCUCACAUAUUCACUCUAAAAUACUCCAAUUCAAACAAUCUCACUUUUUCCACACUUUAUUCUCACAUCCUCACACAUCCACUUCCUCAAAUUUUCACACAUCCACUCUCUCAAAUUUUCACACAUCCAAGUAAGUCAUUUUAAGCGAUUUGAUACGUUGAGAGCCAAGAGUUGUUACUAUAAGAAAGUGAAGCAUCCAAUCACACUUUGUAUUCUCAACCAUGGCGGAUAUCAUCAGCAAUUUUCCAGAUUCAAUCCUUUGUUACAUUCUCUCUUUUCUCCCAACCAAACAAGUUGUUACAACCAGUAUUCUCUCCAUGCACUGGAACCUUCUAUGGCGUUCAGUUCCUUCUUUGGAUUUCGACGUGGAUACAAUGAGUAUAGAUUAUGACAAAGAAAAAGAGGGCAUCUCUCGCCUUCUUCUCUCAGUGAACUCUUUUCUACGUGGACGCGAUAUGGACCAACUCCUUCAUAGAUUUCGUCUUAGAUGUCCCUGUUUAUAUAAUCAAAAUAGUAUCGAGACAUGCAUUGAGGAUGUUUUGAGAAAAAGUGCUAGACUUCAACACCUCGACCUCGACCUGGGUUUUGUCACUGCGGUGCCCUCUGUGGUGUUUAUAUGCAAAACUCUUGUAGUUCUCAAAUUGGCAUUCGUAUCACCGAAAAAUGUUUCUUUUGUAGAUUUGCCCUUGCUUAAAAUCUUGCAUUUGAAUUCUGUUAGCUUCUUAGACUGUGAAUAUCUUCUUCAACAGUUUCUUUCUGGGAGUCCUAAUAUAGAGGACUUGGAAGUCGAGACUUUUAAUAAUUUUACUAUAAAAGAAUUCCACAGUUUGCCCAAGUUGGUCAGAGCUAAAAUCGAUGCACCAGCUGUACUUCCAUUGGAAAUUAUUAAGAACGUUGAAGUUUUUGUGACAAAUAGGGUAUGCCUGUAAAAUUUGUUUCUUAUUUACUUUCUAUUUGUAUGGGAAAAAAAUGUGAUUUCUGAUGUUUUUUACAUUAUUUUGUAUCUCUUGCAGAUAUAUAAUCAAGACCUGGUUUUUGAUUUUCAAAAUUUAGUUCAACUUGAGUUUGUUACUUGGGAGGAUAGUGAGGGAUGGCUUGAUGUCUUGAAGGUGUUCAGGCAUUGUCCAAAGCUUCAAACUCUUUUCAUUCGCAUUAAAGACGAUGAAGAAGAUCCAGUUUUGCCAUACCCACUUACUGUUCCUACCUGCAUUUCAUUACACCUUAAAACCUGUUGUCUUCAAUACUACAGGGGUUCUGAAUUUGAGUUUCAAUUUGCGGAAUAUAUUAUGCUGAAUGCAAAUUAUUUACGCACCAUGAAAUUCCUCAUUCGCAGUGAUGAUUAUAGUAAUCUUUUGAGAAGACAUGAUAUGAUAAGAGAUUUAUCAUCAUGCAGUAAGAGUUCAGAUGCUUGUACACUUUCAUUUGAAAAGUAUGUUUGACUUUUAUAUUUGUGAAUGUUUAUCAAAUUAAUCUACUUUUCUUCUUCGCAUGUUUCUAAAUUUAGUUUAGUUUCUGUUUCAUAUUUUUCUUACCGAUUAGAGGAUGAUAUCAUGGUUUUGUGCUUUUAAUUCUUGAAUAGUUUAAAUUUUAUGAAAAAAUGUAAAAGAAAAUCAUUGCAAAGACUCGUAAUUCAGUAUUGGUAUGAAAGUAUUUACCUACCAUCACUCAAUUAUAAAGAUAUAAAUUUUACUAAUAUUCUCAAGUUAGAAUUAGAAUAUAUCUUAAUACAAUUGCUGCGAUGGAUCUGUGAUGAAGAGCCAUGUGUGAAGAAUGAUGAAAACACCUCAGCAAUCGAAAAGAAAAGCACACAACACUGUGAAACGAUCUCCAUAAACAGAGAAAGAAAAAGAGCACGAACAGAAGAACCUACAGAAAAGGGAAAGUGAAGAACGAAGAUGAUGCAAGUUUUUUGUUAAAGAGGCACCAAACAAAGAACUUUGCAAAACACCUCAUAUCUUAGAGUAACUUCCCUCCCAUACAAGGACGUUAGGUGAAUACAAGGAAGGGUAUUCUGGUGCUUUAUCCGGGUGUGCUCCUGCAUGGAAUCCAUGAUCCUUCUUCCGCUUUCCUGCUGCAUUCCCAAACUGCUGGUACAUGUUGUAUUCUUUUGCAGGUUUUACGCUCUAGAGUUGCUACACAUUUUUUAGAAGGAAGUACUGUUAUCAUAUGGUUCUGUUUUGGUUUGUAGAGGAAAAUAGGGUCUGUUAGUUUUAGUUUGGUGGUGCGCUUUUGUCAGCAGCUGUUUAAGCGAGCGUUAGUCCUGUGCCUAAGGUUUUAGUUGUAUUCUGCUUGUAACCUUGGGUGUUUGCGUGGUAAACCCUGCAUUGUGCCUUUAUGUGUACGCUGUGCUAGUUGGUAUAAGGGUUGGGACACCGGUAUAAGGGUUGGGACACCCUAAAGUGUCCCGUUCUAAUUUACUUUAUUCUUUGCUGAUAAAAAAAAAUAAAAUUCCUCCCAUAUUUCUAACAACCUGUAUUCUAUAAUUUCAUAAUCAAAUUUGACAAUAAAACCAUAAUCUUCAGAUCUGCACCACUUCCACUUAUCAUCCUUCAAGUCUUCCUUCACAAGGGUGUAUCCUUGUGAUUGUGUUUAUGGGUUGGGUUACCUUGAAGUAACCCUUAAUUUAAUUUAUUCAUUGCUGAUAAAAAAAAAAUCUUUCAAGUUUUCCUUCAAAUAUUAUAAAGUGGACUUUAAGUAUAACUUAACCCCAUAAAACCGACUAAUGAGUUGAGGUUGAGGUGAAGUUUGCACCCACUUAUAUACAAUGAAAUAUUAUCAUCUCUUGUCAAUGGGCACAAUUGUCUCAUUUUUUACAUCAAUUGAAACAAACUUACCUGGUUGAGGAUAGAGGUCCAACUCAUAAUGUACAGUUGAUGCACGCGUGGACACAUGACACUCAAGUCAAAGGUUGACCUGGUUAGCAAGACUAACCCAUAGUUAAGGGAUGACCUAAUCCAACCCUAAUCACAAACCAACUCCUUAAUCUGGUCCAACAGCAAGGGCCCAUCAAGGUAAUAUAAAUAUCACGCACUCCAAGGAAAAGGUACGUCAUUAUGAAUAGUAUUCUGACAGCCGAAUACGACACCACACUGACUUGAGCGUUGGAGUGUCAUCUGUAGGUACCCACCCGUCUGAGAAACCACUCGACGAGAAAGACCGAAGAAGGAGCGUUGAACACGUGAAGACCGACCGAAUAGCAUCUGGAGUCAAUAGUUUUCCCAGUCUCCAAACUAGUUCCAGAACAGAAUCAGUUCUUAAAAACCUCUUAGAUGGAUAACAAUUAGAAUACUACAACACAUAAACAAUUAGUAUACACAAUAGGUAAUGAGCAAUAACAAAUUUUACACCUAAAUAAAAGAUAUUAAUCUAACUUAAUUCUUGACCAGAAACAAUCAGAAUCUGGAUUCUUUUGUAUAACAAUUGAAAAUCUGUUCACAAGUUAAUUAACCAUUUAAAAUUGCAUGAGCUGUAACUAAGAUCAUAUAAUUAAAACCUAAAUCUUACAAGUCUUUGCUAAUAGAACAUAAAAUUUAAGAUCAUGAAUCUUAAAAAAAAAUAUCUUUUUCAAUUUUAAAAACUUCAACAACCAAAUAAUAUAUUAAUUAGAGUUUAAGUCUUAUUAAUUUUUUUUCAAUUGAAGAAAAAUGACAAAGAUGCUUUAAAAAGUAAUGUAGUAUAAUAAGACCAAAAAGUAGUGUAAAUGAAACCUAAACAAAAAUAUUUUAAGGACCAAAACAGAAAAAAAAAACUAUUAAGGAACAUAAACAACCUCAACUUCAAUAUAAUAGAAAUCAUAUUUAAUACAAGCAUUAAGACUGCAUUGAGAAGAAGUGGUAGACUUGAAACCUUGAUAUCAAUCUGGAAUGGUUUGUUGAGCUGCCCUCUGCGGUGUUUAGCUGCAAAACUCUUGUAGUUCUCAAGUUGUCCACCAUAUCACUGAAAAAUAUUUCUUUAGUUGAUUUGCCCUUGCUUAAAAUCUUGCAUUUGAAAUCUACUUCAUUUAAAUGUGAAGAUCUUCAACGUUUUCUUUCUGGGUGUCCAAAUGUAGAGGACUUGGAAGUCGGGUCUGGUUUAACCCAGAGAUCGGCUGCUAAUACUGCAGAAAAGUUCAAGAAACUUCCUAAAUUGAUAAGGGCUAACAUCCAUACACAUUUAGUUUCAUUGGAAUUUGUUAAGAAUGUUGAAGUUUUGGUCACAGAUAGGGUAAUGCGUGUAAACUUUCUUUCUUAGUUACUUUUCAUUUCUAUGGAAAUUCUAAUGUUUUGAUAUUAUUUUGUAUUUCUUGCAGAUAUAUAAAGAAGACCUUGUAUUUGAUUUUCAGAAUUUACUUCAACUUGAGUUGACCAGUUUCAUGCAUAGUAUGAAAUGGUUUGAGUUCUUUGAAUUGCUCAAGCAUUGUCCAAAACUCAAAGCUCUUUUCAUUGACUUUGAUGAGGUUUAAUAAUUUAAGUUUUUCGAGUAUGAUUCUUCUUGUUAUCUUUUCUUAAAACAUUAGGAUUAAUGUAGUUUUAUAAUUGUUUUUAACAGGAGAAGGAUGUAGUUGCGGAAGGCGAUAAAGAAGCACUUUUUCCAUGCCCCGAUACUGUUCCCACAUGCAUUUCAUUACACCUUAAAACCUGUCGUCUUAACAAUUUCAGGGGUUCCGUAGUUGAUCUUCAGUUUGCAGAAUAUAUUAUGAAGAAAGCAAAUUAUUUACAGACCAUGAAAUUCAGCUUUCACCUUUAUGAUUGUAAUUCUUCUUUGAGAAGACAAGAAUUGACGACAUAUAUCUCCUCAUGCAUGAAGAAGAGUUCUGAUACUUGUACGCUUUCAUUUGAGUAUUUAAUGCCUGAGCCUGACCUCUCUUUCUUUUGAGUAUUUAAGGUCUGUAAUAGUGAUGGUUUAUUUUUGUUUGUAUUUCAUGUAGUAACUGCAAGAAUGUAGUUUUCUUUAUCAAAUGAAUCUACUUUUUUUUCAUUUAAUCAAAGUUUGCUGCACGUUACCGGUUUUGUGUUGUUUUAGUAUAAUUUGUUUAAGAUAUGUUCCUAGGUAUGUAAAUUAUAAAAAAUUAGAUGGUACUAAAAUUAGAGGAAGACAUAAUAAAAAGUAUAUUUAUGAACUACUUGUCUAACUGAAUCAAGUUAUAUAUUUAAAUUAUUAUUGUUCUUUUUCACAUAUUUUUGCUAUUAUUUUUCUCACGACAAACAUUCUUAGUUUAUUUCUGUUGUGACAUUAAAUAUCCAAGUCCACUAAAAAGAAGAUGCAGUGGUAGCUUCCAGAAGUGGCGAUAUUAAUAUAAGGGGAACCACCUGCCCUAGUUGCAAGUGCAAACAUCUUGAUAGGUGUUGCAUAAGGGUGGCAGAAUCUUUAACCAGAAAUGGUCUAUAUUUCAGUGAUCAAGGCUUUAGUCUCAAUUAGAAGUAUUAGUCUUAAAAUGUACUGAUAUUUACUGAUAGAUUGACUAGGUUGGUUUGGUUGCCAUAGAAUUCCAAUGUGAUCCUACUUUUCUGUCAUUGUAAACAGUGAAAUCUUUUAACUAUGAUGCAUUUGUAACUAAUAAUUGGUAUGCCAAUUGGUAAUUAGCAAUAACAAAUAUGGGGUUUAAUGCAACAUUUUUGGCUAAAUGGAUUUGGAGAAAGGGAUCGGAAAGCAGAGUGAUAUUUUGGAGUCUAAAUAUGGAGUUUGAAGAAAUUUAUAGAAAAUUUAUCUGUUACAAAAGGAGUCUUAUUAUAUGAAAAGUUUUCGCACGUGUUAACACAUGAUAAAUUCAUAAAAAAUAAAUUAACAAAAAAUGGAAACUUUACAUGGCAUGAAAACAUGGAGUGUUUACAUGGAAGGUGUGCAAACGAAGAGAAGGGAAGUAUGCAUGGCAUGAAAAGUCAUGACUGUCACGUUUUCAUGGAGUGUUUACUCCCAAUAUGUUUUCGGUCAUUGCCAGAGUUUGUGUGGAGUGCCCUUGCUGAAUUAAGUCGAUUCUUUAAAGAUCUAUGUUCUAAUACAUUGAGGAUGAAUGAUCUUGUCAGAAUGAAAGAAAACAUACCAAUCAUCUUAUGUAAGUUAGAACGAAUAUUUCCACCAGCUUUCUUUGAUUCAAUGGAACACCUUGUCGUUCAUCUUCCUAUGGAAGCAAUACUUGGUGGUCCUGUUCAGUAUCGUUGGAUGUAUCCCUUUGAAAGGUAAAGAUUAUGUUAAUUAUUUUAAUGUUUAAGAACAUGUGCAACUUAUAAUAAUUACUACUUUGCUUUAGGAUGAUGGGAGAUGCAAAGAAAUCGGUGGGUAAUUUGGCACGAGUAGAAGGAUCAAUAUGUGCAUUCUACCUACAUCGUGAGAUAACAUAUUNNNNNNNNNNNNNNNNNNNNNNNNNNNNNNNNNNNNNNNNNNNNNNNNNNNNNNNNNNNNNNNNNNNNNNNNNNNNNNNNNNNNNNNNNNNNNNNNNNNNUAGACCUGGGAAACAUCCAUUAUUCUGGUAUUUUACCAUCAUCUGAUCCUGGUAGUCCAUAUAUUUCAUCCCAUUCCUCGACACCAUCUUCUAGCCCGUCUUCCUCCAUCCCCUCGUCCUCUGGGCAUGGAGAAUUUCGGCAUGCUUAUCCACACCCCACUAUAUCACCUCGUCCUCUUAGUAUUCCAGUACCACCACGACCAUCAUCCUCUGCUCCGACUUACCAUCAGAGUGUCCCUGAACCACUCCACCAGACUCAGAGUUUUCCACUCCACCCUACCUCUGGUACAUUUGUGCAGCCCACCCCUGGUACAUUUGUGCAGACUACUCCUUAUCCCAUUGUCCACACCACAUCUUCUUCAGCUGUCCCGACUACUACUGGCUCUGUGCAAGGCCUCUCUAACCAUGUUGACCAUGGUGCCACUGCUGCUUCAGNNNNNNNNNNNNNNNNNNNNNNNNNNNNNNNNNNNNNNNNNNNNNNNNNNNNNNNNNNNNNNNNNNNNNNNNNNNNNNNNNNNNNNNNNNNNNNNNNNNNUUUAUAAAUGAGGAAGACCCGCACACAUUGUCGAUUUUGAAUAAAUGUGGACGCCCUAGUGGUUCUAGCAAGGACUAUUGGUUAAGUGAUAAAGAACAUCGUUUUGCCCAUGUUCAUGUCCUCAUCAAUUGCGAUGAGGUCAAACCAUUUCUUGAGUAAGUUUAAUUGUACAUGAUUUGAAUUAAAUUAUUGUAGGUUGUGUAAUUCGCUAACUAAUUGUAAUCAAUAUUUAAAGAUUGUUCUUACAAGUGUACUCAAUCAAUGAUGAAGAUGCUUCGACAGUUAUACAUGCUAAUUUUCCCGAAUGGUUCAAGAGCUACGUAAGUGUAACCUAAACCCAUAUGUGUUUCUUAUUAAAUCACACUUUCAUAAAUAAAUGUCAUGUUUUCUUAUGACUAAAACAUAGGUUCACGAUGAAAGGAAUGUAAUAAACCCAAACUUGAAGGGACUUUCUUGGGGACCUAAUUCAAAGACAACAUCAUGGAACAUCUACUUCGUUAAUGGAUAUAAAUUUCAUACAAAGGCAUGGGCUGAUGGUAAGAAAACAACAAAUAGUGGGUUGUAUGUUAAAGGUGUCACUGGUGGAGGAGAAGAUGACUUUUAUGGUACAAUUCAUCAUAUAUAUGAAUUGGAGUAUGUUGCUCUCAAUAAGAAGGUCCCGCUUUUCUAUUGUGAAUGGUUUGAUCCUACAAUUAAUGUUGGGACUAGAUUUCAUUCACAAUAUAAUUUAGUUGAAAUCAAGUUAAGUGGCAGAUAUGGACCGUAUGAUCCAUUCAUUCUUCCGCAAAAGGUCAAACAAGUUUAUUAUCUCACUUUUUCAAACAUAUGUAAAAACCUUNNNNNNNNNNNNNNNNNNNNNNNNNNNNNNNNNNNNNNNNNNNNNNNNNNNNNNNNNNNNNNNNNNNNNNNNNNNNNNNNNNNNNNNNNNNNNNNNNNNNCUCCCCCCUAAGGUCGCCUUCAAUUUGGAAGCACGGUAGGGUCAUCAUCCGACUUCUUGGAAGAGGGUAAGUCAUCCUAAAUGUACAUUUAAUUUUAUCUUUAUAUUACUAUGUUUGUAAUUUUAUUUGUUUGUAUUUGUAGUUGGACACCAAAUCAUUUUGCUAGUGAGGCCAUUGGACAUUGCAUUCGAUCUCAAUUUAGAGGUCCAUAUCAUCAUUAUGAUGUCAUGCCUGAGGAGGACAAACUAAAAUGGUGGACUGACUUUCAGGUAAUUUUAAUUUUUGACAAACUACAGUCACUUGUUUUCUUGUUUUUCUUGUGGACUCAAAGUAACUAUUUUCUUCUUUUUAACAGACUAGAGUCACUUGGGCACCCCAUGAUGAAUGCCAAAUUAAAAAGGUCUACGAGUCUAAAGUCAAAAAAAGACUUUGUGAUAUGUUGACUAAGGCUAGGAGAAAGGCUGUCCGCCCUAUUUGGAUAGGUCAGCAAGCAUGGGUUGAACUUCUAAACUAUUGGGAUUCACAAAAAUUCAAAGAUAAAUCAACUCAAAAUAAAGCCAAUAGGAGUUCAGCUCGUGGUGGAGCACUGCACUCCACAGGUAGAAAAUCACAUUCAGAUAUUGCAGUUACCUUGGUAAGUACUUGUCAAUGCCUUACAUGAAAAUCAUUUUACAUUUGCAACCUAUAAUGCUUUUAAUUGUACAACAUUAUUAGGAACGUCAAUAUGGCCGUCCUCCAGAACCUGAUGAACNNNNNNNNNNNNNNNNNNNNNNNNNNNNNNNNNNNNNNNNNNNNNNNNNNNNNNNNNNNNNNNNNNNNNNNNNNNNNNNNNNNNNNNNNNNNNNNNNNNNCCACCCACACAAAUAAGAAGGGUGAAUGGGUUGAUUCUCGUGCUCGAGAAACUUAUGUAAGUUAUUCUUUUAAAUUGUUUUAUAUUUAUAUUUUAAUUUUCUAACAUUUUCAUUUUGUAAUGAUCUGUGUAGGAAAAGUAUCAUGAGCGCUUGAAGGUCCUUCAAGCAAAUAGUUCUCAGGACUCUAACACUGAUGUCCACCAACUUGAUCCUGCAACUAAGCUUCAAACAUGGAAGGAAGCUGCCGGAGGAAAGAGUAGAGGUCGGGUAUAUGGUACGGCAGACUUGGCUGCUAACAUCCGCCAAGGAGUCUCUUCUCUCACCCAAGCCUCUGCGUCCGACACUUCACAAUCUGGACAAGUGACUGAAAAUCAAAUGCUUCGUGCUGAACUUAGUAUGUGGAGUCAGAAGUAUGCACACCUGGAGGAUGAGCUGAAGGUUAUAAAAGAUAAACUUAUCUCUAUGGAUCAAGAAAAAACUACUUCCAAUAGCACAACACAAUUCCAUCAUGAGUAUGAUCCAGAACAGGAUGAUCAACCUAUUUCUUAAAGUACAUCCUAUAAUGUAAGUUUAACUAUUUGAUAUUUUUAUUAUAUACUAAAUAUUUUAAUUANNNNNNNNNNNNNNNNNNNNNNNNNNNNNNNNNNNNNNNNNNNNNNNNNNNNNNNNNNNNNNNNNNNNNNNNNNNNNNNNNNNNNNNNNNNNNNNNNNNNNNNNNNNNNNNNNNNNNNNNNNNNNNNNNNNNNNNNNNNNNNNNNNNNNNNNNGCUUUUCUACUUUGGAUGUGUUUCUGGAUUUUGAUUUCAUACUUUGGAUGUGUUUGUGGAUUUGGGUGUUUAUAGAUGUAUUGUGAAUGAUAGUAAUUUGUUUCAAUGUGAUUUGGUUUGGUUGGUAUUUAAUUUUUACAGGUAAUCUGGUUAGAAAGCAAAAUAAAAUGUUUUUUUUUUCUUCAUCACAUGCGUCGGCCAUAGGCCCACGCAAGUUUUUUUUAAAGAUGCGUCCGCUUUUGCGUGGGCCAAGCCCACGCAAGUUUUUUUAAACAUGCGUCCGCUUUUGCGUGGGCCAAGCCCACGCAAAUUCUGAUAUUUUUUAAAUAUAUAUUUUUAUCAUUUUCGUCGGCUAGACCGACGCACACGCGAAAUAAAAAUUCUACGUCGGACCGCCCACGCAAAAGCCGCCGCAUAUGCGUCCAACCUAUCUUCUGCAUGUUGCGUCCGUUUUGCGUGGGCUUGGCCCACGCAAGAUGCACCCAAUUUUCUGGCCCACGCUAAUUUUCAUUUGCUUCCAGGCUUUUUUCGUGGGAGGUGUAACGGACGCGAAUCGGACGCAUAAGCGUCCGUUUUCUAGCUUUUGCGUCCGUUUUUGGCCCACGCAAAUUGGCUUUUUUCUUGUAGUGAGUCUUAUUAUAUGAAAAGUUUUCGCACGUGUUAACACAUGAUAAAUUCAUAAAAAAUAAAUUAACAAAAAAUGGAAACUUUACGUGAUUCAUUGUAGGGAGAAUACGUGUCUUUUUUUACAUAUUGUGUCACUGGUUUCUCAUUUAUUCUCUCACUUGCCCUCUCUCAUUGUCUUGUUCUUUUUAUUUUCUUUAUUUUCGUAUUUUUUUGUCAUAACCUCCUCUAUUCCUUCUCUCGUUUUGUCUCUCAUAGUUUUAUUUUUGUGCAUUUCCUUCUUUGUGGUUUCUUCUGUCACAACCACCUGUUUCCUCUCUAAUAUAAUCUUGCUCUGUGCAUUUUCUUUUUUUUGGAAAUGAAUGUAGGUAUCUUCAACCAUUGUAUCUCCAAUCACGGUAUCCUCAACACGCUGAGGAAAGAUUUUUGCCUUUUUUUUUACGACUAGGAAAGCAAAAUUGCAUAGUUUGUUGAGUCUUAACCCCAAAUUGUGUUACAUCUCUCUAGGCUUUUCUUCGUGAUAAGACCUUUUUGUUCGUUUUUUGAGUUUUUUUUUUGUUAUGGACAUGUUUUGUAGUAAAUAAAUAGGUUGUUUGUCUAUAUUUCAAUUGUUUUUAUUAGUAAAGAACUGAAUAAAUAAAAUGGAGCAUUUAAGGAAUACUCCAACCUUUAUAUAAAACCUAGACAGUGUCCCUACUUUACUAGAUACAAAUAUCCCGUGCUAAAGCUUAAGCUUUUUAGCUAAACUUUUACAACAAUAGACACCCAAUGGAACUUGAUAAGAAGUUCUUAAAACCCAACUUAAACCAGAACUCUAGACAAAAAAAACCUACAAAAUAACACUCAUGGACAAAACAAAAAUGAAAUCAAACCUACAAAAACAACUUUAUAGACAACCACCAAGCAUGCUGUCAAGUUAUGCAUCUUAAGCUCUAUUUCCUCUCCUAACAUCUCGCUUAAAUUAGAGAUUAUUUUAUAAACUAAAAUAUAUUUAUCUAAACUAGUUUAUACUAUUAAUAAAAGUUAAUAAAAUAAUUUUAAAUUGAUAUCUAACCAUUGUUUACCAAGAUUUUAGCUAUUUACUACUUUAUAUUCUAAAUUAAUGUCUAUUAGUUUUUUAAAGAUUAAUUUAUAAUAUAAAAUAUGAAUAACUAAAACUUGAGUAACUAAUUUAGAUAACAAUUUAUAAACUAUUUUAUAAUUUUUUUAUUAAUAAAAAAACCAUUUUAGAUGAAAAUAAUUGUUUAGAAAUUAGUACCUUUUUUUAUUAGCAAAGAAUUAAGUAAAUUAAAUGGAAUGCUUUAGGGACAUUCCAACCCUUAUAUAGAGACCCACAUUUAAUCUAAAACUAAAAAGAGAUAUUACAAACCAAUCCUAUGCUACGUCCAUUUCCUCCAAUCGUGAAAAUCAGCUCCACGAACACAACUCCAAACCAACUUGCUGAUAACUAUGUCUACACCUAUCUCAUAUAAGCCAACCAAGACCAUCCAGAUCUGUUCAACAUAGAAAACCCAGCAUCAUAGAAAUUAGUAUCUAAUUUAGUUGAUAUAGUGACAAUUUUUUUUUAAAUUUAAUUUUUAUUUAAUAAUCUUUUUUAGUGUAUAUAAAUAUAUGAAUAAAAAAGAAAAUAAUAAAAUUAUAUCUUACAUAAAAAAUUUAAAAAUAUUUUAUAACAAAUGAAAAUAGAAACUUAAAAAACAUAAUAAACUACUAGAAAAAACCUAUUUAGCGAACAUUUACAUUAGUAAUAAUAAAUAAUACAAUCAUAUCAUAAGUUUUUCAAUGUAGAAUAUGGGGAAUAUAGCCCUACACUUUUCCUUUCAGUUCCCAAGGUGUAGGUUUCCCAUGGCAUGCACAUCAAUUUAAUUUCCAAUGCAAAACUAAAAAUAAAAAGAAACAUCCUUUAUAAUGUUUUUUCAUGAUUGAAGUUUAAUACUUAACCAGUUUUUCACGCAAGUCAACAUUAAAAACAUACAAAAUCAAUUUGAUUUUUAUUUAUCAUUUAAAUAAAGAAUAUUGAAAGGUAAACAGGGAUGCGAAAUGUAACUGAAGGAAAAUUAAGUUAGGUUGGAUCAUAUUGAUUAUUUUUUAAAAUAACAUCUUAAUCCUAUUUAUUCUUAAUAUAUGAAUAGUUUAUCACUUAAAUAUGCCAACACUGGAAUAAAACAAAUUAUAAGGAAACUUGAAAAAUUUAUUUAGGACCAAAACCAACACAUACAAAUUUAUUAAAAGAAAAUAUAAGUAUUAAUUUCACAUGCAAAGUGAAAUAAGAUUUAUCACUUAAUUUCAUUGUAAAAGUCAUAAAGUUUAAAAUCUAUAUCUUAAAAAACUUGAAAUAUAUUAACAUAAUAUAAAAUUUAAGACUCUCGAUAAUAGGACACUGAAUCAUAAUAAAAAAAUAUUUUUCUAUUUUAAAUUUAGCAAUACCAAUCACCAAAUAAGAAACUAAUUAUAGUAUAUGAAUAUUAUAAAAAUAAAUAAUACAUUGUAAAAUCACUAUUACUAUAUAGAUAAGCUACACUUAAAGAAUAUUAAGAAUAUAUUUUUUAUUAAGAUCAAAUCAGAAAAAAAUUAUUAAGCAACAUAAAGAACCAAAAAUUUAAAAUAUUUUUUUUCACAACAUUAAAAUACUAUUUAAUUAAUCUAUUAUUUUCAAUUGUUAUAUAUUUUUAUACUGUAUAUUUGUUAUUAAUCUUAUGUUAUAUCUUACAAUAUUUCUGUUCAAGCUUUAAAUAAAAUAAAAUAAGACAUUUCUAAUAUAUAUAUAUAUAUUUAUAUUUGAUAUUAAAAAAUAAAAAUAGAGUUAAAAUAUAUUAUGUAAUACAAUUUUUUUUAAAUAAUUAAAUGAAACAAAUUUACGAUCUAUCUUAAUUAAAGUAUAGUUCAAAAAUAGUAAAAUUAAUAAAUAUUGUGAAUAAUAUAAUAGUUAAAUAAAUUAUAUAAUAUAAAAGUACGAAAGUAUAAAGAAAAAUAAUAGUAAACUUAUUCUCAAAUCUCUUACCUAUUAAAAGAUACAAAAUAUCACUUUCGGUACAAAAAUUAAAAUUCUAAAAUCAUAGUAUAAAUGAAUAACAAGAUAAAUUAAUAAAAUUGUAUUUUAUAUAAAAAAAAACCUGAUAAAUAUUUUUAAAUAAAUAAAAAACUACAAAUGAAAAAUUUAAAAACAUUACAAACUAUUAAAAAAUUAUUUACCAAACAUUAGUAACAAAUAAUAAAUAAACUUUAAGAAUAAUUUUAUUCCAAAAAUAAUAAUAUUGACCUCUGAAUUUUAUAAGAUUUCUCUCACUGAAAUAUCUUAACAUAAAAAUAAAUAAAUAAAACUUUCGAUUAUAAGAUAUCUUCACAUAAUAUAAAAGAAACGAAAAAAAUCUUGAAUGGUAAAAUUAUAAAAAUCAUUAUAUUGAAAAUAUUUUUGUUAGUUAUGAAACAAAACAUUAUAAUAAAAAUUUGAAUUUACCUGUUUGAGUAAAAGUUGUGAAAAAAUAUAUUAAAAGAAAUAUAACCCAAUAUAAAAAAUAAGACAAAAAAAAUCUUGAAUUAUAAAAAAUCAUUACAUUAUAAAGAUAUUAAAAGAAAUCUAACUGAGCAUAAUAAUACUGAAGAAAAUGUAUACUAAUUAAUACACUGUAGUAUGACUCCUAUUGAUAUUCUCAAAGCUUGUCCUUUCACUUCCCAAGGUUUAGAUUUGCCAUGGCAUGCACAUCAAUUCCAAUGCAAACAUAAAGUCUCUUUAAGCGAUUUGAUACAUUGAGAGAGAUGAGUUAUUCCUAUAAGAAACUGAAGCAUCCAUGCACACUUUGCAUUCUCAACCAUGGCUGAUAUCGUAAGUGGUUUUCCAGACUCAAUCCUUUGCUACAUUCUCUCAUUUCUCCCAACCAAACAAGUUGUUGCAACCAGUGUUCUCUCCAAACGCUGGAACCUUCUGUGGCGUUCCGUUCCCUCUUUUGAUUAUGAACAUCAUGACCCAACUGGUGAUUAUGAGGAUGACCUAGAUGCCUGCUCUGACUUUCUUUACUCAAUGUUCUCCCAUCUGCUUUUGCGUGAUAUGGACAAACCUCUCCAUAGAUUACGCCUUACAUGCUGUUCUGGGUAUAACCAUUAUAGCAUUGAAAUAUGGAUUGAGGCUGCACUGAGAAGAAGUAGUAGACUUGAACACCUCGACCUCAAUGUGUAUAAGGAUUUUGUGGUGCCCUCUGUUGUGUUUAGCUGCAUAACUCUUGUAGUUCUCAAGCUGGCGAACUUAGUGCUGAAAGAUGUUUCCUUUGCUGAUUUUCCCUUUCUUAAAAUCUUGCAUUUGAAUUCUAUUUCUUUCUCAGGAUGUCAAGAUCUUUUUAAACAGUUUCUGUCUGGGAGUCCUAAUCUUGAGGAUUUGGAAGCCAAGAAUUUGGAUUCUAAUCCUGCAGAAAAGGUCAACAGAUUGCCCAAGUUGGUCAGAGCUAACAUCGAUGCACAUAUAGUUCCAUUGGAAAAUGUUAAGAACGUUCAAGUUUUGGUCACAAAUGGGGUAAUGUGUGUAAAUUUGUUUCUCAUUUCUUUUCAUUUUAAAGGGAAAAAAUGAGAUUUCUGAUGUUUUGAUAUAUUUUGUAUCUUUUGCAGAUACAUCCACCAGACCUGGUUUUUUAUUUUUGGAAUUUAGUUAGACUUGAGUUGAACCGUUUGAAGUCUAGUAAGCAAUGUUUUCAGGUUUUGGAAGUGCUCAAGCAUUGUCCAAAGCUUCAAACUCUUUUCAUUAACAUUUGUCAGGUUUAAUGAUUUAAGCUUUCGAAGUUUGUAUCUUCUUGUUAUCUUUGCAUCAAACAUUAGGUUUAAUAUAGUUUUAUAAUUGUUAUUAACAGAAACAAAAUUUAGUUGCUGAAGACGAUGAAGAAGCAAUUUUGCCAUGCCCAGAUCCUGUUCCUGCAUGCAUUUUAUUGCACUUAACAUGCUGUUGUCUUACGAAUUACAGCGGUUCUGCAUUUGAGUUUAAAUUUGCGGAAUAUAUUAUGCAGAAUGCAAAUUAUCUACAGUUCUUUGCAUUCCGCAUUUACAGGAACAAUCCUUCGAGAAGAGAUGAUAUGAUAAGAGAUUUAUCUUCAUGUAAGAAGAUUUCAGAUACUUGUAAACUUGAAUUUGUGUAGUUAAGGUCUGAGCGGUAACUGUGAUGUUUUCUUUUUUUUUUGUAUUUCCAGUAUUAACUUCAAGAAUGUGGAUGUUUAAUAUACUAAUCUAUUUUUCUUCAUCUAAUGGAAGUUUACCGCACAAUUAUCUUUUUUGUCCAGAAAUCUUAUGAAAGUUUUUUUUAGUUUUAAAAUUUUCUUCUUGCUUUAGGAAUUUUCUCAUAUCUAAUUUGCAAUUAUCUUUGUUUGACAUAUAUUAUAUAUACACACGUACAUAUAUGGUUUGCUUUUAUAGUUUUUUGUACUUUUCAUUCUUGAACAGUAUGAAAGGAAAAUGUAAAGAAAUUUAUUGCAAAAAAUCAUAAUUCUGAAUUGGUAUCUGUUGCAAAAAAAACUCAUAAUCUCUCUCUAUAAAUAUAUAUAUAUAUAUAUAUAUAUAUAUAUAUAUAUAUAUGCAAAAUUUGUAUAAAUGAAUGAUGGAGGAUGUGUGUGCAUAUAAGCAGCAUUUCUGAAAUGGCUUUUUUAAUUUUUUUUUUUUUUGAAAAAACAAAAUUAUUAAAAUAAUUGUAUUGCUACUCGAACUACAAAAUUGAAGUCAAUAUUAUAAAUAAAUUUAUAUAAAUUAAUUAAAUAAUAGAUGAAAAGUAAAGAUACAAGCUAUAAAAAGUAAUUUUUUUUUUAAUUUUGAAAAUAAUAUAUAAGUGAAAUUAUAAAUGUUUAAAAUAUCUAGCAAUUAAGAAAACAGAGAGCAUCAGUUCAGACGUGAUUGUUUCAAAUUGAUCAGCACUAAAAAGUAUCCUAUGUACUAAUUCAUGUAUUAGAAGAAGAAAAAAAUUGUCAUAUGACAAUACAUGAAAGAACACCCAAGAAUAAACAACGAUAAUGAAAAAAAUAACAAUGUGUAUGAUGUAAACUAUAUUAAUAUUAAUAAUAUAAAAUAAAGUCAUACAUAAGCAUUAUUUUUAAGUUUAAAAUGAAGAUUUUAUAUCUAAAUGAUAAGAUUUUUUUUCUUUUAAAUUCAAAUACAUAAAAAAAGAAUUAUUAAAAAAAUAUUUAAGUGAUCGAUAUUUAAGGAUAUCUUCUUUCCACUAAUUGAAGGUAAUAAAAUAACGACGUAUAACACACCAUUGCUGUCAGACUUUUAUGCAUUAAAUACGUUUGUGAUCUCAUAUUAGAAAAUAAACAAUUAUUGCUUCACUUUGGGUCUAUCGACCAUAUUCAACUCACCAAAACCAUUGAAUAUAAAACUAAUCAAACAUAAAAUAUGUAUCCAAUGUUGAAAACCCAACCAUCAAUUACUCUUUAUGAUUGGCUGAAUCUGUGAAUGGGACGAAUAAUUGUGGAAUUAAGCUUUUAACAAAGACUCAAAGAAAACCUUAAAGUCAAGUAAUCCUUUAAUUUCUGCAGAGGCAAAAAACUUCACUUCUAAGCUUUAUAUAAAAGUAUCUGUAUUGCCUUAUCAAUGAUGGUAAAACCAUGCAUUCAUCUAUUUCUCUCGGUCUAUAAGAUUUAAAACAAGAAGUUUUAGUUGCUUCUUACAUAGAAGUCUUUUAUUAUUAUUUUUUUUCCAUUUUUUCUCAAUUUUUUUACCCUCUCCAUGAUUUGAUUGGUUUAGUCUAGAUGAAAAAGGUCAUGAUUUAAAGGUACUAUGUUUCAUAUUUUUUCUGCAAAACUAUUUACACUCAAUUUCAAUUGGUUUUAAGAUGAAAUCUAACAUGCCAUUAGAGCCUAUAUACCAUCUUUGAGAGUUGAAUAUUUUGUUAAGCAUUGCCUUUUCUUGCAUGAAUAUAAUAUAUUUGUUGCACUGGGACCCACAACCCUCUUCCCAUUUCAGCAUUUCAUACUUUCAUUGGUUGAGUUGCCAUUAAAGAAAAAGAAAAAUAUGUUCUUAAAGUCAAAUCAUCCUUUCUAACUACUCUUUCCAUCACUCUACCAUUCAUUACUGCACUGAAUCCAUUUCACUUCAUUUCCAACUCCUACCAUGGCAGCAGAAGUUAUUGGUGGUGCUCUUCUUUCGGCCUUUCUUCAGGUUGCAUUCGACAAGCUCGCUUCUCCUCAAUUUCUAGACUUCUUUCGUCAAAGAAAACUUGAUGAGAAACUGCUCACCAAUUUGAACAUCAUGCUGCACUCCAUCAAUUCUCUCGCUGAUGAUGCUGAACUAAAGCAGUUCACAGAUCCACACGUCAAAGCAUGGCUUUUCGCUGCCAAAGAGGCUGUCUUUGAUGCAGAGGAUCUGUUGGGUGAAAUAGACUAUGAACUCACCAGAUCCCAAGUUGAAGCUCAAUCCGAACCUCAAACCUUUACUUAUAAGGUAUCGAAUUUCUUCAACUCUACUUUCACUUCAUUUAACAAGAAAAUUGAAUCAAGGAUGAAAGAAGUCUUGGAGAAACUAGAAUAUCUUGCAAAGCAGAAGGGUGCUCUUGGUUUGAAAGAGUGUACUUAUUCUGAUAAUAGAUUAGGUAGUAAAGUGCUACAGAAAUUGCCAUCAUCUUCUUUGGUGGUUGAAAGUGUUAUUUAUGGCAGAGAUGCUGAUAAAGAUAUAAUCAUUAAUUGGCUGACAUCUGAAAUUGAUAAUUCUAACCAGCCAUCAAUACUUUCCAUUGUGGGCAUGGGUGGGUUGGGUAAGACCACACUUGCCCAGCAUGUAUACAAUGACCCAAAGAUCGACGAUGUAAAAUUUGAUAUGAAAGCUUGGGUUUAUGUUUCUGAUCAUUUUCAUGUUUUGACCGUGACAAGAACAAUUCUUGAGGCAGUGACUGGUAAAACAGAUGAUAGUAGGAACCUGGAAAUGGUUCACAAAAAACUAAAAGAAAAAUUGUCUGGGAAGAAAUUUCUGCUUGUUUUGGAUGAUGUUUGGAACGAAAGACGGGAAGAAUGGGAACUUGUGCAAACUCCUCUUAGUUAUGGAGCUCCAGGAAGUAGAAUUCUUGUCACAACUCGUGGCGAGAAUGUUGCUUCUAACAUGAAGUCUAAAGUGCAUCGCCUAAUGCAAUUAGGAGAGGAUGAAUGCUGGAAUGUUUUUGAAAAUCACGCAUUAAAAGAUGGUGAUCUUGAAUUGAAUGAUGAGCUAAAGGACAUUGGUAGAAGGAUAGUUAAGAGGUGCAAGGGAUUACCUUUAGCUUUGAAAACAAUUGGAUGUCUUUUACGCACAAAGUCAUCCAUUUCAGAUUGGAAGAACAUAUUGGAAAGUGAGAUAUGGGAGUUACCAAAAGAAAACAAUGAAAUUAUUCCAGCGCUAUUUAUGAGCUAUUGUUAUCUUCCUUCUCAUCUUAAAAAGUGCUUUGCUUAUUGUGCCUUAUUCCCCAAAGAUUAUGGGUUUGUGAAAGAGGAGUUAGUUUUGUUGUGGAUGGCCCAAAAUUUUCUGCAGUGUCCCCAACAGAUUAGACAUCCACAACAUAUUAGACAUCUAGAAGAAGUUGGUGAACAAUACUUCAAUGAUCUAGUGUCAAGGUCUUUUUUUCAUCAAUCAAGCGUCGUAGGACGUUUCGUCAUGCAUGACCUUCUGAAUGAUUUAGCAAAAUAUGUUUGUGUGGAUUUUUGUUUCAGGUUGAAAUUUGAUAAAGGCGAAUGUAUACCGAAAACAACCUGUCAUUUUUCAUUUGAAUUCCGUGAUGUCAAAAGUUUUGAUGGUUUUGGGAGUUUAACUAAUGCUAAAAGACUUCGUUCAUUCCUUCCUAUCUCGCAAUAUUGGGGUUCUCAAUGGAAUUUCAAGAUUUCCAUACAUGAUUUGUUUUCCAAGAUUAAGUUUAUACGCAUGUUAUCCUUCCGUGAUUGUUCAUGUCUUAGAGAGGUCCCAGAUUGUGUAGGUGAUCUUAAACAUCUCCAUUCGUUAGAUCUUUCGUGGUGUGAUGCGAUACAAAAGCUACCUGACUCGAUGUGUUUGCUCUAUAACUUACUAAUACUGAAGUUGAACUAUUGUUCAGAGUUGCAAGAAUUGCCCUUAAAUUUGCACAAACUUACCAAAUUGCGUUGCCUGGAGUUGAACUAUUGUUCAAAGUUGGAGGAAUUGCCCUUAAAUUUGCAUAAACUUACCAAAUUGCGUUGCCUAGAAUUUGAAGGUACAGAAGUGUCAAAGAUGCCAAUGCAUUUUGGAGAAUUGGAGAAUCUUCAAGUACUGAGUACAUUUUUCGUGGAUAGAAAUAGUGAGCUAAGUACUAAGCAACUGGGAGGAUUGGGAGGACUCAAUCUUCAUGGAAAGCUAUCAAUCAAUGACGUGCAGAAUAUUAUGAAUCCUUUGGAUGCAUUAGAAGCAAAUGUGAAAGAUAAACACCUUGUGGAGCUAGAAUUAAAAUGGAAGUCGGACCACAUCCCUGAUGAUCCAAGGAAAGAAAAGGAGGUACUUCAGAAUCUACAACCCUCCAAACACUUGGAGGAUUUAAAAAUCUCGAACUACAAUGGUACAGAAUUCCCAAGUUGGGUAUUCGAUAAUUCGUUAUCAAAUCUGGUGUUCUUACAGUUGCAGGACUGUAAACACUGCCUAUGUUUGCCUCCCCUUGGAAUUUUGUCAAGUCUGAAGGACCUUGAGAUUAUGGGGCUUGAUGGAAUAGUGAGCAUUGGUGUUGAAUUUUAUGGGAGCAACUCUUCAUUUGCAUCCUUGGAGAGGUUGGAAUUCCACAAUAUGAAGGAAUGGGAAGAAUGGGAGUGUAAAACUACUUCUUUUCCACGUCUUCAUGAGCUUUAUAUGAAUGAAUGUCCCAAACUGAAAGGUACUCAAGUAGUUGUUAGUGAUGAGCUCACAAUUAGCGGAAAGAGUAUCGACACAUGGCUGCUUGAAACCCUGCAUAUUGAUGGAGGUUGCGACUCUCUUACAAUGUUUCGGCUAGAUUUCUUUCCAAAGCUUCGUUCUCUUGAACUGAAAAGAUGCCACAACAUAAGAAGAAUUUCACAGGACUACGCUCAUAAUCAUCUCCAGCACCUAAAUAUUUUUGAUUGCCCUCAAUUUAAAUCAUUCCUGUUUCCCAAACCCAUGCAAAUCCUGUUUCCGUUCCUUAUGAGUCUGGAGAUAACUGUUAGUCCACAAGUGGAGUUUCAUGGUUUGCCAUUAAAUGUAAAAUAUAUGUCUCUUUCAUGUUUAAAACUUAUUGCCUCCUUGAGAGAGACCUUGGAUCCCAACACAUGUCUUGAAACCUUGCUUAUUCAAAAUUCAGACAUGAAGUGUUUUCCCGAUGAUGUUUUGCUGCCACGGUCUCUCACCUCUCUACUAAUCAAUUCUUGCCUAAAUCUUAAAAAGAUGCACUACAAGGGUCUCUGCCACCUCUCCUCUCUCACACUUCUUGAUUGUCCCAGCCUUCAAUGCUUACCAGCGGAGGGUCUCCCCAAAUCCAUCUCUUCUCUCUCAAUCGGGCGUUGUCCAUUGCUGAAAGAGCGUUGUCAGAAUCCAAAUGGCGAAGACUGGCCAAAGAUUGCUCACAUCCGAGAACUGAAUGUUUGGUCAUAAGAUGAGUCACAAGUUCAAAAUUAGACGUGCACCUAUUUCAAUUUGUCUGCCACUUCAACAGGUUAUAAUUCUCCACAAUAUCUUUGUAUCUUUUUUCUAACAAUUUUCUUAGUUGCAAACGGUAACUCUAUAAUUGCCAUUUUCCAAACAAGAGCAGCACAUGUUAUACUUAAACUGAUGAUAUUUAUUAAAGGAGGCUCUGCUACGAUUUUCAUGAAUCAAUUACUUUUAUUUUAUUCUUAUUUUCGUGCAAGAUUAUUUCAAUUGUUCUGUUGAAAUUAAAUUCCAACCAAAUGUGUUUCCUAUUUUUAGAAUACUACGAAAAUCGUGAAGGUGGUCUGGCAUUUGGCAUCCAUUCCGAACAGAGUAUUCUGUAGUUGGAAGUUAUGGUGGCAUCAUCUUCCUUUUUCUAGCUAUCUAAGUAUAUUUGUUUUCAUAGCCACAUUUUUUCUUCUGACAAAAAAGAUGAACUUAAACUUAAUAAUAGAUCACUGAAGCUAAAUGAUCCCAAAAUAGAAGUCAUGGGUUUUGAGUGGAGGAAAGAUGAAUGGAAACUACUGUGGACAUAAGGGACCUUAUGUAUCUAAGGAACUUGUAAUUGGAAUUUAAAAGUAUUUUUAUACGACUUUUUACUUUAUUAAAAAGCUCUUGUGACAUUCCAUCAAUGAAGACUGAGUUUUACAGAAAACAUAGUAAUAGAAAUAGCUUGAAUAUUGUUCAGAAUAUGAGUGUUAAGCUGCCAAACCCUCAUGAAGUUCUUUGGUGACAACCAAACUGCUAUGCAUAAUGAACCUAAACUGAGAAAAUUUCAGUAAUAUUUUGAAAACAGGGUCUAAUGUGUAAGGCCAUGCAUCCAUCCAUUUUAGUGUUCACCCAUACAAUCUCUUACAAUGAUUGGUAUAUGUCAUUUUACAAUGUCUUCACUUCACUUCUAGUAAUUGCUCUAGGUGUUUUUGAUUACUACACAUUUUUUAUAAUUGCUAUAUGAUCAACACCAAAGUUUAUAUUUAUUAUUUCCUUUUGUAAAAGUCUUGGUUCUGCCUUAAGGCAAUGGAAAAAUGAUUUUGCUAGCAGUGAGGUUCCUACAUUCACUUAAAAUAUACUAUUACUUAUUUGAUAUUUUUAAAGGUCUGUUUCUCUAGUUUCUUUGUGCCUAAAUACAUCUGCUUUGAAUGUAGAGUUCUUCACAAAGCAUUAUCAACUUUGAUGUAAAAUUCACCUAAACACUCUGAAGGCCUUGUUUUUUCUCUUACCCAGGUGUUUUAACUACUACACUUUUUCAACUAUUUAACAAAACUAGCUUGUACCUUUUCCCCCUCCCUCUCGUUACAAAUAGUUUUUCUAUUUUGUGGAAGAAAACUAUUCACACUCAAUGUCAAUUGGUUUUAAGAUGAAAUCUAACAUGCCAUUAGAGCCUAUAUACCAUCUAUGUGAGUUGCCUAUUUUUUUAAGCAUUACUUUUUUUUUUCUAACAUUCCCACUACAAGAAAAUAAUUAAAUAGAAACUAAUUUUAGACACUAAAAAUAAUUAGUUGUUGUAUUAACUAAAUUAGAUACUAGUUUAGAGACUAAAAAAGUUAUUGAUUUCUAAAUUAGUUUCUAUUAUGGAUAAAUAGUUUCUAAAUUGGUAUCUAAUUAACUAACAAGGUUUUAACUACCAAUUAUUUAGAUUCUAAAUUUAGUAGCAAAAUCCAAAUUAUUUAUCUACUGAUUUCUUCUGUGGCUCUUGAUUUUAGAUAAUGAUUUGUUAAGAGCCAAGAUGCUGUGCUAAUCAAUAACCAUAUUGUCUGUUUUACAGUAUCCUGUUCUAUAUCUAGAGGGAGUAGAAGACACCCUCUUCAGCUGGCCCAGGAUUCUUGGGUAGAUGUUGAAUGGAGUCCUUAGUUCUUUAGUGAUCUUCUUCUUAACCACUAAUUCUGUGUUGAAUCAAGCCUUCAGAAGAGAUGGUAAGGUGGUUGAUUUUGAAAUACUUGGGGUCACAAUGUAUACAUGUGUGGUGUGGACUGUGAAUUGCCAAAUGGCACUAUCCAUCAAUUACUUUACUUGGAUACAACAUUUUUUUAUAUGGGGCAGCAUUGUCUUCUGGUAUGUGUUUGUGUUGGUCUGUGGUUACCUCUCUCCAGCAAUAUCCACAACAGCUUACAGGGUUUUUGUGGAAGCAUGUGCUCCUAGUGCUCUAUAUUGGCUAGUAACCCUUUUGGUUGUUGUGUGUGUUCUGCUACCCUAUUUCUCCUAUAGCUCUUUGCAAAGUCGGUUUCUACCAAUGUACCAUGAUAUUAUACAGAGAGAACAAGUAGAAGAGAUUUAAAUUGGGUUAUCAGAUGAUGAGUUACCUAAACAGGUCCAGGGAAAACUAAUACACCUCAGAGAGAAAGAUUGAAGCAAAGGGAGUUGUGAAAUGUAAAUGCUUCUAAACAUACAUUCUUAGACCUUGGAAUUUUAUUUGAUUUCUUUCUGAGUUGGGAAGUGGCAUUGAAGUAGUGAGCAUUGCAAAUAGCUUUUAGUUUUUUAUUUCUUUUCCUCCUGAUUUCCAUUUGUUUAGAAAAUUAGGAGAGGAGAAUUUUUGUAGCAGUCACCUGAUGUAGAUUAGCUGUGUAAAGCUUGAGUAUUUGUUGUAUUUGUUAAGGGAAGAAGCAAUAGAUAUUUUACAUGUUCUAAGAUUAAGAGGGUUUGAUUUUCAAACUGGUGUAUAGUAAAUACAUAUUGGAAGAAAGAAAGUUUAGUAUUUUGGUUAGAUGAGAUAGGACCAUGCUUGUGCUGACUUUAAGAUGAAAGGAAAUCUAAGAAGUAUGAAUAAAAACUCAACAAUAUAAUGAACACUUUUUUCUUUCUUUAUCAUCAAAGAAUUAAAGGAAUUAAAAGAAGGGGUGUUCCAACCAUAUAAAAAAAAUUCAACAAUAUAAUGAACACUUAAAUAAGAGUGACAUAAACAAAAGGCUAAGGUACAUAAACAUGCAUUAAUCCAAAUUGAAUCCAGUUACUAAUUUUGUCCACUUUGGCCAUCUGCAAAGAUUGAACUAAGUAGAUAACUGACACUCCUAAAAAAGAGAAUAAGAAUUUUUAUAGAGAGAGGACAUUGUUGCAACAUGUUAUUAAAAAAGACUUAAAGCUUAAAGAGAUAAUUGUUUUCUGUCUUCACUGUAAUAUAACUGCAGGGUAUGAGGCUAUAAAAUUCUACAACUUGUCAUAGAUAAAUCAAAAUAUCAUGAAAAUCAUCAAUACCACUUAUUUAAAUGGAUUGCUUAACAAUCUCAGGAAGUAAGAUGAAAUUCAAUUAGGAAAUGUUUUUGUAAGAUUGUGACUUCAACUCUCUAAAUUUUAUACACUCGUAAUGUCUUUACAACAGGCACCAUUUCAGAAAAACAACAUUGAAAAUAUUUGCUUAAUAUAUUUUUAGGAAAUCUUUAAGUUUUUUAAAAAUAUCUCUUACAUAAAGAUAAAAAUAUAUUCAUUUAUUAUUUAGAUUUAGGAAAUUCAAAUUGAGAUAUUGUUAAUACUUGAUAUUUUGUUAUAUUUUACUAUAAAUCAAACUCCUCCAUAUCAUAGAUCUUUUAUAUUUUCAAACUAUAUUAAGUGAUUAAUAAAGAGACAAAGAAAGACGAUAAACCAAAUUAAGUGAAUAACGAAAGGAUGCGAAUUAGUACAUCAACUAAAUUUGCACGAGUAUAAUAUAAAUGUUGCAUAAAAGAUAUUAUUUGAAGUCAGAUAUUAUCCAAGCAAUUAAAAUUUUGGUUUCGAACUACUGUCAGAUUUGACUCAUCAUUUAUUAUUUCACCUAAUGAUCAGACAUACAUUCAUGGAUUACAGUUGUGAACAAAUAUUGCAUUGUACUUUCAUUCAUCACAACCCUUGAAUGAAUAUCCAACUGCUCACAUUUUAUAUUGGUUGAGUUGCCAUUAAAGAAAAAGAUGUUCUUAAAGUCAAGUCAUCCUUUCUAACUGAUCAUUAACAUCACUAUAGCAUUCAUCCCUGCACUGAAUCCAUUCACUUCAUUUCCAACUUCUACCAUGGGAGCAGAACUUGUUGGUGGUGCUCUUCUUUCUGCCUUUCUUCAGGUUGCAUUCGACAGGCUCGCUUCUCCUCAAUUUCUAGACUUCUUUCAUGGAAGAAAACUUGAUGAGAAGCUCCUCGGCAAAUUGAACAUCAUGCUGCACUCCAUCAAUGCUCUUGCUGAUGAUGCAGAACUAAGGCAGUUCACAGAUCCAAACGUCAAAGCAUGGCUUUUCGCUGUCAAAGAGGCUGUCUUUGAUGCAGAGGAUCUUUUGGAUGAAAUAGACUAUGAACUCACCAGAUGCCAAGUCGAAGCUCAAUUCGAACCUCAAACCUUUACUUACAAGGUAUCAAAUUUCUUCAACUCUACUUUCAGUUCAUUUAACAAGAAAAUUGAAUCAGGGAUGAAAGAAGUCUUGGAGAAACUAGAAUAUCUUGCAAACCAAAAGGGUGCUCUUGGUUUGAAGGAGGGUACUUAUUUUGGUGGUGAUGGAUCUGGUAGUAAAGUGUCACACAAAUUGCAAUCAACUUUUUUGGUGGUUGAAAGUGUUAUUUAUGGCAGAGAUGCUGACAAAGAUAUAAUCAUUACUUGGCUUACAUCGGAAACCGACAAUCCUAACCAGCCAUCAAUACUUUCCAUUCUGGGCAUGGGUGGCUUGGGUAAGACCACACUCGCCCAACAUAUGUAUAACGACCCAAAGAUCGACGAUGCAAAAUUUGAUAUCAAAGCUUGGGUCUGUGUUUCUGAUCAUUUUCAUUUUUUGACUGUGACAAGAACAAUUCUAGAGGCAAUCACAAAUCAAAAAAAUGAUAGUGGGAACCUAGAAAUGAUUCACAAAAAGCUGAAAGAAAAAUUGUCAGGAAGAAAAUUUCUUCUUGUUUUGGAUGAUGUUUGGAACGAAAAACCAGCAGAAUGGGAAGCUGUGCGAACUCCUCUUAGCUAUGGGGUUCAAGGAAGUAGAAUUCUUGUCACAACUCGUGGUGAGAAGGUUGCUUCUAACAUGAAGUCUAAAGUGCAUCGCCUAAAGCUAUUAGGAGAGGAUGAAUGCUGGAAUGUUUUUGCAAAUCACGCAUUAAAAGAUGGUGAUCAUGAAUUGAAUGAUGAGCUAAAGGAGAUUGGUAGAAGGAUAGUUGAGAAGUGCAAUGGACUGCCUCUAGCUUUGAAAACAAUUGGAUGUCUUUUACGCACAAUGUCAUCCAUUUCAGAUUGGAAAAACAUAUUGGAAAGUGACAUAUGGGAGUUACCAAACGAGAACAAUGAAAUUAUUCCUGCAUUAUUUUUGAGCUAUCGCUAUCUUCCUUCUCAUCUUAAAAGGUGUUUUACUUAUUGUGCCUUAUUUCCCAAAGAUUAUGAAUUUGUGAAGGAGGAGUUAAUUUUGUUGUGGAUGGCCCAAAAUUUUCUACAAAGUCCACAACAUAUUAGACAUCAAGAAGAAGUUGGUGAACAGUACUUCAAUGAUCUAUUGUCAAAGUCUUUCUUUCAACACUCAGGUGUCAAGAAGUGUUUUGAGCAAUCACAUGCUAGGAGGUGUUUCGUCAUGCAUGACCUUCUGAAUGAUUUGGCAAAAUAUGUUUGUGCGGAUUUCUGUUUCAGGUUGAAAUUCGAUAAAGGCUGAUAUAUACCGAAAACAACUCGUCAUUUUUCAUUUGAAUUAUGUGACGUCAAAAGUUUUGAUGGUUUUGAGAGUUUAAUUGAGUCUAAAAGACUUCGUUCAUUUCUUUCUAUCUCACCAUAUUGGGAACCUCAAUGGCAAUUCAAGAUUUCAAUACAUGAUUUAUUCUCUAAGAUUAAGUUCGUACGUGUCUUAUCUUUUAAUGGUUGUAAGAAACUUAAAGAGAUCCCGAAUUCUAUAAGUGAUCUUAAACAUCUUUAUUCGUUAGAUCUUUCGUGUGCUGAGAUACAAAAGCUACCUGACUCGAUAUGUUUUCUCUAUAACUUAUUAAUACUGAAGUUGAACUAUUGUUCAAAGUUGGAGGAGUUGCCCUUCAAUUUGCAUAAACUUACCAAAUUGCGUUGUUUGGAAUUUGUACAUACAAAAGUAACAAAGAUGCCAAAGCAUUUUGGAGAAUUGAAGAAUCUUCAAGUACUGAGUACAUUUUUCGUGGAUAGAAAUAGUGAGCUAAUUACUAAGCAACUAGGCGGAUUAGGAGGACUCAAUCUUCAUGGAAGGCUAUCAAUCAAUGACGUGCAAAAUAUUUUGAAUCCUUUGGAUGCAUUAGAAGCAAAUGUGAAAGAUAAACACCUUGUGGAGUUAGAAUUAGAAUGGAAGUCGGACCAUAUCUCUGAUGAUCCAAGGAAAGAAAAGGAAGUACUUCAGAAUCUACAACCCUCCAAACACUUGGAGCAUUUGUCAAUCUGGAACUAUAAUGGUACAGAAUUCCCAAGUUGGGUAUUCGAUAAUUCGUUAUCAAAUCUGGUGUUCUUAAAGUUGGAGGACUGUAAAUACUGCCUAUGUUUGCCUUUCCUUGGAAAUUUGUCGUCACUGAAAACCCUACGAAUUAUAGGGCUUCAUGGAAUAGUGACCAUUGGUACUGAAUUUUAUGGGAGCAACUCUUCAUUUGCAUGCUUGGAGAGUCUGUCAUUCUACAAUAUGAAGGAAUGGGAAGAAUGGGAGUGUAAAACUACUUCUUUUCCACGUCUUCAAGAGCUUUGUGUGGAUAAAUGUCCCAAACUGAAAGGUACUUAUUUAAAGAAAGUAGUUGUUAGUGAUGAGCUCACAAUUAGCGGAAACAGUAUAAACACAUCGUCGCCAGAAACCAUGCAUAUUGAUGGAGGCUACGACUCUCUUACAAUCUUUCGACUAGAUUUCUUUCCAAAGCUCCGUUCUCUUGAACUGAGAGACUGCCAAAACCUAAGAAGAAUUUCACAGGAGUACGCUCAUAAUCAUCUCAUGGAUCUAUGUAUUUAUGAUUGUCCUCAAUUUAAGUCAUUCUUGUUUCCCAAACCCAUGCAAAUCCUGUUUCCGUCCCUUACCACGCUUCAGAUAACUUUUUGUCCACAAGUGGAAUUGUUCCCAGAUGGAAGUUUGCCAUUGAAUUUAAAAGAGAUGUCUCUUUCACGUUUAAACCUUAUCGCCUCCUUGAGAGAGACCUUGGAUCCCAACACAUGUCUUGAACGCUUGUCUAUUGAAGAUUUGGACGUGGAGUGUUUUCCUGAUGAAGUUUUACUGCCACGCUCUCUCACCUCUCUACUAAUCCAAUAUUGCCCAAAUCUUAAAAAGAUGCACUACAAGGGUCUCUGCCACCUCUCCUCUCUCACACUUCUUGAUUGUCCCAACCUUCAAGCCUUACCAGCGGAGGGUCUCCCCAAAUCCAUCUCUUCUCUUACAAUCUGGGGUUGUCCAUUGUUGAAGGAACGUUGUCAGAAUCCAGAUUGCGAAGACUGGGGAAAGAUUGCUCACAUCCAAGGACGGCAUGUUUGAUCAUAAGAUGAGUCCCAAGUUCAAAAUUAGACGUGCACCUAUUUCAAUUUGUCUGCCACUUCAACAGGUUCUAAUUCUCCACAAUAUCUUUCUACCUUUUCGAUUACAAUUUUCUUAGUUGCAAACGGUAACCCUAUAAUUGCCAUUUUCCAAACACGAGCAGCACAUGUUAUACUUAAACUGAUGAUAUUUAUUAAAGGAGGCUCUGCUACGAUUUUCAUGAAUCAAUUACUUUUAUUUUAUUCUUAUUUUCGUGCAAAAUUAUUUCAAUUUUCUGUUGAAAUUAAAUUCCAACCAAAUGGGUUUCCUAUUUUUAGAAUACCACGAAAAUCGUGAAGGUGGUCUGGCAUUUGGCAUCCAUUCCGAACAGAGUAUUCUGUAGUUGGAAGUUAUGGUGGCAUCAUCUUCAUUUAUCUACCUAUCUAAGUAUAUUUGUUUUCAUAGCUACAUUUUUUCCUUCUAUCUUCUUAUAUCAUGCUACUACAGUUUCUGACAGAAAAAAUGAACUUAAACUUAAUAAUAGAUCACUGAAACUGGACAAAAAAUUAUCCCAAGAAUGAAGUUAUGGGUUUUGAGUGAGGAAAGAUGAAUGGAAACUGCAGUGGACAUAAGGUACAUGCUGUAUCUAAGGAACUUGUAAUUGGAAUUUGAAAGUAUUUUUAAACCAAUUUUUUCUUUAUUAAAAAGCUCUUGUGAUAUUCCAUCAAGAUUUUUAAACAUUAAAAGAAGUCUUGUGGUGUUCAAUCAGACUGAGUUUUACAGAAAAAUUAGUAAUAGAAAUAGCUUUGAAUAUUGUCAAUGCUUGGGUUGUCAAAACAUAUAAUCACAUCUACAUAUGCAGGUGUGCAACAGGCUGAGGGAAGACAACAUUAUCUAUCAGCAAUGCUCAGAAUAAGCUGCCAAACCCUCAUGAAGUUCUUUGGUGACAACCAAACUGCUAUGCAUAAUGAACUAAACUGAGAAAAUUUCAGUAAUAUUUUUAGAACAGGGUCUAAUGUAUUUGUUUAUGGAAGAAGGUUUAGAUAUUUUAAAAUAGAUUUUACCUGUGACAGCAUAAAACCAAGACAAAUAAAUAGACUAAAAUAUUAUGCAAAGUACUAAGCCAUGUACCAAAUACUAUGCCAGGCACUGAUAAUGCUGCAUGCUAUAAUUAUAUAAACCAGGACAAUCAAACUUUUCCCCCAGCACUCAUUAUGCCACUAACUCUCUAGAACAAACAAAAACUAGAUGAAAUUAAGGGUAAAAGAUUUCAAACCAGAUAUGAAAUUUGAAUGAAAGAAAUUCAACAGUUCAAACGUGAUUGUUUGAAAUUCAGCACAAUAGAUAUUAAAGAAAUAAGACCCUUUCCUUCUCCAUGCAUUGUUUCCUAAAUAUAUAUAUAUAUAUAUAUAUAAAUAUAAAAGGAAAAUUAUGACUGCUAUGUUAAUAUCAACAUGUUUGCUCUAUAAUUUAUAGUAUUUGCUGAUAAAAAAAAUGUUUGCUCUGUAAUUUGGCUAACGAGUAAGAUGAAACACCAGUUAAAGAGGUAAUCCUAUAUACUGAUUCUUGUAUUAGAAGAAGAAAAAAAUUGUCAUAUAACAUAAUACAUGAAAGAACUCCCAAGAAUAAACUAUAAUAAUAUUAAUAAUAUAAGAUAAUAGUCUAUCCUUAUAAAAGGAAAAAAAAAAAAAGCAGAACAAGGUGACAAGAUGGAGUGCAGAAGGUUAGUGGAAAAAGAUGACUUCUGUCUUGUAACCUUAAUUAACUCAAAACAAUUAGUUAAAGAAUUGAAAUUUGGAUGCAACUUUCUUGCAAUCUUUCGGGUAGAUUUCAUUCCGGAGCUCCGUAUACUCCUUCUGAUAAAUUCGAAAUAUUGAUAGCUAAUUAGAUACUAAUUUAAUAAUUAUUUAAUAAUAAUAAAAAAAUUUAGAAAUUAAAAAAAAAUUAAUUUCUAAAAUGAUAUCUAAUUUAGUUAUUAUUGUAAUUAAUUAUUUUGAUAUCUAAAAAUUGAUUUUUAUGUCAUGAGUUUUUUAGUGUUCUACUUUAUAUAUUGUAUAUGAAAAAAUAAAUCAAACUCCUCCUUAUCAUAUAUCUUUUAUAUUUUCAAACUAUAUCAAGUGAUAAAUAAAGAGCCAAAGAAAGACCGAUAAACUUACCAAAUUAAGUGAAUAAGGAAAGAAUGCGAAUUAGUACAUCAACUAAAUUUGCAUGAAUAUAAUAAUUGUUGCAUAAAAGAUAUUAUUUGAACUCAGAUAUUAUCCAAGCAAUCAAAAUUUUGGUUUGGAACUUUUGUCAACACUUUUCUUCUCAGAAACAGUCAACAAUUAUUGCUUCAUUGGGGCCCACAACCCUCUUCCCAUUCGUUCAUUCAUUAGAACCCUUGAAUGAAUAUCCAAUAGCUCACAUUUUCUAUUGGUUGAGUUGCCAUUAAAGAAAAAUAUGAUCUUAAAGUCAAGUCCUCCUUUCUAACUACUCUUUUCAUUCAUCACUGUAUCAUUCAUUCCUGCACUCAAUUCAUUUCACUUCAUUUCCAACUCCUUCCUACCAUGGCAGCAGAACUUGUUGGUGGUGCUCUUCUUUCGGCCUUUCUUCAGGUUGCAUUCGAUAGGCUCGCUUCUCCUCAACUUCUAGACUUCUUUCGUGGAAGAAAACUUGAUGAGAAGCUUCUCGACAAUUUGAACAUCAUGCUUCACUCCAUCAAUGCUCUCGCUGAUGAACUAAAGCAGUUCACACAUCCACACGUCAAAGCAUGUGUUAGCAUUAAACUCAGCCUUCAGCCGUAAUUAGUUUUAUUUUAGCAUCUGAAUAGCCAAUAAUUAUUAUCUUUAAUUCUAGUUUUGAAUGUCAUUUAUACUAUGAUUUAAAUGUAAAUUAUAGUAUAGGUUUUAUGAGAGAGAAGGUAGAAUUUUGAGAAGUCUAUUGUAAGACUAUUUAGAGAGAUUGUAUUCUUAUUUGAAAAACAGUAGUGAAAUAAAAUAUAUAUUUCCUGUUCACAAAUAUCUUGCUCUGUUUUAUUCCCUCAACACCAACAAUUGGUAUCAUAGCUAUUUUCUUGAGGGAUCUGUGAGGUUAGUAGAGUGCACCAAUGGAAGGAGGAUCAAAUUUUUCAACAAUGGCACCACCUGUCUUUGAUGGAGACAAUUAUCAAAUGUGGGUUGUUCGUAUGGAGACUUACCUAGAAGCAUUGGAUUUAUGGAAAGCUGUAGAAGAGGACUAUGAAAUUCAGUCCCUUCCAAAAAAACCCUACGGUGGCACAAAUAAAAUCACAGAAGGAAAAAAAGAUAAAGAAAUCAAAGACAAAAGCAUGUUUAUUUGCAGUUGUAUCUCCUAUGGUAUUCACAAGGAUAAUGUCCUUGGAGUCAGCAAAAGAAAUAUGGGAUUACCUCAAGGCAAAAUAUGAAGGUGAUGAGAGGAUUCGUGGAAUGCAAACUCUGAAUCUAAUCAGAGAGUUUGAAUUGCAGAGAAUGAAGGAGUCGGAAUCCGUAAAAGAGUACUCGGACAAACUUCUAAGCAUUGCCAACAAAGUGAGGUUGCUUGGAUCUGUGUUAAAAGAUUCAAGAAUUGUGGAAAAACUGCUUGUAACAGUUCCAGAGAGGUUUGAAGCCACCAUAACAACCCUGGAGAACACAAAGGACCUAUCAAAGAUUUCUCUUGCAGAGCUCUUAAAUGCUUUACAAGCACAAGAACAAAUGAGAGCCAUGAGACAAGAUGGAGCAAUAGAAGGAGCCUUACUAGUCAAACAUGAAGGUGGAUGGNNNNNNNNNNNNNNNNNNNNNNNNNNNNNNNNNNNNNNNNNNNNNNNNNNNNNNNNNNNNNNNNNNNNNNNNNNNNNNNNNNNNNNNNNNNNNNNNNNNNNNNNNNNNNNNNNNNNNNNNNNNNNNNNNNNNNNNNNNNNNNNNGAGCAACAAGAUGUAGAUGCUCAAAUUGCAAAUGAGGAGGAGGAUGUACUUUUCGUUGCAACUGGUUUUUGCAGCAAUAUUUCAAGUGCAUCUUGGUUAAUUGACAGUGGCUGCACCAACCACAUGACACAUGAUAAGGAACUCUUCAAGGAAUGGAGAACUACUGAUAUUAAAAGGGUGAGGAUUGGAAAUGGUGCAGUAAAAGGAAAAGGCACAAUAGCUAUCACAAGCUAUAAAGGUAUAAAAAUCAUUACAGAUGUUCUUUUUGUGCCAGAGAUUGAUCAAAAUCUUUUGAGUGUUGGUCAAUUGUUGGAAAAAGGCUAUAAGGUGAUGUUUGAAAAUAAACAUUGUUUAAUCAAAGAUGUUGAUGCCAGAUAUUUGUUUAAAGUUGAAAUGAAGGGAAACCGAGACUGCCAAAUCCAAUGGAGGAGGAGCACAUUGCCUUAAAAUCCAAAGAAAAUGUCACAGAAAUUUAUGUACCUGACUUGAAGAAUAAUAUUCUCGGUAUGGGAAAAUUAUUGGAGAGUGUUGAAGCAAAAUUUGAUAACCUGGAAAAAAGGUUUACAAAAUUGGAAGAAAAAUAUGUUGAUAUGGAGAAAGACAAGGAAAGUAGAGUCAAUCAAGUUGAAGAACUCCAUUUGUUGCUUUUGGCACAAAAAGAAAAGGUGAAUGAAUUACAAUUCAAAUUAAAAGCCCCUUUUGGUUCAUGUGUUUUACUUGAAAAUAAUGGUUUUGACUUAGGAGAAGACCAUAAAUGGAAUGGUGUUGAGACAUCAUCUGAAAGGGAAAUAUGGUAUAAUCAUUAUCUUCGAAGCUCAUUGAAGUCAAAGUCUUUCUUAAAUCCUUUUUAAUUCAAAGGGUGAAAGUGGAAAGAUUUUGUUUGGAAAAUUAAAAGUAAUUCAAUUCAAAAUUAUGCACGGAUUGAUGCAGUGAAGAAAAAUAUUGGAGGCAGUGUGAGCGAUGACAAUCAGAAAAGCAACAAUCUGAAUGAAUAAUAUGAAAUGUUUGAGUUUAAGGGGGAAUUUGUUAACAUUAAACUCAAAGCCUUCAGCCGUCAUCAAUUUUAUUUUAGCAUCUGAAUAGACAAUAAUUAUUAUCUUUAAUUCUAGUUUUGAAUGUCAUUUAUACUAGGAUUUAAAUGUAAAUUAUAGUAUAGGUUUUAUGAGAGAGAAGGUAGAAUUUGAGAAGUCUAUUGUAAGACUAUUUAGAGAGAUUGUAUUCCUAUUUGAAAAACAGUAGUGAAAUCAAAUAUAUAUUUUCUGUUCACAAAUAUCUUGCUCUGUUUUAUUCCCUCAACACCAACAACAUGGCUUCGUGCUGUCAAAGAGGUUGUCUUUGAUGCAGAGGAUCUUUUGGUGAAAUAGACUAUGAACUCACCAGAUGCGAAGUCGAAGCUCAAUCCCAACCUCAAACCUUUACUUACAAGGUAUCGAAUUUCUUCUACUCUACUUUCAGUUCAUUUAACAAGAAAAUUGAAUCAGAGAUGAAAGAAGUAUUGGAGAAACUAGAAUAUCUUGCAAAGCAAAAGGGUGCUCUUGGUUUAAAAGAUUGUACUUAUUCAGGUGAUGGAUCAAGUAGUAAAGUGCCACAAAAAUUUGGUGGUUGAAAGUGUUAUUUAUGGUAGAGAUGCUGACAAAGAUAUAAUCAUUAAUUGGCUCACAUCUGAAACCGACAAUCCUAACCACCCAUCAAUACUUUCCAUUGUGGGCAUGGGUGGCUUGGGUAACACACUUGCCCAGCAUGUGUACAAUGACCCAAAGAUCGAAGAUGCAAAAUUUGAUAUCAAAGCCUGGGUUUAUGUUUCUGAUCACUUUCAUGUUUUGACCGUGACAAGAACAAUUCUUGAGACAGUGACUGAUAAAACUGAUGAUAGUAGGAACCUAGAAAUGGUUCACAAAAAACUGAAAGAAAAAUUGUCAGGAAGGAAAUUUCUUCUUGUUUUGGAUGAUGUUUGGAACGAAAGACGAGAAGAAUGGGAAGUUGUGCGAACUUCUCUUAGCUAUGGGGCUCCAGGAAGUAGAAUUCUUGUCACAACUCGUGGGGAGAAAGUUGCUUCCAGCAUGAGGUCUGAAGUGCAUCUUCUAAAGCAAUUACGAGAGGAUGAAUGCUGGAAAGUUUUUGAAAAUCAUGCAUUAAAAGAUGAUCUUGAAUUGAAUGAUGAGUUAAUGAAGGUGGGUAGAAGGAUAGUUGAGAAGUGCAAGGGAUUACCUCUAGCUCUGAAAACAAUUGGAUGUCUUUUACGCACAAAGUCAUCCAUUUUAUAUUGGAAAGUGACAUAUGGGAGUUACCAAAAGAACACAGUGAAAUUAUUCCUGCGAUAUUUUUGAGCUAUCGCUAUCUUCCUUCUCAUCUUAAAAGAUGCUUUGCUUAUUGUGCCUUAUUUCCCAAAGAUUAUGAGUUUGUGAAGGAGGAGUUAAUUUUGAUGUGGAUGGCCCAAAAUUUUCUACAAAGUCCACAACAGAUUAGACAUCCAGAAGAAGUUGGUGAAGAGUACUUCAAUGAUCUACUGUCAAGGUCUUUUUUUGAACAAUUAGGUGCCUAGAGACGUUUCGUCAUGCAUGAUCUUCUGAAUGAUUUGGCAAAAUAUGUAUGUGCGGAUUUCUGUUUCAGGUUGAAAUUUGAUAAAGGUCGAUGUAUACCGAAAACAACCCGUCAUUUUUCAUUUGAGUUACGUGACGUCAAAAGUUUUGAUGGUUUUGAGAGUUUAAUUGAUGCUAAAAGGCUUCGUUCAUUUCUUCCUAUCUCAAAAUUUUGGGAAAUUCAAUGGCAUUUCAAGAUUUCCAUACAAGAUUUGUUUUCCAAUAUUAAGUUUAUACGCAUGUUAUCUUUCUGUGGUUGUUCAUUCCUUAAAGAGGUCCCGGAUUCUGUAGGUGAUCUUAGACAUCUCCAUUCGUUAGAUCUUUCGUGGUGUGAUGCGAUACAAAAAGCUACCUAACUCGAUAUGUUUGCUUUACAACUUACUAAUACUGAAGUUGAACCAUUGUUUAGAGUUGGAGGAAUUGCCAAUUUUCAUAAACUUACCAAAUUGUGUUGUCUGGAAUUUAGAGAUACAAAAGUCACAAAAAUGCCAAUGCAUUUUGGAGAAUUGAAGAAUCUUCAAGUACUGAGUACAUUUUUCGUGCAUAGAAACAAUGAGCUAAUUACUAAGCAAAUGAGAGGAUUGGGAGGACUCAAUCUUCAUGGAAGACUAUCAAUCAAUGAAGUGCAUAAUAUUUUGAAUCCUUUGGAUGCAUUAGAAGCAAAUGUGAAAGAUAAACACCUUGUGGAGCUAGAAUUAGAAUGGAAAUCAAACCACAUCCCUGAUGAUCCAAGGAAAGAAAAGGAGGUACUUCAGAAUCUACAACCCUCCAAACACUUGGAGCGUUUGUCAAUCUUGAACUAUAAUGGUACAGAAUUCCCAAGUUGGGUAUUCGAUAAUUCGUUAUCAAAUCUAGUGUUCUUAAAGUUGGAGGACUGUAAAUACUGCCUAUGUUUGCCUUCCCUUGGAAUUUUGUCGUCACUGAAAACCCUACAAAUUGUAGGGCUUGAUGGAAUAGUAAGCAUUGGUGCUGAAUUUUAUGGGAGCAACUCUUCAUUUGUAUCUUUAGAGAGGUUGAAAUUCCACAAUAUGAAGGAAUGGGAAGAAUGGGAGUAUAAAACUACUUCUUUUCCACGUCUUGAAUGGCUUUAUGUGAAUGAAUGUCCCAAACUGAAAGGUCUUCAUUUAAAGAAAGUAGUUGUUAAUGAUGAGCUCAGAAUUAGCGGAAACAGUAUGGACACAUCGCCGCUUGAAACAGUAUGGCUCAGCUACUUUUUCAUGAAUCAAUUACUUCUAUUUUACUCUUAUUUUCGUGCAAAAUUAUUUCAUUUUUUCUGUUGAAAUUAAAUUCCAACCAAAUGUGUUUCCUAUACUUAGAAUACUACGAAAAUCGUGAAGGUGGUCUGACAUUUGGCAUCCAUUCCAAACAAAGUAUUUGUUUUCAUAGCCACAUUCUUCCUUCUAACUUCUUAUUUCAUGCUACUACAGUUUCUGACAAAAAAAAGUGAACUUAAACUUGAUCAUAGAUCACUGAAACUAAACGAUCCCAAGAAUGAAGUUAUGGGUUGAGUGGAGGAAAGAUGAAUGAAAACUUCAAUGGACACAAGGGACAUUCUGUAUCUAAAGAAUCAAGACUUUUAAACAUUAAAAUAAGUCUUAUGGUGUUCAAUCAAGACUGAGUUUUACAGAAAAAAGAGUAAUAGAAAUAGCUUGAAUAUUGUCAAUGCUUAGGUUGUCAAAACAUUAUCAUCACAUCAGCCAAAAAAUACAACAGCCUCAGGGAAGACAACAAACUGCUAUGCAUAAUGAACCUAAACUGAGAAAAUUUCAGUAAUAUUUUGAAAACAGAUUCUAAUGUGUAAGGCCAUGCAUCCAUGCCUUUUAGUGUUCACCCACACAACGUUGUCAUGCUCCAAUUUUAGUUUCCUUAAUAUUCUGAUCUUGAGACUCAAGCAAAUAAAUGUAACACAACUGUCUAAUAGAAAAACAACUUUAUACUCCAUUGGUUCAGUAGUGUGAGUUAUUGAAAACCUUCUGCUACUUGUGUUCGAUUCCAACCAUUAGGAAAAACAAUCAUACACUUGCUAGUUAGUACAAUUAAUGCAUGAGUUCAACUAAAUAAAAUAAAUACCUGGGAUGAGAAAUAUCUUAAUUAUAAUUUUUUUUAUCGACAAUGAGUAAAUAAAUUAAAAGAUGGGUAAGAUUCUAUACCUCAUUUGCUAGUCACCUGCUACUAUUUAUGAUGGAUACACUCAUUCUUUCUUGAUUUUUAAGUUAAUGAUUUAAAUGGAACAAUGUGCUAAUGCUUUUGUUUCUACCUUAUUUCUUCUACAGGUCUUCCAAAGUUGGUUUGUAGCAGUGUAUCAUAAAUUAUAAUGAGAAAAUAACUACAAGGGCUUGAAAUUGGGUUCUGAUGAGGAAUUGGAAUGUGAAGCAAACUGUUUUGUUGAACCUCUUAGUGGGUCUAUUUGCUUUUAAAUUUGUCUUUAAAGGAAUAAAAUAGAACCCACUUUUCUUAUUUGCAGGCUACUGUUUCAAUUAGAAUUUUGCCACUUUCAAGGACUAAAAGUUUAAGGACUCUCUGAACAGCAACAACAAACUUACAGAAGUGUAAAGUUUCUUGUUGACCAAGUAUUGUCUUGUAUAGUUGGAGAUAAAAAGUGAUUAUUGGAAGCCAACAACUCUCUAGAAAUCUUGUAUAUUUAGAGUCUUUUUUACCAAUGAAGAUUUUCUUCGACUCCCUCUCACUUCGCUAAAUACAUGUGAUUGUGCAUGUCCAGACUCAUCACUCCCUCUCUCAGAGGCAUGUUACCACUCAGGCCUUCUAAAUUUUGAUUAAAUAUAUUUAAUACAAAAAUGUUCAAAAUAAUCUCCAAGUAGUAUUACCCUUUUUGGUCAGAACUAAAAAACUAAUCUCUUGUGAUAUAUUAAAGAGAUAAUCACUUUUGAUACAUUUUUUUGGUAAGUACGAAUUUGAGAUCAAAUUUUUGACCACAUAUUUAAGAGAGAAAGUUACAUGCUAAAUAUGUCACACUCUGUAGUUCUGUUAAGUUGUGAAUGUCAAUGGAAGACUUUGCUUCAUUUCUUCCAUAACCUUCCAGUAAACACAUCUUUCUCCUAAAUUUAUUUCUACACUUCUUUUGUAGAAGAAAGUUCGAUGAAGCACUGUUCAUAAAAUUAGUAAAGCUGAGUACUUGAACCAAAAGAGGCACAUGUAUUUGUUAAUGGAAGAAGCUUUAAAAAUUUUACAAUAUAUUUUACAUGUGCCAGCAUAAAACAAAACCAAUUUAUCCUCGUCAACAGUGAACUGAACUGUUAAAACUUGAAAUACAUAAAAAAACUGUUAAAAAAUUAUAUAUGGGUAUCUUCUUUCCACAAGUUGAAGCUAGAGAUAGAACAAGAAAAUAAAGACGUAUAACACACCAUUAUUGUCCGACUUUUAUUCAUUAAGUACGUUUGUGAUAUCAUAUCAGAAAAUAAACAAUUAUUUCUCGACUUUGGUUCUAUCGACCUUAUUCAACUCACAAAAACCAUUGAAUAUAAAACUAAUCAAACAUAAAAUAUGUAUCCAAUGUCUGAAACCCAACCAUCAAUCACUCUUUAUGAUUGGCUGAAUCUUUGAAUGCAACGAAUAAUUGUGGAAUUAAUCCUUAAGAAAGACUAUAUUGGCUGAGUAGACAUCAAAGAAAACUAUGUUCUAAAAUACUUUACUACUCAUCCUAUCAAUACAAACUGCAUUUCAACAUACUGAUUUCCAUCCUUCCAAUCAUUUUCCAAUUCCUGCCAUGGCAGCAGAACUUGUUGGUGGUGCUCUUCUUUCAGCCUUUCUUCAGGUUGCAUUCGACAGACUCGCUUCUCCUCAAUUUCUAGACUUCUUUCAUCGAAGAAAACUUGAUGAGAAGCUUCUCUGCAAUUUGAACAUCAUGCUGCACUCCAUCAAUGCUCUCGCUGAUGAUGCUGAACAGAAGCAGUACACAGCUCCACACGUCAAAGCAUGGCUUUUUGCUGCCAAAGAGGCUGUCUUUGAUGCAGAGGAUCUGUUGGGUGAAAUAGACUAUGAACUCACCAGAUGCCAAGUCGAAGCUCAAUCCGAACCUCAAACCUUUACUUACAAGGUAUCAAAUUUCUUCAACUCUACUUUCACUUCAUUUAACAAGAAAAUUGAAUCAGGGAUGAAAGAAGUCCUGGAGAAACUAGAAUAUCUUGCAAAGCAAAAGGGUGCUCUUGGUUUGAAAGAGGGUACUUAUUCUGAUGACAGAUUCGGUAGUACAGUGUCACAGAAAUUGCCAUCAUCAUCCUUGGUUGUUGAAAGUGUUAUUUAUGGCAGAGAUACGGACAAAGAAAUCAUACUUAGUUGGCUCACAUCUGAAAUCGACAAUCCUAGCCAGCCAUCAAUACUUUCCAUUGUGGGCAUGGGUGGCUUGGUUAAGACCACACUCGCCCAACAUGUGUACAAUCACCCAAAGAUUGAUGAUACAAAAUUUGAUAUCAAAGCCUGGGUCUGUGUUUCUGAUCAUUUUCAUGUUUUGACGGUGACCAGAACAAUUCUUGAGGCAAUCACUAAUAAACAAGAUGAUAGUGGGAACCUAGAAAUGCUUCACAAAAAAUUGAAAGAAAAUUUGUCAGGAAGGAAAUUUCUUCUUGUUUUGGAUGAUGUUUGGAACGAAAGACGAGAAGAAUGGGAAGCUGUGCAAACUCCUCUUAGCUAUGGGGCUCCAGGAAGUAGAAUUCUUGUCACAACUCGUGGUGAGAAAGUUGCUUCCAACAUGAGGUCUAAAGUGCAUCGCCUAAAGCAAUUAGGAGAGGAUGAAUGCUGGAAUGUUUUUGAAAACCACGUAUUAAAAGAUGGUGAUAUUGAACUGAAUAAUGAGCUAAAGGAGAUUGGUAGAAGGAUAGUUGAGAAGUGCAAUGGAUUGCCUCUAGCUUUGAAAACAAUUGGAUGUCUAUUACGCACAAAAUCAUCCAUUUCAGAUUGGAAAAACAUAUUGGAAAGUGAAAUAUGGGAGUUACCAAAAGAAGACAAUGAAAUUAUCCCUGCGCUAUUUCUGAGUUAUCGCUACCUUCCUUCUCAUCUUAAAAGGUGUUUUGCUUAUUGUGCCUUAUUCCCCAAAGAUUAUGAGUUUGUGAAGGAAGAGUUAAUUUUGUCGUGGAUGGCCCAAAAUUUUCUACAAUGCCCACAACAAAAAAGGCAUCCAGAAAAAGUUGGUGAACAGUACUUCGAUGAUCUACUGUCAAGGUCUUUCUUUCAACCAUCAAGUGUCGAGAGACAUUUCGCAUGCAUGACCUUCUGAAUGAUUUGGCAAAAUAUAUUUGUGCAGAUUUAUGUUUCAGGUUAGGAUUUGAUAAAGGAAAAUGUAUGCCGAAAACAACUCGUCAUUUUUCCUUUGUAUUCCGUGACGUCAAAAGUUUUGAUGGUUUAGGGAGUUUAACUGAUGCUGAAAGACUGCGUUCAUUUAUUCCAAUUACACAAAUUGGGAGAAAUUUUUUUGGCAGUUUUGCAUGGCAAUUUAAGGUAUCGAUACAUGAUUUGUUCUCCAAGAUUAAGUUUAUACGCGUCUUAUCUUUUAAUGGUUGUUCGAAAAUUAAAGAAGUCCCACAUUCUCUAGGUGAUCUUAAACAUCUCCAUUCGUUAGAUCUUUCGAAUACUGGUAUACAAAAGCUACCUGAAUCGAUAUGUUUGCUUUAUAACUUGCUAAUACUGAAGAUGAACUAUUGUUCAGAGUUGGAAGAGUUUCCCUUAAAUUUGCAUAAACUUACCAAAUUGCGUUGUCUGGAAUUUAAAUAUACAAAAGUGACAAAGAUGCCAAUGCAUUUUGGAGAAUUGAAGAAUCUUCAAGUAUUGGAUACGUUUAUCAUUGAUAGAAAUAGUGAGGUCAGUACUAAGCAGCUGGGAGGACUUAAUCUUCAUGGAAUGCUAUCAAUUAAAGAGGUGCAGAAUAUUGUGAAUCCUUUGGAUGCAUCAGAAGCAAAUUUGAAAAAUAAACACCUUGUGGAGCUAGGCUUAGAAUGGAAGUUGGACCACAUCCCUGAUGAUCCACGAAAAGAGAAGGAAUUACUUCAGAAUCUACAACCUUCCAAUCACUUGGAGAAUUUGUCAAUCAAGAACUACAGUGGUACAGAAUUCCCAAGUUGGGUAUUCGAUAAUACAUUAUCAAAUCUGAUAUCCUUACUAUUGAAGGACUGUAAGUAUUGCCUAUGUUUGCCUCCCCUUGGACUUUUGGCAUCACUAAAGAUCCUCAUAAUUACAGGGCUUGAUGGAAUAGUGAGCAUUGGUGCUGAAUUUUAUGGGACCAACUCUCCAUUUACGUCCUUGGAAAGGCUGGAAUUCUACAACAUGAAGGAAUGGGAAGAAUGGGAAUGUAAAAAUACUUCUUUUCCACGUCUUCAACAUCUUUAUCUGGAUAAAUGUCCCAAACUAAGAGGUUUGUCAGACCAACAUCUUCAUUUAAUGAGAUUCUUGAGCAUUAGUUCAUGUCCACUUGUGAAUAUUCCCAUGACCCAUUACGACUUCCUUGAAGGUAUGAUGAUUGAUGGUGGUUGGGACUCUCUUACAAUCUUUCUGCUAGAUUUAUUUCCAAAGCUCCACUCACUUCAUUUGAUAAGAUGCCAAAACCUAAGAAAAAUUUCACAGGAGCACGCUCAUAAUCAUCUCCGGUCUCUAGAAAUUAAUGAUUGCCCUCAAUUUGAAUCAUUCCUUAUUGAAGGAGUAUCUGAAAAACCCAUGCAAAUCCUUACUCGAAUGGAUAUAGAUGAUUGUCCAAAAAUGGAGAUGUUCCCAGAUGGAGGUUUGUCAUUAAAUGUAAAAUAUACGAGUCUUUCAAGUUUAAAACUUAUCGCCUCCCUCAGAGAGACAUUGGAUCCCAACACAUGUCUUGAGAGCUUGAAUAUUGGAAAGUUGGAUGUGGAGUGUUUUCCGGAUGAAGUUUUGCUGCCACGAUCUCUCUCCAAACUAGGAAUCUAUGAUUGCCCAAAUCUUAAAAAGAUGCACUACAAGGGUCUCUGCCACCUCUCUUCUCUCACACUUAUUAAUUGUCCCAACCUUCAAUGCUUACCAGAGGAGGGUCUGCCAAAAUCCAUCUCUUCUCUUGUAAUCUUGGAUUGUCCAUUGCUAAAGGAGCGUUGUCAGAAUCCAGAUGGCGAAGACUGGAGAAAGAUUGCUCACAUCCAAAAACUGAAUAUUGGGUAAUAAGAUGAGGCAUAAGUUCAAGAUUAGAUGUGCAGUUAUUUCCAUUUUUCUUCCACUUCAAGAGGUGCUAAUUCUCCACAAUAUCUCUUUACCUUUACAUUUACAAUUUUCUUAGUUGCGAAAAUUAUUAGUAAGUGGAUUUCUAAUACUUACUAAUCGUUCAUUCAUACUAUCUUUUUUUACAGUAUCCUUCUCUAUAUCUGGAGGGAGUAGAAGAGACCCUCUUUAGAGAUCUUACUCUUGACCACGAUGCUUUCUAAGGUGGCUGUUUUUAAAAUACUUAUGGUCACAGUGUGUUGUGUGGACUGUGAUAUUAUAAGUCUUUCCAAAGUCUGUUUCUACCAAUGUGCCAAGAUAUGAUAAAGAGAAAAAAAGUAGAAGGGUUUGAAGUUGAAUUAUCAGAGGAUGAGUUACCUAAACAAGUCCUGGGCAAACUCCUACAUCUGAUAGAGAGAUUGAGGCAAUGGGAGUUGUGAAAUGUAAAUGCUUCUAAGCGUCCAUUCUUAGAACUUGAAAUUGUACAUGUUUUUCUUACUGAGUUAGAAAUAGCAUUCAAGUUGUUUGUGAGCAUUGCAUGUAACUUGUAUUUUUUAUUCCUUUUGUUUCCAUCUAUUCACUGUAUAUAAAAAAAAUGUUCUGGUUAGAACUGAUGUCAACUGUUGAAACCAAAUUUUCUUUCAUUUAUCUCAUAUGCUUGGAUAAAGACAUGCAUAUCCAUCAUCUUUCUUUCGAAACUUAUGUGGCGUCCAUACCAAAAUACAGAAAAAGGUAGUGAACUAUAUUACUUCAUGAUAAUAACUGGAUCAGAAAAUGGUGAAAGAAGAACUAUUUAUUGAAUGUACGUAAAUUGAAUCAUUGGUUUUUGAGAGGCCUUCAUUACCCUUUAUCUUAGAAUGUAGAUUUCAGUAUAACUCAAUUCUACAAAAACUGGUUUACAUUAAUAUGUUGAUCAUGAUAGACUUUAUUUUUCCUGUACUUCAAUAUUACCUACAUGGUUCUAGCUCCCUGUCAUUAACAAUUUUUCUCAACUAUUUUCUUUCUCAUCUUUGUCGUUGAUGGUUUUAUGUAAAGUAUGGAUCCAACGGUUAAUAUGUGUUCAAUUUCUUCUCUCUAAUGGAAGCCAUAGGAAAGAAAUCAUUCAUUCAUCUUUUUAAUAUAACAGUCAUGAAACAUGUGUAUGAAACAGGUAUAUAUCAAUUUAGUUUCUUUCACUAUAGUUUGUUUAUAAAAUGAGUGGUGGUAGGAGUAUAUCAGUAGCAGAGACCUGUUGAAGAUUAUAAUAAUAUAAAUAAUUGAUAGUUAAAACUUUGGUAGCUAAUUAGAUAUCAAUUUAAAAACUAAUUAAUAAUAAUAGAAACUAAUUUAGAAACCAAAAAUUUUUUUAGUCUCUAAAAUGGUCUCUAACUUAGUCAUUAUAGUAAUUAAUUAUUUUUUUCUCUAAAAUUAGUUUCUAUUCUUGUAAUGUGAAUUAAUGAAAUUUCAACACAAAUUUUCUCUAAAUAAUGCUUUCCAAAUUGAAUAUAUAGUUGUUUCAAUUAUUUAAAACAAGUUUACAGAACAUCAAUACCAAUACUUAUCUAGGAAACACCAAACACCAGCUACCGUAGGGUUGUAAUUUUUAUAAAUCACAAAUUUACUGCACCGUGAAACCAUAUCCAUCACCAAUUUCUUAUGCAAUGCACACAAUAAUUUUAACGUUGUCCUCAAGUCAAAUCAAACAAUAAUUUCUAUCAAGCACAUAAACCCAAGAACUUCAAUUGUAACCCAUCAAAGAUCAAAACUAGAAAUUUUAUACUUCAUCACAGAGUUUGAUAACAAGAUUGGACUGAACUGUGAGAUGAGAUGCACCAGCGACUACCAUAAUGUUCAAUGGUUUAAACCAUUCAUACAGUAAAUUGGACAGAAACAAGAAUUGUUACUCACUACGAAAUAGUUCAAUUUCCAAUUACACAGUGAAUGAAUCAAAAUUAAGUAUAAUUUUUGCUCUACACACGCAAAAGUUCCAGCAAUCACCAACUCAAAAGGAGUAAAAAUUGUGCCACUUUAAAUUACUGUUUUGAAAAUUCAAUGACACAAGAAAAAUAUUGCAUUGACUUCAACUACAAUAACGAAGCAUUUAUACAAACACGUCAUUUGCAGUUUAACCAACACGCAAAUGUUUGAAUUAUCAACUCUUCAACGAGUCAACACAAAAAUAAUUUGAUCAAUGACACACAAAAAUCACAAAUCUCCCCAUGCAAUUUAGUGGAAAUUUUCGUGCAUAUUACAUUCAUAUCAACGAAAAGAGGCAAAUAGAAAUUACAAUUUCCAUACUCACAUCGAAUUCACUAGAACAAAUGACAGUAUCAUCGUUGAGUAAUUCCAAGCACGCAAACUAAUUUUUUUCUCCAAAAGUCGAUUUUAUGAAUUGAAAACUCAUGAUAUUUAAAUAUUAUCAUAGACACUAGGUGUAUAAAACUUAAAUCUUUAAGACAAAACAAAACCAAAAAAAUAUUUAAAAGACAUUGUCUAAUAACAUAAUGAAUUGAGUAUUACACACAUUUAUUUGCAAUUGUAGCUGCAUGGGUUAUGCAGAUUACUGCAUCCAUUAUUGAUUAUUGAGGGACUAUCAUGUACAAAAGAAACACUAAUCCAAACCUAGAAUUAACAUUUAAGCACAAAAUCUGAACUCUUUAUUCCUUUAUCAAUUCAUAAAUAUAAGAAUAAAACGAAGAAUCAUUCUUAUUUAAAAUUAAUUUCUUUUAUUAGCUGAAAUAAAACCCUAAUCCAAACCUAGAAUUAACAUAAGCAUAAAAUUUGAACUCUUAUUCCUUUAUCGCCUCCACAAAGCUCUUAAAGUUCUCAUAAGAUGUACCUCCUUUUGCUAUGUUGUUCAUCACUUUCUCCUUCAACACCACACACCUAAAUCUUAUGUUCUCAUCAUUAAAUAAUUGUUCCACUUUGGUUUUCAACUCUCCCCGUGAAACAACCCCAUUUUGAUCCUUGUCAAUCCCCAACCCAACCUUUAACUCAUCACAAAUAUGUGCUUUGUUGUAAAGUUGGUCCCCAAAGUAUGGCCAACACAAGAAAGAUACCCCAUUGGACAAACCUUCCGUGGUAGAAUUCCAACCACAAUGAGUGACAAAACAUGCUAUGGCAGGGUGGCUUAAAACCUUUUGUUGAGGAGCCCAAUUCACUAUCUUACCCUUAUGCCCUUGGAAUUCAUGAGGGUAUGCCAUUUUAUUGUCUUCUCUUAUAACCCAAAGAAAAGGUCUAUUAGUGAGAUCUAGUCCAACGGCAAGUUCAUUGAAUUGGUUUUGGUCAAAAAGAGUGAUACUACCAAAGGCAACAUACAACACAGAACCAUCAGCUUGUUCAUCUAGCCAACUCAUGCAAGAGAGAUCUUCUUUCCAGAAUUGUCCCAUUGAUUUUGUAGCUGCACUUUUGUUAUGAUCAUUAUCAUUGCUUCUCAACAAUGGCCCAAUUGGGAUGAUCUUGGGAAGAAAUAAUAAUGUUCCAGGUUCAAGUUCAUGUGUGGUGUUGCAAAGCCACCACUGUGUCAAAUGUAAACUUCGUAAGCAAUGCAGCAGAUACUUACGCACUUUCUUACCAGUUGUUAGGUCACCGAUAUUCAACCAAAAAAAGUCUUCUGUAUCCAUCUCAGGCAUACUUGGAGAAAUCCGAAUUCUCUUUUUGGUGGUUGAUGUUAAACCUUCAGUGAAAAACCAACAAAAGAACAUUAGCUUAUACAACGUAUAAAUUAAAUUAUAAAUUAUGUUCAAACUUAACAAUACCUAAAUCAGAGUCUAUAACUCCCUCAUCAAUAAGCACAGGGAUGCUGUACACCAAGGUGAAAGUAGCUGCUGAUGCAGGACCCAACACAGCUCCUUGGAUUCCCAGUUUACUCCCAACAUCCAAAGCCCAAGCCAUGCACAAAUCAGCAACAAUGAAGUUGAUUCUCUUCUCACCUUUCACAUGAAUAUCCUCUAUCAACUUCUCAAGUGCUUCUGGCAUGGUUUUUGGAAAGACAUCAUACAGCUUGGCCAGAUCGUUUCUGUCAUCAUCAGGUCCUAAACCAUCAGGGAUUGAAACCAACUUCAGAAGUGAUUCUUCUUCAUCAGGGCUAGAACUAUCUUGUUGCUCCACCAUGGAACUCACCACUCUCCUGUGGUUAAAGUCUGUGUUCACAAAAAUGACUUUGCAUCCAUUCUCAAUCAGCUUCUGUGAGAAGGUCAUCAUGGGAUUCACAUGCCCUUGUGCUGGAAGUGGUAAAGCUAGCACAGUUGGAGCUCUCAUGUUCAGUGUUUCUAUUUGGUUUCUAUUGAUUUUGAUUUCUGAGGCUAAUUAUGCAUUCAUCAGUUCAUGUAUAUAGGCACAACCCCUCACACGUAUUUACCAAGCAAUUACAAAUCUAGAUCAUGAUCACUCUAAAUUUUCUGCUAUCACAAAUUUCUUGUAAGCAGAAAUGUAGAAAGUUUGUGUGGUCACAUCAAUAAUUUUGUCAUUCUAUACCUCUUUACUUUUCCUUGUACUUCUCUGAUUGGACUUCAGUGUUUUUGUCAUUAAACUUUUGCUUUUUUACUUUAUUAAUUGAUUCAGCAUUAUGCUGUUAUUUCAUUACGAGAAUUAUUAAUUACAGUAAGAAAUAUCUCUUUUAAUUUGAAUCAAUUUGAAAGGAAAGGUAAUAAAUGAAAAUUUCCAAAUAAUAAACUACAUUUUCUAAGGUUGAGGUACAAAUAUAAAGGUUAAAAAUGGAAAUAUACAAUUUUCUUUCAUUACCAGAAAUAUUGCAUAUAGUGUGGACCUAAGACUAGGACAUAAAGAGGUAAACACUGAUCCUACAUAGUUGUUAGUGUCGGCAACAUAGUUGUUAGUGUCGGCAACUGUCUUAUUAAAAAUAAAAACACUACAAGAAAAUCAUAAAAUAAAAAUCAAUUUUUAGAGAUCAAAAUAAUUACUUACAAUAGGAACUAAAAUAGAGACCAUUUUAGAAACUAAAAAAAAAUUGAUUUCUAAAUUAGUUUCUAUUAUUUUCUAUUAUUGUUAAAUAGUUGUAUCUAAUUAGCAACUAAAGUUUUAACUACCAAUUAUUUAGUUUCUAAAUUUGGUCUCUAAAACUUUGGUUGCUAAUUAGAUACCAAUUUAGAAACUAUUUAACAAUAAUAUAAACUAAUUUAGAAACUAAAUUUCUUUUUAAUUUCUAAAAUGGUCUCUAAUUUAGUUAUUAUUGCAACUAAUUAUUUUGGUUUCUACAAAUUGGUUUCUAUUUAAUGAUUUUAUUCAAGUGAAACUAAUAUAAAAUAAAAACUGAUGCAGAUUGAAUCAGCUAAAUCAAUGCAAGUUUACGUUGUGUAUAUUAAUUAAAAAUUAAAAUGAAUUAGACGGACACAAAUUAAACUGGAUAAAAAUAGAUUUAAUUUUAGUAUCGUUUUAGCAGAUGUAUUUUUUAGAAAUAAAAAUAAUAUUACGUAGAAAAUUAUUAAAUAUAAAAUAAUUUUAAAAAAAUUAGUUACUAUAGUAAUUAAAUUAGAGAUUAUUUUAAAAAUUAAAAAAAUUAUUAGUUUUUAAAUUAGUUUUUAAUAUUGAUAAAUAAUUUUUAAAUUAAUAUCUAAUUAGUUAUUAAGGUUUUAACUAUUAAUUAUUUAGAUUCUAAAUUUGAAACCUCGAUGAUUAAUUAAAUACCAAUUAAAAAAUUUAUUUAUUAAUAAUAGAAAAUAAUUUAAAAACUAAUAAUUUUUGUUUUUAAUUUUAUUACUAUAACAACUAAUUAUAUUUUAUUUUUAAAAUUGAUUACUAUUUAGUGAUUUUUUUUUACGGUAAAUAAUAUAUAAGUUAGUGUGUUAUUGGUCGAUGGAAUAUUAGACGCUGGCUGGUAUAUGUAAUUUGGAGUCUAUUUGGAAAUGAAAUUUGAACUUGUUUUCUCAAAUUAAUGCCAGAUUAUAUUUGAACUAAAUUUUAAUUAAUUCAAAUUUAAUUUGAGUGAAUAUAAUACUUGUGAUUAAUUAUAAUAAAGAAAUAAAUUUACAAUAAUACUAAAUUAUUUUAAGAAUUAUAUUAAACAUAGUUGCAACUAAUUUAAAGUUAUAGUCCAAAUUCUAAAUUGAAAUAAAUAUUAAAAUUAAACUAUAACAUGUGCUCUUGUUAUUGGAAUCCAAAUCAUAAUUGAAAUUGGACUAUAAUGUAUAUGUCUUGUAAUCCUAAAUAAAGUAGAAUGAAAAUUUAAGGAUAGUUAUAACAAUUCUCAUGCAGACAUAUGAGUUUUAACAAAGAAAUCAGAUUUGAUACUUCCAUCGCAUCGUUAGAAUUCAAAGAAAUAAUAAAGAAUGUAAUGUAUAAGUGCGUUUGUCUUUAUUGGAAUGGAGAGGAUUCCCACCAAUGCCAAAAGGGCAUUUGUUUUGAUGGGAAUGAAUAUGAUUUUCUCCAAUUAUAGGAGGACAUUUGUCAACCUCUAAUUUGAGAUGAUUUGCUCUAAUUAGAGAGAGUCACAUGUCCUUCUAUGACGGGAGAGUUUUUAGGAUUAAAACUUACACUUUGGUUGCACAUAACACUAUAAAUACAAUAGCUAGCCCUCUUGUAAAGGAGUUUUGAAUAGAUUAUUGAAUUGCUGCCAAAUUUCAGCCCCAACUAGUCUCUUAGCUCACUCCUCGCUAGCCUUAUUUGUAAGUGGUUAGCAUAGAAGUUCUUAGGAGUUGGUCUAACUUCUCUUAAGCUUCAUUAUUAUUCUCUAUACACCAAUAUUUCAGAGGUUCUUUCACUCAUUUUAGUCACCAAAUUUCACAUCUCAAAAGAUAUAAAACAAAAGAAACAAAGUCAUAUGCAAGCUAGGAUUGCAUCACCUAGUACCCAAGUGGUUAGAUCUAUGGCCACAAAGUAAGCAAUAUGUGCUUGAUAGAAUAUUCUCUUGUGAAUUAGGGUUUAAGCUGUUUAGGUAUUUGGAUGUAUGACACACAGACAGUGGGUUUAGGAACUAGUAAAAAAAGGUUGUCUGAAGAGGAUAAAUAUGUGGAAAUGAAAUAUAAAAGAAAAGCUAAAAUCUCUAAACAAAACAAGUGUGUGGAACAAAAGAUGUGUUUCGGCAAAUGCUAAGAAAAAUGGAAGAGUGUGUCCUAAAAAUUAGUGAGUUGGACAUAAAGGGAUGAACACUAAAGUUCAUAUGAAGCUUGUAGAACAGAAAGAAAAAUAUAUAUUUGCAUCUAACAUCAUAUCUUUCGAAUAAAGAGUGACUCUAGAGUAAGAAAAAUUGAACAAUAUAAGACAAUAUGAAUUUUUUUCAAGGACGAAAAUAUAAAAAAAAGACUCUAAUCGAUGACUUAGUUUAACAUAUAUAGUUGUCAUUUACAACUACUAUGGAUAAAGAGCAAUUAGAAGAUUACAAUAUUUACAAAGAUAAUAUUAUUAAAAUAUAAACCGAAAUUCACAUAAUUAAGAACAAGUUUAAAUUUAAAAAAUCUUUAAUUUUGAUAAUAACCAAUAAUAUUAUAUUUUAAUUAAAAGAUAAAAUUCGACGGUGUGUCUCAGCUCACCAAAUUUUAUCACAAUUGAAAAGCUCAUUGGUGACCUUUUACCCUUUAAUAUCGACCACCUACUUUACUUUUUUUGUUGGAUCAAUCAAUUAUUAGGAUAUUAAUAAUUGGAUUACUGGUAAAUAUUUAGACCACAAAGAUUUAUAUAAUUUUUUAUUUUCUCCAAGAUAGAGCCUUGUUUCUUGCCGUGUCAUAUAUGUGUCCCUUGUUACCAAGGGAUGGUUUUGCUAUUUUUGGAUGCUUUGAAGCCUUUAAAAAGACCUUUUCAACCAAACAAAAAUAGCCACAGAAUUACAUAGAGAAAAAAUGUUUGCUGAAGUAUUUAUAGAAAGAAAAUCAUUAGAUAAAAAAUAAAAAAUAGCUACGGAAUUACAGAAAAAAAAAAUAUUUACCGAAAUAUUUAUGCAAGACAAAAAAAUCAUUAAAAAAUAAUUUUAAAGAUAAAAAAUAGUUAAUUUAUUAUAUUAAUUAAAUUAUAUACUAUUUUAGAUAUUAAAAAAAAUUAUUGAUAUUUAAAAUAGUUUCAAUUAUUAAUAAAUAGUUUUUAUUAUUGAUAAAUAGUUCCAAAAUAUCACUAAAAAAAAUAUGAAAUAGAAAUCAAUUUUUAAAAAUCAAAAUAAUUAGUUACAAUAGUAACUAAAUUAGAGACCAUUUUAGAAACUAAACAAAAAUUUGAUUUUUAAAUUAGUUUCUAUUAUUGUUAAAUAGUUUCUAAAUUGGUAUCUAAUUAGCAAGGUUUUAACUACCAAUUAUUUAGUUUUUAAAUUUGAUCUCUAAAACAUUGGUUGCUAAUUAGAUACCAAUUUAGAAACUAUUUAAUAAUAAUAAAAAUUAAUUUAAAAACUAUUUUUUGUUAGUUUAUAAAAUAGUCUCUAAUUUAGUUACUAUUACAACUAAUUAUUUUGGUUUCUAAAAAUUGGUUUCUAUUUCAUGAUUUACUUGUAGUGUAUUUAAUUAUACUAUAAGAAAAUCACAACCAAAUUUAGGAACAAAAUAAUUAAUCACUAUAUUAACUAAAUUAGAUACUAUUUUAAAGACUAAAAAAUUAUUAAUAUCUAAAAUGAUUUUUAUUAUUAAUAAAAAAUUAUAAAAUAAUUUUUAAAUUGUUAUCUAAAUUAGCUACCAAAAUUUUAUCUACUAAUAUUUAAUAAAUAUGAAUUAUUGAAAUGAAGCAACAUCAAGUUAAUUAUCAUUUCAAUGCAUGGUACCACUUUAUGUAAAAUGAUUUCAUCUUGCUCGUUAAUUGUAUCAAUCAAACAACUUAAUUCAACAGUUGAAUCCAACACUUAAAUGCAAAAUGAAUCAAAUUCAAGUUGGCAACUAAAGUCACUUGUUGAACUCAAAAAAGUUUCAGAAUUAUAUAAGAGUGCCAACUAAGGACAUCUUCCAUGCAACAAAGAAAUUUAAACACUGAUUGCAAACCAUAAAUGCUAAAACUAAAUUAAUGAAAUUGCAACACAAAUUUUCACUUAAUAAUAUUUUCCAAAUUGAAUAUAUAGUUCCUUAAAUUAUUUAAAACAAAUUUACAGAACAUCAAUACCAAUACUUCUCUAGAAAACACCAAACACCAGUUACCGUAGGGUUGUAAUUUUUAUAAAUCACAAAUUUACUGCACCAUGAAACCAGAUCCAUAACAAUUUAUGUAAUGUAAACAAUUAUUUUAACUUUGUCCUCAAGUCAAAUCAAACAGUAAUUUCUAUCAAGCACAUAAACACCAAGAACUUCAAUUCUAAACCAUCAAAGAUCAAAACUGGAAAUUUUAUACUUCACCACAGAGUUUGACAAUAAGACUGGACUGAAUUGACAGAGUUUGACAAUAAGACUGGACUGAAUUGUGAGAUGACGUACACCAACAACUACCAGAAUGUUCAAUGGCUUAAACCAUUCAUAGAGUAAAUUGGAUAGAAACAAUAAUUGUUACUCACCACGAAACAAUUCAAUUUCCAAUUAAACAGGGAAUGUAAUCAAAAUUAUGUAUAAUUUAUGCUCUACACACGCAAAAGUUCUAGCAAUCACCAACUCAAAAGAGUAAAAUUGUGCCACUUUAAAUUACUGUUUCGAAAAUUCAAUGACACAAGAAAAAUAUUGCACUGACUUCAAUUACAAUAAUAAAGCAUUUAUACCAACACGUUAUUUGCACUUUAACCAACACGCAAAUGUUUGAAUUAUCAAUGCUUCAACGAGUCAACACAAAAGUAAUUUGAUCAAUGACACACAAAAAAAUCACUAAUGUCCCCAUUCAAUUUAGUGGAAAUGCUCGUGCAUAUUACAUUCAUAUCAACAAAAAGAGUGAAGAGAAAUUACAAUUUCCAAAUUAACACUACAAGAAAAUCAUAAAAUAGAAAUCAAUCUUCAGAUACCAGAAUAAUUAGUUGCAAUAGUAACUAAAUUAGAGAUUAUUUUAAAAAUUAAACAAAAAAUUGGUUUCUAAAUUAGUUUCUAUUAUUUUCUAUUAUUGUUAAAUAGUUUUUAAAUUGAUAUCUAAUUAGCAACCAAAGUUUUUUAGACCAAAUUUAGAAACUAAAUACUUGGUAGUUAAAACCUUGAUUUAGUGUAACCUCAAGGAAGAAGCGUGUAAAAUAGAGUUACAAGUGAAGAAUGGUGAAGAGUGAAUGUCACCAUGCGCAGGAGUUUAUAAAAGAAAAAUAUUAAAAUACUUUACUGUGAUUUUAUGAAAAAACCACGGACACUUACCAAAGGUUUAAAAAAAAUGUGUACUAUGUGUAUGUCUUAAUAGAAAUUAUAGUAACAUUAAGUAAUAAACCUCUCCUAAAAUUAUAAAUUUUUGUAAUGCCUAAACUAGCAUAUUUGUUGAAGAUGACCAAAUAAGAAAACUAGGAGUUGGAAAGGAAGUGAAAGUUCCAUUAAUUAUACUCAUUUUGGAAAUAAAAUUUAAUACUCAUUAUGUUUCAAUUCUAUUUCUAUAUGAUAUAACUAUAUCUAUUUAAAUAUGUAUUAAAUAACUUUUAAAAAAAAGUAAACUUAAAUCAAAAUGAUAUUAUUUAGAAUUCAAUUUAAAAUGUAUUUCUUUAAUAUCAAAUAACAGUUAUUAUGAAGUGGGUUUGCACCCUCUCAUACCAUAUUACGAAGUGGACUUUAAGUCUAACUCAAAGCCAUAAAACCGGCUCAAUGGGGUGAGGUUUGCACCCACUUAUAUACUAUGAAAGGCUCUAAUCUCUAAUCGAUGUGGGAUUGCACCCACUUAUAUACUAUGAAAGGCUCUAAUAUCUAGUCGAUGUGGGAUCUCCAACAACAGUGAAAAAAUUAUAAUAAUAUAAUAUUCAAAAUAAAGUACUAAAUAAAAUAAAAUUAAUUUUAGAAUUUAAAAUAGAAGGUGUAUAGGAAUGAGACGAAUAUCUAUUUAGAUAUCUUUAUCAUUUUAGUGAAACGACGGGAUUACAAUGGUAGAAAAAUACCCAAGGAUAUUUAUGGAUUGAAACUAAUAUGAAAACACAUGCUAGAAAAUGGAAUAACAAUAUAUGAGAGUUCAAGUGGAGGAAAAAUUGGUUUUGAAUGGGGAAGGCUAUGGUAGAAGCGUUUAAGACAGAUUUAACAAAAAUUAAGCCAAAUAAAAAUAUUGACAUAUGUAGAAAUUCUUUCGUAUAUUCUGAAAACAUAGGUACUAGUUGUAUAAAGUCUAAAUCCUUAGGACAAAACAAAGCCAAAAAAACAAGCAAAAGACUCUUCAAAUUGCAACAAAUAAAAAUUAUUGUACAAUAUUCCUUAUUCAUAAAUGCAUCAUGUCGAUCUAAGUGCAUUUGCAUUGUCUAAUAACAUAAUUAAUAACAUAAUAAAUUGGGUAUUACACACAUUUAUUUUGGCAAUUUUAGCUGCAUGGGUUAUGCAGAUUACUGCAUCCAUUAUUGAUUAUUGAGGAACUAUCAUGGUACAAAAAAAGACUAAUCCAAACCUAGAAUUAACAUUUAAGCACAAAAUCUGAGCUCUUAUUCCUUUAUGGCCUUCACAAAGCUCUUAAAGUUCUCAUAAGAUGUUCCUCCUUUUGCUAUGUUCUUCAUCACUUUCUCCUUCAACACCACACACCUACAUUUUAUGUUCUCAUCAUUAAAGAUCUGUUCCACUUUGGUUUUCAACUCUCCGCGUGACACAACUCCAUUUUCAUCUUUGUCAAUUCCCAACCCAACCUUUAACUCAUCACAAAUAUGUUCUUUGUUGUAAAGUUGGUCUCCAAAGUAUGGCCAACACAAGAAAGGUACCCCAAUGGACAAACCUUCCAUGGUAGAAUUCCAACCACAAUGAGUGAGAAAACAUGCUAUGGCAGGGUGGCUUAAAACCUUUUGUUGAGGAGCCCAAUUCACUAUCUUACCCUUAUGCCCUUGAAAUUCAUGAGGGUAUGCCAUUUUAUUGUCUUCUCUUAUAACCCAAAGAAAAGGUCUAUUGGUGAGGUCUAGUCCAAGGGCAAGUUCAUUGAAUUGGUUUUGGUCAAAAAGAGUGAAACUACCAAACGCAACAUACAGCACAGAACCAUGAGGUUGUUCAUCUAGCCAACUCAUGCAAGAGUCAUCUUCUUUCCAGAAUUGUCCCAUUGGUUUGGUGGUUGCACUUUUGUUAUUAUCAUUGUCAUUGCUUCUCAACAAUGGCCCAAUUGGGAUGAUCUUAGGAAGAAACAACAAUGUCCCAGGUUCAAGUUCAUGUGUGGUGUUGCAAAGCCACCACUGUGUCAAAUGUAAACUUCGUGCACAAUGCAGCAGAUACUGAAGCACUUUCUUACCAGUUAGGCCACCCAUAUUCAACCAAAAAAAGUCUUCUGGGUCCAUCUCAGGCAUACUUGGCGAAAUCCGAAUUCUCUUUUUCGUAGUUAUUGUUAAACCUUUAGUGAAAAACCAACAAAAAUAAAAAAAAGCUUAUGCAGUAUACUACAAAUUAAAUAAAAACUAAUAUUGAAGAUAAGAAAAAAAUUAUUCAAUUACCAAGAUACCAGAGACUUAAAAAAAAAUUAUAUUAUUAAUAUCUAAAUAAUUUUUAUUAUUAAAAAAAUUAUAAACUAAUUUCUAAAUUAGUGUAUAAUUAAUUAUUAAUGUUUUAGUUAUGUACUAUAUUUUAGUUAAUAAUUAAAUAAAUAUUAAUUUAUAAAUUAUAUUAAUAAUGUAAAUUAUUUUAAAUAUCAGUAAUUUUUUAAUCCUUGAAAUAAUAUUUAAUUUAGUUAAUAUAAUAGUUAAUUAUUUUUAUUUGUAAGAUUGAUUAUAUAAAUUAAAUUAAAUUAUAAAAUAAUUUCUAUAAAUUACUUUCUAAAUGAAUUAAUUUAACUAAUAAAAAAAUUUACGUCAUUAUUUUCUGUUUAGAAAUUCUUGUGAAAAGAAAUGUUCAAACAUAACUCUAACAUAAUAUUCUUACCUAAAUCAGAGUCUAUAAUUCCCUCAUCAAUAAGCAUAGGGAUGUUGUACAGCAAGGUGAAAAGAGUUGCUGAUGCAGGACACAACACAGCUCCUUUGAUUCCCAGUUUACUGCCAACAUCCAAAGCCCAAGCCAUGCACAAAUCAGCCACAAUGAAGUUGAUUCUGUUCUCACCUUUCACAUGAAUAUCCUCUAUCAGCUUCUCAAGUGCUUCUGGCAUGCUUUUUGGAAUGGCCUCACACAGCUUGGCCUGAUCGUUUCUGUCAUCAUCAGGUCCUAAACCAUCAGGGAUUGAAACCAACUUCAGAAGUGAUUCUUCUUCAUCAGGGCUAGAACUAUCUUGCUGCUUCACCAUGGAACUCACCACUCUCCUGUGGUUAAAUUCUGUGUUCACAAAAAUGACUUUGCAUCCAUUCUCAACCAACUUCUGUGCGAAGGUCAUCAUGGGAUUCACAUGCCCUUGUGCUGGAUAUGGUAAAGCUAGCACAGUUGGAGCUCCCAUGUUCAGUGUUUUUGUUUGGUUUCUAUUGAUUCUGAUUUCUGAGGCCAAUUAUGCAUUCAUCUGUUCAUGUAUAUAUAGGCACAGCCCCUCACAUUAAAAACGUUAAUCAAUGGCCUCACUAUAUCAUAAUCACGUAUAUACCUACCAAUUACAAAUCUAUGUCAUGAUCAGUCUAAAUUUUCGGCUAUCAUACUAACUUCUAUGAAU